UUCUUUGGCGAGCAUAUUUGGUCAGGUAUUCAGGAACAAGUACUCGGUGCGUUGUGGGUUUGAUAAGUUUCAAAGGACUGACUGCUGUUGUAUAUCAUUCAGACUUUCAUGGCUAUAAAAUUGGGAGCGGUCCUCCCACAUUUACAUUUGAAAAUAAAUGACUGCUAUUACUACAAACAUUAAACAUAGCCGAGCUACGUUCAGUUGGCAAGCUCCAGGAUCAUAUACAAAUUUUUCUCGGAGAUCCAUCACUCAUGCACAGAGAUACAACAUACUUCCUCCGUCCGAAAAUACUUGUCAUCAAAACGGACAAAAAGGGAUGUAUCUAGAUACAUCCCCUUUUAUUUAUUUUGAUGACAAGUAUUUCCGGACGGAGGGAGUACUACUACAUCACGGAGAAAAACCAGCCUCUUCUCGUUGCUCCGCUGCUUCAAAUACCCCCUCAUCCUCUGUUAACACGCUAACCAGCCACAUCUCCAUGCUAUCCUGCGACCCCAACUGCAUGUCCUGCCGCAAACACGCAGAGACAAGGUGAUGAGCCAAUGAGCCAUGAGAAAUAUAUAUACACCGGGAAACGAAAUGUGGCGGCAAUCGGUGCACUUACGGUGAGAAGGGAGACAUCCGGAGGCAUUCCGAGGUCGGGGAACCCCAGGAGCGCCUCCUCCGGGAUUCUGCCGUGUGACAGGUGUUCAUCCAGGCCAGACACCGCUGCGUCAUCCAUGGCAUGCGACGAGCUUCCAGCGAGCCAUUCCCCCGCUUCCCGAACUGUAGACACGCGGGACUCUCCCUCCUCCUAUCACAGUGGCAGCGGUAACAUGAAUAACAGUGAGAUGCAGGAGCUGUGCCAAUUUACAAGGUGACAUUGUACUCUGCUAAGUGCUGACUGCUGAAUGUAUGCACAGUGUUAAUUUAGGAGGAAGAAUGCAUAAUGUGAGACUGUUGAUGAUAUGCUGCUCUUAUGUUGCUAAGCAUGAAUCUUUACAUAGAGGACUUGAAAGCUUGUGAUAUAGUAUUUGUGAGACUGUUGGAUGCACUCUUGCAAGCAGAGGAAAUUCUCCUCUGUAGUAGGGGCAUCUUAUAAAUUUUUGUGCAGUAUACAGCUGAGAAGGAAUUGCAACAGUGGGAUUCUAGUAUUGCAAGGCCUUGUUUCAGGAAUCCCAGUAAUUCACCAACAGAUCAGUACUAUUAAUCCAAUACUCUGAGAAGGAAUCCUACAAACAGAGUUCAUUGGAUGUACAUAGGAUUUAUUUCAUGAACUGUAUAUAGGAAAACUGAAGCUUCAUAUGAUCCAUAAAGUUAGACAGAAGUUUUCACAUAGGCAAAGAAGAUGUACCUGAUUCUGCUCGGUUCCGGAUGGGCUGCCGUUUGGGCAACGAGUCUGCAGAGGGUAUGUCAUUGGGGUUGUAGGAUCGUCUUCCCCAGCAAAUGAAUCGAAUUCUUCAUUAACACCGCACACUAGAGACUGCCCAGCAUUCAUUGACUGCACCUGAUAAAAGACUUUGGAAACAACAAGCUCCUCCUGCUUUUCAUCUUGAUCUACCCCAAGGUGGUACUGAUGCAUUCUCCAAUUAGUUUUCUCUGUCUUGCCACCUCCUUUCCGAUAACCUAUGUAAAGAACCAAUAUUUUCUUCCACCCUUUUAUGACACCGUUAUUAUCUAAGAUAGAUCUGGAUUUUCCAGUCUUGUGCCAUCUGAGAUUCUCAUCACAAACAGUGUGGUCACUGUUGCUAAUCUUGCGACGCUUACGCUUGCCAACAACGUAUGCAUUGGAUACUUUGUGGAAGAAGUGACCGGUGCUCCCGUCCAUCUUGAUACCUACAGGGGUACAUGAGUUAACUACCAAGAAUUACUCUUCAUGGUAUAAGUAUUUAAUUCAGAAGGCCCUGAUAGCAAGUCCAAGUAAGAAUCAUGUACCAGGGAGAUUUUCCGGAUGUGUAUAGCAGAUUCCUUGGGCCUCCUUUAUGGUUGGAAUAAAAUCAUCUAUUAGUACAUGGGACGCUACCCUGCCAACCUUUCCUUCUAAAUGUUCAAGCAGUUCGAGAUCAGUUGGAUCGAAUUUAACACCAGCAGGGAGGCCUGGCCACUGUGAUAAAACCUGCAACACAAAGCAUGAAGUGCAACCACAAGAUGCCCAGAAAUCAGGAACGGAGGGAGUACAAGAUGCACCNNNNNNNNNNNNNNNNNNNNNNNNNNNNNNNNNNNNNNNNNNNNNNNNNNNNNNNNNNNNNNNNNNNNNNNNNNNNNNNNNNNNNNNNNNNNNNNNNNNNNNNNNNNNNNNNNNNNNNNNNNNNNNNNNNNNNNNNNNNNNNNNNNNNNNNNNNNNNNNNNNNNNNNNNNNNNNNNNNNNNNNNNNNNNNNNNNNNNNNNNNNNNNNNNNNNNNNNNNNNNNNNNNNNNNNNNNNNNNNNNNNNNNNNNNNNNNNNNNNNNNNNNNNNNNNNNNNNNNNNNNNNNNNNNNNNNNNNNNNNNNNNNNNNNNNNNNNNNNNNNNNNNNNNNNNNNNNNNNNNNNNNNNNNNNNNNNNNNNNNNNNNNNNNNNNNNNNNNNNNNNNNNNNNNNNNNNNNNNNNNNNNNNNNNNNNNNNNNNNNNNNNCAAAGAGUGGAUGGUACUUACAUCAGUAUUAUCAAUGCGGUAUUUGCAAUUUGGGCACUCCAUCCAUGCAAGCAAUUCCUCAAUCUUGCAAAGCGAGGGAUGAAUUAUCAUGGUAGCAAUUGUCUUGGCAGUAACGAUCAAUGACCUGAAGAAUCUGUGAGAUAACAAAUUCAAUUAAUUAUACAUGAUACAGAUCCCAUUUGUUUCAACAAAACACUAUCUAUCUUUUUCUAGAUUCACAAAUGUAGCAACUAAGCUAAAUGGAAAUGUAUGAAAGAAUUUUUACACAGACAGUCAUCUAUAUGAAUUCUAGGUUCAGUCAGAGGAUAUUAACUGCCAUGAACUUAAAGCCAACUAUUCAAGAACAGUCACUGCUCACUAACUCGGAAAAAUCGUAGGAAUGCAGAUAAUUAAUUAUGUACUAGUAAAUAGUAAUUCUCAAUAAAUUUGAGAGAUAAAUGAUUAUUUCCAGACUUGCAUUGCUAUUUUCAACGUAUAUUAAGCCAAAGACAGAUAUAGAUUACUGAACUCUGUUUCAGAAGAAAGAUGAGACUAAUGCAGAUUGCAGAGCAUGCCCAGGCGCAGAAACCAAUGAUUUAAACAACAUGUGGAAUCAUGGUCAGGCGCAGAAAGCCACGAACAGUUUCCAGCAAGAAGCACUGGAAGCUGGAAUUUUACCACGGCGCUCUGUUCUUAAACCUGCAGCUGUCAUUUGUGUGCCACUACAAGCAAGCUGAGGCUAAACUGAAGGAGUUUCCAACGAGGUGUGAUGCAACUCGACGAUCCACAGCACAAAAUCUGCGAUCUCUGCUCUGCUCUGUCACAGUCUGACAGACAGCUGCGACCGCGAGAUGAGAGCAGUCUCCACUAAACAGAACAGAGCAAAACGGAACGGAACCCUUCUCUGCUUCCUCCUCCACCACCACCUCAAGCAGAUCGAUCGUGAAACCCCUGCUCCACCGCCGCUGCAACGACGAGCAGAACCGGGCCGGGUUCGCGACGGCGGCGCGGAGGCGCUACCCUUCUCUGCUUCUCUGCCUCCUCCAGGGCUCCACCAUCACCUCAGCAGACCACGAAACCCCUGCACUGCCGCUGCAACAACGAGUAAAGCCGGGCCGGAUUCACGCCGGCGGUGCGAAGCCUCACACUCCUCUCUUUUUUCGGGAACUCCUCUGCUUCCUUCGGGGGGAAGGCUCUGAAUCACGUCAGCGGCGCCCUCGCACCGAUCUUGCUCCCCGACGAUCUCGCACUCAUCGCCCCGUCAGACCGACAUCUCCUCUCCCACGUCAUCACCAUCCGAUCUUCUCCAAAAACCACCUACCGGAAUCCACCGCUCGCUGAUCAAUCGCGACGCCCCUCCGGAUCAAACCGAAACCCAGACCCCAGAAGCAGAAAAUGCCACCAGACCAGAGCACGUGAGAAAAUAAAACAAAAAGGAUCCCGAGCAGCAGAAAAGUAGGAGAGAGACCGAGUCAGAGAGUAAAAACAGAGCACAAGCGCGGGUCACUUACUCUGCCAUGGCCGGCCGCCGCGGCUGCGCUGCGACGGGAGGGUUCGGAGGGACCGAGAGCGGAGUGUGGAGCGCAAGGGCAUCCGAGGGGAGGGGGGUCGAGGAGGGGGCGGGGCAACUUCUGGGCAAGUGAGGUGGGUGUGUCCCGCCUUAAAUAGGCGAGGGGUGAGAAGACGCGGACCCUGCCCACUGGGGCCUGUCCAAAAUGUUUUGCCCACCGGAACAAGCAAGCAACGCCCCUGCUGGACGUGUUUCGCUAGGCUUGGGAGCGUUGGGUUGUCUUGUGUCGCUCGGCGGGGUGCAGCCUCGGCUUGCCAUGGGUGGUGGGUAUCUGCUUACUCUCAGAUUCUUUUCUAGGAGAGGUAACACUCUGAGAUGUCUUUUGCGCUCGGUACUUUGCAGUAUGCACACACCCUAAGAAGAGUUUUAUCUCCUGACAAGCAAGGGAAAAUAGUUGCACCAUGAAAAAAAGAGACUUUGUACAACUCUCUCUCAAAAAAAAAAUGCUUGUGCAUUAGUAUCUGUUUUUUUUAACACCAGCGCAUCAUUAUCUGAUGUACAACUCCCUCCAUUAAAAAAGGGUGUAAUUUUUUUCUCUUGUAGACCGAGGGAGCCGUGGGAAGGGAAGACUUACCCUUUACCCAUGUUUAACUGGACGCAAUUAACUGUUCUCCUUUGUUCCAGCAAUUUUGCCUCACGCAUUUCAGUAACCGUCGCUACACGUGGAGGGUAAAGGGGCGGUGGGCGGCGCGGCUGGGUAGUAACAUGCGAGUCGUCGCUAGGGGGUAACGUUCGAAUUUUUAGGACUGGGGAGUGGGGGCUAUUUUCAGCAGUACAUAAUGAUGGGUUGUAACGUGCGAAUUUUCAGGAUCGGUGAGCGGGAAUCAAGAGAGUGGUUAUUUUUAGCAACACACAAAUGUAAUCCUGAAACGGACUCCUAGUGCCAUCUUCUUUUGCGUAAUUCGUGUGAAAUGUUUCCGAGAUGCCUCCGCGAUUAGUACUUUGUACAACACCGUAAAGAAGAAUAGUUUCGAAAUGUUUCUAAAAUGUUUCAGGACAAGAUAGAUGAUCCUUGGAUUUAUCCAUGGGCCGUGACAACUGACAGUUGUCCAAAGUAUUUUUCCCACAACUACAAGCCCCCCCCCCCCUCACUGAGUCUUUCGAGAUGUCCAUCUUACCAAGGCCUAAUACAUCCCCUUUGGAUCUAUCUCCGAACGUGACACUUCGCUUGGGGACGCCAUGUUUCUCAAAGUCGUGGAACAUAUCUCUAUGUCCAGUCAUGUGGUCGGUAGACCCACUAUCGAAUACCCAUUCUUUUCGACUGAAAAAAUGGCUUUUAUGUCCUCUUCACAUAUUUCACAUGGGAUUGUCGUCUUCAUUUUCAUCUUUUGUCUCCUUCAAAAUGUUACCUUUAGUAACACAAGAUAGAAUAGUCAUUAUGUUCUUAACAGAUGGCGCCAUACAAGUCAUCAACUUGUUGCCUAAGGAUGGGAUAAUCGGCAUCAAAAUUAUUAAUGAUUGACAUGGCAUGAGGAAAAAUGGCCCUCCAUUCAUCCAAGGAGUGAGGUUCGUCAUCCUUUACCUUAGAUUUACCUUUGAUUUGAGGAUGAGAAGGAGGAACAACUUUCUUGUCAUAAAGCUCUUCAAGUUGCUUCCACGCUCCAUAAGCAUUGUCAAAUGAGUAGAUUCUCUCCAACACAUCGUAACUUAUACCUCUCAAUAUAGCAUUGGUAGUUUGGGCAUUAAGGUAUAACUCAUGUUCUUCCCGGGGAGUUAGGUAAAGAGGAUCCGACGGAGGCACAUAGUCAUUCUCAACUAGUUCAUUAUGUUCAGUCCUUGUUGAGGAAACUUCUCAAUCAUCAUGCAUUUCACUAGCAUUUCUAUUCCUUCAAAGUAAGCACCAACCUAGUGAUAUCUUCCCUUACUGGACAUACUACUCUCCUUAAAUUGUGAAUCCAAUGCAACGGUCAACUAAUGAAAGACCUUGUUAAGGAGACCAAAUCUCUACCUCAUGUAGGGCCACUUAGUAUAGUCUAGAUGGGAUGAAUAGACUACAAGCAAAUCAAAGGGACUAUUUUCUAAAUUUUAAGUUUCCUACGCAAUUUUAUGAUUUUCUAUUGGUAGCCUAUCAAUAACCCUACACAUGCAAGUCUAAUAGAGUAUAACAAUGGAAGCCAAACACUUUGACAAGUAUAAGUAAGAGUAGUUGGAGGAGUGCAACGGUUUGGUAGAAACACUAGUAGAAAUUGUAUAGGGUAAUUGAUGACUUUUAGCUCUUUGACAUGAAUGAAAAAUUGUUUCAACAUCAUGCUCUCCAACACAUGGGAGCUUAUUUUUCCUAAGAAAUCGUUCAACUAAAGAAAAAGUUGCAUGUCCUAGUCGAUCAUGCCAACGUGUCGGAUAUAAUUUGGUGGCACCAAAAGCUUGUCUAUUGAAUCUUCUAAUCUUCAAAAUCAAUGGGUAAAGCCCGCAAAGACAUCUACCUCGCCAUAGGACUUUCUUCGUUACCCGGCCCUUUGUAAAAAAUAGAAAGGGCAAAACUGAAGGAAGACAUGACUAUUAAUGGAAAUACGAUGAAUGGAAAGAAGAUUUUUGGAGACACUAGGAAUAUGCAAGAUUUUUCUACGAUCAAUUUUUCGACGAUGGUUUUUUUACAAUUGAGUGACCAACGUGACAAAUCUUCAUACCUUCUCCACUAGCACUGUUGAUGUGGUCUUGGCCAUGGUACUUUCCCUGCAUGGUCACCUUCUCGACCUCGCUGGUGAUGCGGUUUAUAGCACCACUAUGAACGUACUAGUUCGUGUCCAUUCCGUACGAUCCUUUAGCUGCUCCGACCACCUUCUCAUCUUGUGGCGAAUCAUCAUCAUCAUCAAAUCUAUACCAGCAAUCCCUAGCCGAGUGGCCAAGUUUGUCAUAGAUCUGACACUUGAUGGCAUCAGGCUGUGAUUUUUUGGAGGUGCGACAGCCCUUGUUGUUCUUGUUGUUGUUGUAGGAGGGAUGACCGCCACUGCCAUUGUUGCCGCGAGGAUUGGUGUUGCUGUUGUCAUUCCCGCCGGUGUUGUUGCGUGGCAGUCCACGGUGACGAGAUCCAGCGCCACGACCACGCAUGGCCGCAUUAGCAGAAGACUUGAAACCGCCGCUGGAGUGUGCUCCUUAGUAAAGUCACCCUCUGAUCAAAGUUGCUCAUCUGAGCAAAAUAAUCAUCGAGGGUGACCGUUUUGGUCCGGGCGUCGAGCGUGGAGACGAGGGGCUAGUAAUCCAUGUCGAGGCCGACGAUGAUGUGCGAGAUUAUCUUUGGGUUGGGAGAGUUGGGUUGUCUUGUGUUACUCGACGGGAUGCAGCCUCGGCUUGCCAUGGGUGGUGGGUAUCUGCUUGCUCUCAGGUUCUUUUCUAGGAAAGGUAACUUUCUGAGAUGUCUUUGCAUUCGGUACUUCACAGAUUGCACACACCCUAAGAAGAGCUUUUAUCUCUUGGCAAACAAGGGAAAAUAGUUGCACCAUGAAAUAAAAACGAGACUUUGUACAACUCUCUUUCAAAAAAAUUGCUUAUGCACCAGUAUCUGUUUUUUUAACACCAGCGCAUCAUUAUUUGAUGUACAACUCCCUCCAUUAAAAAAAGGUGUAAUUUUUUUCUCUUCUAGACCGAGGGAGCUGUGGGAAGGGAAGACUUACCCUUUACCCGUGUGUAAAUGGACGCAAUUAACCGCUCUCCUCGGUUCCAGCAAUUUUAUCUCAUGCAUUUCAGCAAGCGUCGCUACACGUGGAGGGUGAAGGGGCGGUGGGCAGCGCGACUGGGUAGUAACAUGCGAGUCGUUGCUAGGGGUAAGGUUCGAAUUUUUAGGGACUGGGAAGUGGGGGCUAUUUUCAGCAAUACAUAAUGAUGGGUGGUAACAUGCGAAUUUUCAGGAAUGGUGGGCGGGAAAAAGGGAGAGGGGCUAUUUUUAGCAAUACGCAAAUGAAAUCCUGAAACUGACUCUUAGCGCCCUUGUUUGCAGAACUCGUGUGAAACGUUUCCGAGAUGCCUCCAUGAUUAGUACUUUGUACAACACUGUAAAAAAGAAUAGUUCCUAACACGAAAUGUUUCAUGACAAGAGAGAUGAUCCAUGGAUUUAUCCGUGGACCGUGACAACUGACCCUUGUCCAAAGUGUUUUCCACACAGCUACACUUUUCUUUUCCCAUUCUUUUCCCCCCAGAAAAAUAGCUUUUACGUCCUCUUCACAUAUUACACUUGGGAUUAUCAUCUUCACUUCAUCUUUCACAUUCAUCUUUUGUAUCCUUCAAAAGGUUAGCUUCAAUAACACAAGAUAGAAUAGUCAUUAUGUCCUUGACAUCACCCUUGUUGCGGAUGGUGCCAUACAAGUCAUCAAGUUGUUGCCUGAGGUUGGGAUCAUCAACAUCAAAAUUCUUAAUGAUUGACAUGGCCAUCAAUGUUGGGAUCUACGGUAUGAUGCGCUGACUGCAAAUUAAAAUUUUCCUACGCGCAGAACAACCAAGAACAUGCUAUGUGAGAUGGAUCACAUAUCGUUACCACUAGAAGCGCAGUGCCAUGCAACAGAAGUAGAGUUGGGGUAGCAUGUCCUGGAGUCAUUUCCUCCUCGUUGAUCUCCCAUGUAGCUGAUCGGAUCCCACAAACAGGUUCACCGGAGCACCGCAGGUGCAUCGCCUCUAAUGGUAUCUGCGCGUGUAGGAGGAACGUCGUGUGGAAGACUACUAGGUCCGAUCACACAACCGACAGCGAGUGGAGGUGUCUAGUUGCAACACAUGCAAAGCCCUAGUGAUGGCGCCGAAGCAAUCAACAGAUUAGUGAGCCACACCCCCACUAUGUAUAGGCAUCCGUCGCGGGUUCAACACUUGGGCCUCACACGGGUCCUAAAGCCCAAAGUCUGUUUGGCCUAGAUCCGAGUCCGAGUAGGAUUACAUCUGACUCGUUGAUUCAGAUCAUGCCUCACAGGUUCCUUCCCUUAAGCGCGCGACCCCUUAGUUUCUCGUUCACUUGGUCGUGGGUCAAAUCACAUCCGGCUCGUCUAGUCGGUAGCGACCUCUAGCAAAGUGUGCUGACUCCAAGUGUCCGAUGAAGUUGUGGUUAGGCGAACGUGUACAACAUGUCACACUUAUAUUCCCUUUGCCACAUGAUAUAUGUUGUCGGGCUCAAGGUGAGUCUGUCAUCCUUGUGCUAGCCCAACCUCUUUCUCGUUCCAGUGAUGCUGACCAUAAACCGGAUUAUCUCAUAAUGCUUGUGCAUGGCCAUGCUUAUCUUGGUCGGAUCACACAAGGGGCCCAGAGUGUAUCUCUCCUGAUCAGAGGGGCGAAUCCCAUCUUGCUUGACCAUGUCUCACAGCAUGGGUCUGGACAAGCCCAAAACCUACCUUUGUAACUACCCAGCCACGGAGUAACGUUUGGUCGGCCCAAAGCAUGACUGUCACCAUCUCGAGUACAUGCGUCGGCUCAGGUCUUAGGACAUAGAAUGUAUGUUGUACUAGAGACUCGCAGAUGACAUAUCGAUGUGUCUCAUUGGUGGGUUUGUCUGACUUGGACCUUAUCUUGACUCAGAUCCGACUACGUCGAAUCCGACCAGAUCCUUCUGAGUCCACAUUAUCAGUUUAGCAUCCAAUGCUCCAUGGCUAGUGAGACCUAGCCAUCCACCGUGUCAUAUGCUAGUCUAGUCGGUUGCGCGUCCACACAGCCCAUUCGACCAGGGACCUUUUAGGACAGUUUUUAGGACAGUCAUUAUACAAUGCAUAGUCCCACAAACAAGUCAUGUACUUGUUGAUACACAUCAUUGAUAAUGUCCAAGGUACCUUUAUUCAUAAACACAUAGGAAAUAUCAUCAUACAUGAUUGCCUCUAGGGCAUAUCUCCAACAAUCAAUUCAUCCAAGGAGUGAGGUUCCUCAUUCUUUACCUUAGAUUUACCUUCGAUUUGAGGACGAGGGGGAGGAACAACCUUCUUGUCAUAAAGCUCUUCAAGUUGCUUCUGCCCUUCAUGAGGACUGAGGGAGUCCCGGAUUAGGGGGUGUCCUGAUGGCCGGACUAUGACCUUUGGCCGAACUCCCGGACUAUGAAGAUACAAGAUUGAAGACUUCGUCCCGUGUCCGGAUGGGACUUUCCUUGGCAUGGAAGGCAAGCUUGGCGAUACGAUAUGUAGAUCUCCUCCCAUUGUAACCGACUCUAUGUAACCCUAGCCCUCUCCGGUGUCUAUAUAAACCGGAGAGGUUUAGUCUGUAGGACGAACAACAAUCAUACCAUAGGCUAGCUUCUAGGGUUUAGCCUCUUUGAUCUCGUGGUAGAUCAACUCUUGUACUACCCAUAUCAUCAAUAUUAAUCAAGCAGGAGUAGGGUUUUACCUCCAUCGAGAGGGCCCGAACCUGGGUAAAAACAUCGUGUCCCUUGUCUCCUGUUACCAUCCGCCUAGACACACAGUUCGGGACCCCGUACCCGAGAUCCGCCGGUUUUGACACCGACAUUGGUGCUUUCGUUGAGAGUUCCUCUGUGUCGUCACCUUUAGGCCCGAUGGCUUCUCCGAUCACCAACAACGAUGCGAUCCAGGGUGAGACCUUUCUCCCCGGACAGAUCUUCGUAUUCGGCGGCUUUGCACUGCGGGCCAAUUCGCUUGGCCAUCUGGAGCAGAUCGAAAGCUACGCCCCUGGCCAUCAGGUCAGAUUUGGAAGUUUGAACUACACGGCUGACAUCCGCGGAGACUUGAUCUUCGAUGGAUUCGAGCCACAGUCGAGCGCACCCCACUAUCACGAUGGGCACGAUCUAGCUCUGCCGCCGGACAGUGCCCAGAAGGCCGCUCAGGUGUCCGCCCCGACCCUUAGCUCGGAGCCGACUGCGCCAAUCAGGGAUGGAUGGUUGGACACCGCCUAGGGGGCUGCAAUCUCUACGGCGAUCGAGCCGAAUACCAGCCUUGUCCUUUGUGAAGCCCGUGACUCCAAGGUGUCGGACUCCUUUCCGGACUCCAAAUCUUCCGCACCCCUUUCGAUCGAACCCAAUUGGGCUCCGAUCAUGGAGUUCACCGCCGCGGACAUCUUUCAGCACUCGCCCUUUGGCGACAUUCUGAAUUCACUAAAAUCUCUCUCUUUAUCAGGCGAGCCCUGGCCGGACUAUGGUCAGCAAGGUUGGGAUGCGGACGAUGAAGAAAUUCAAAACCCACACCACCCACUUCGUAGCCACUGUCGAUGAUUUAACCGACAUGCUCGACUUCGACUCCGAAGACAUCGACGGUAUGGACGCCGAUGAAGGAGACGACCAAGAACCAGCACCUAUAGGGCACUGGAAAGCCACCUCGUCAUAUGACAUAUACAUGGUGGACACCCCAAAAGAAGGGAAUGGCGAUGGAACAACCGAGGAUGACCCCUCCAAGAAACAGCCUAAGCGCCGGCGUCAGCGGUGCCGCUCUAAAUCCCGCCAAAGCAAAAAUGGCGAGUCCGGCACCGGAGACAAUAACACCUCGGACAGUGCCGAAGACAACCCCCUCCAGCAAGAUUCAGUGCAGGAGGAUGGAGAAGCCAGCCCUCAUGAGAGAGCGGCAAACAGAGAGGUCGAGGACGACAAUUAUAUGCCUCCCUCCGAAGACGAGGCAAGCCUCGACGACGACGAAUUCGUCGUGCCUGAGGAUCCCGUCAAACAAGAGCGUUUCCAACGUAGGCUUAUGGCCACGGCAAGCAGCCUCAAGAAAAAACAGCAGCAGCUUAGAGCUGACCAAGAUUUGCUAGCUGACAGAUGGACUGAAGUCCUGGCGGCCGAAGAGUACAAACUCGAACGCCCCUCCAAGAGCUACCCAAAGUGCAGGCUGCUACCCCAACUAGAGGAGGAAGCAACUAAACCUACAUCACCAGCGUACGAUGCUGCCGAUCGGCCACCCCGUGGCCACGACAGAGAGGCCUUUCGGCCCUCAACUCAAGCCGCACCCCGGUGCUGCUCAAAACGUACCAAGGCACGGGGAAACGCGCCAGACCUGCGAGACAUAUUGGAGGACAAGGCAAGGCAAACAAGAUCGAUCUACGGAUCGCGUGGGCGCCCCAUGACACGUGACGCUAACCGUCACGGUGGAUAUGGCAAAUACGGCCAGGCCGAACACAACAGACAAAGCUCAUCCGAGCUACGUCGUGAUAUAGCCCAGUACAGAGGCGCCACACACCCACUAUGCUUCAUAGAUGAAGUAAUGGAUCAUCAAAUCCCCGAGGGUUUUAAACCCGUAAACAUCGAAUCAUACAAUGGCACAACAGAUCCUGCGGUAUGGAUCGAGGAUUAUCUCCUUCAUAUCCACAUGGCCCGUGGUGAUGAUCUACACGCUAUCAAGUACCUCCCACUCAAGCUUAAAGGACCAGCUCGGCAUUGGCUUAACAGCUUGCCAGCAGAGUCAAUUGGUUGCUGGGAGGACCUGGAAUCCGCAUUCCUUGACAACUUCCAGGGCACUUAUGUGCGACCACCAGACGCCGAUGACCUAAGCCACAUAAUUCAGCAGCCAGAGGAAUCGGCCAGACAAUUCUGGACACGGUUCCUAACCAAGAAAAAUCAGAUAGUCGACUGUCCGGACGCAGAGGCCCUUGCAGCCUUCAAACAUAACAUCCGUGAUGAAUGGCUUGCCCGGCACCUAGGACAGGAAAAACCGAAAUCCAUGGCAGCCCUCACGACACUCAUGACCCGCUUUUGUGCGGGAGAAGACAGCUGGCUAGCUCGUAGCAAUAACAUGACCAAGAGCCCUGGUAAUUCGGAUACCAAGGACAACAAUGGCAGGUUGCGUAGCAACAAGCACAAGCGCCGCAUUAACGGCGACAUAUUACUGAGGAUACGACAGUUAAUGCCGGAUUCAGAGGCUCCAAACCCGGUCAAUGGAAAAAGCCAUUUAAAAGAAGUACUCCAGGCCCAUCCAGUUUGGACCGAAUGCUCGACCGCUCGUGCCAGAUACACGGCACCCUCGAAUAACCAGCCAAUCACACCAACAGGGAUUGUUGGGUGUUCAAGCAGGCAAGCAAGUUAAGUGCCGAACACAGAGACAAGGGGCUGCAUAGCGAUGACGAGGAGGAGCCCCGGCCGCCGAACAAUAGAGGACAGAAGGGCUUUCCCCCACAAGUGCGGACGGUGAACAUGAUAUACGCAACCCAAAUCCCCAAAAGGGAACAGAAGCGUGCGCUCAGGGACGUAUAUGCAUUGGAGCCAGUCGCCCCAAAGUUCAACCCAUGGUCCUCCUGCCCGAUCACUUUUGAUCAAAGGGACCACCCCACUAGCAUUCGUCACAGCGGAUUCGCCGCAUUGGUCCUAGACCCAAUCAUUAACGGAUUUCACAUCUCUAGAGUCCUCAUGGACGGCGGCGGCAGCCUAAACCUGCUUUAUCAGGAUACAGUGCGGAAAAUGGGCAUAGAUCCCUCAAGGAUUAAACCCUAAAAGACGACCUUUAAAGGCGUCAUACCAGGUGUAGAGGCCAGCUGUACAGGCUCAGUUACACUCGAAGUGGUCUUCGGAUCCCCAGAUAAUUUCUGAAGCGAGGAGUUAAUCUUCGACAUAGUCCCGUUCUGCAGUGGCUAUCACGCCCUGCUCGGACGAACCGCAUUUGCAAACUUCAAUGCGGUGCCGCACUACGCAUAUCUCAAGCUCAAGAUGCCAGGCCCUCGCGGAGUCAUUAUGGUCAAUGGAAACACCGAACACUCUCUCCGAACAGAGGAGCACACGGCGGCCCUCGCGGCAGAAGUACAAAGUAGCCUCUCAAGGCAAUUCUCAAGUCCGGCUGUUAAGCGUCCGUACACCGUCAAGCUCGCCCGGAGUGGCCUACAACAAGACUGUCUGAGCUAGCAUAGCAGUGCGGCCCCAACCCCCGCCCUCGCGACAAUGCGAAGCCAGUACCACGCGUACAUAAUUAUGCUCUGGAAAUACCGUGGGCAUAAGGGGAGGGGAACAACCACGGCAUGCCCAGAAUGCGGCUCAACCGCACUAGGGGCUCCCGAUUUUUGUGAUUUUUCUUUUACUUUCAGGGCUCCAUUAUUCGGAAGACCUGUCCGGCAAUACAAUCGCCGAACACACGAUGCAACAGCCAGGGAGACAGCAAGCCACGUCGAACGUCCAGGUGGUCUCUAUAACGAGCUAAAUACCUAUCUUACUUAAAGUCUCGCAGCUUGCCCCUGGAGGGGGACAUGUCAAAUAAUCCCAUCUCUUGCCUAUCGCACUAUUUGUAUCGUUCUGCUUUCAUAGCAGCCCUUUAAUAAACAAUACAUAGCUCUUGUCUAUUAUUGCAUUCAUUUUUCAUGUAAAUAUGUUCAGUUAUGACAUUAUGCAACCGUACACUUUGGUACGACCAAUACACCAGGGGCUUAAGUACCCCAGAAUACGGUGUGAGAAGACCGAACACUCUCAUGAGUGCGGCACCCCGAACUUAUAGCAUUAUAUGCAUCGGCUCUGAAUCAUGCUUGGGUCAAUAGUUGGGUUUGCCCAGCUCCCAUGUUUUGGUACCUUACGUUCCGCUAUGUCGGCUAAGGUAGCGCUGGGAGAACUACUGCGAUUGUGCCCCAGUUGAGCUGGGUUAACACCUCAGUAGAGAAAGCUAAAACUGACUGUCAUGAUAGGGCGAGAGACCGGUCGCUGUUCGAGAGGUUUUUCGAGUCCCUAAACACUCAUGCCGCUUAGAGCGAGGAGCUGGCUUUGUCCGGCCUAGGCGUGGAUAGCGCCCCGAACUCGAUCUUCCGAAUACUAGGGGCUUCGCCGAAAUUUAAAAUUAUAGAAUUCUAUGGCUAAGUGAGAGUGAUAAAGCAUUAUAAGUCCGAUUGCCUUGUUCGUUGUGCUGAGCGCCUCCCUCGAAGGGCCCAAGAAUGGAACAAGAGCGCUCAGGUUUAUCCCGAACACCCCAGCACUCGUGGCGGGGGUAGAAGCUGAUGACUUGCAUCUCUCAGAUUCAAUAAACGGCCGCACAGAAGGUAAUAUUUUAAAUUCAAACAGCGUUUCUUAGCGCAUAUGAACAAGUUUUCAGCGCACAGGAUAAACACGAGCGAGUUUACUCAAAAAUUACAUCCCUGGUACAUUCAUUCGCCACAAGACGGGCACCCUUCAGGACGCCCUCAUAGUACAUCUCGGGCCUGCGAUGCUCCUUCCCCUCCGGUGGCCCUUCUGUCACCAGCUUCUCAGCAUCCAGCUUGCCCCAGUGCACUUUAGCACGGGCAAAAGCCCUACGGGCGCCUUCGAUGCAUACGGCGCGCUUGAUGACUUCAAGCCGUGGACAGGCAUCCACCAGCCGCCGCACCAGCCCAAAGUAGCUCCCAGGCAUGGCCUCCCCAGGCCACAGCCGGCCUAUUAGGCCCUUCAUGGCCUGUUCGGCUGCCUUAUGAAGCUCGACCAGCCGGGUGUCCGGCCUCAGCAUACUGGGACUAGAACACCUUCUCCAUCGAGCUCCCUUCCUCGGCCCGGUAGAAUGCGGCGGCGUCGGAUACACUGUGGGACAGAUCUGCGAAAGCUCCUGGAGAGCUCCGGAUUCGGGUAAGUAACAGGUAAUUUACUUUCACGUGCUUGCUUUGCAUAAAGAAUGCCUUACCCGCCGCAAUCUUUUUCAUCGCCUCAAUUUCCUGGAGGGCUUUUUGGGCUUCGGCCUUGGCAGAUUUGGCGGUUUCAAGUGACGAGGCAAGCUCAGACUCCCGAGUCUUCGAGUUAAGCUCUAAACUCUCAUGUUUUUUUCACAAGAGCAUUGAGCUCUUGCCGCACCUCCGCCACCUGCGCCUCUUGUUUCUCUCGCUCGGUGCGCUCCAUGGCCGCAUUAUCUUAGGCCUUGGAAAGCGCUUCCUUAAGGGUCGCCACCUCAGUUGUGGCCCCUGUAACAUUCACGUUGGUCCUGUCAUUAUUUGCAACCAGGUAUUUUUAUAUAUAUUUACAUAAGGCACUACCUACCUUCCUUGUCCCCAAGCUACUUCUUGGCACGGCCGAUCUCGUUCUCGGACCGCUCGAGGCUCUGCUUCAAUGCAUCGACCUCCGCAGUCAGUGCGGCAGAGGUCAGCAGCGCAGCCUGCAUUCCCAUAUUGACAUAUUUAUGUUAGACUCCUGCGUAUAUCUUUUUAGAUCCUCAGUCCGGCUUUUCUUUCCGAACACCAAACUGAGCAUUAGGGGCUACUGUCUAUGCGGUAACAUUUUUACAUGUUUUAAAUACAUACCUCGAAACCUGUUAGAAGGCUGGUACAGGCUUCUGUCAGCCCGCUCUUGACAGACUGAACCUUCUGGAUCACCGCACUCAUAACAGUGCGGUGCUCCUCAUCGAUGGAGGCGCCGUUAAGCACCUCCAGCAAAUUGUACGGUGCCUCCGGUUGGAAGGAGGCCACCGGCAUCGUAGGCUUGCCCUUCUUGCGAGGGGGGCGCCUACCGGACUCCGGAAUCACUGAAGGUUCCGGAGCGGUGUCCGGCCCAGGGCCGGACUUAGAUCCCUCUGGGGCUUCAUCCCCUUUGGGCCUAGAGUCCGGGAGGUCGCCUUGCGGCGCCUCCAGGACCACCUCCUCCUGGUUUAGCCCCUUUUGGACUCCACCUCGGCAUCAUCCGUAGGGCGAGGGGAGGUAGCAGUCGGGAGUGAAGCGCUAUUCACAUCUGACGAAUCCAGGGAGCCGCUUGACGAAUCGCCGAGCUGAGCCUUGGGUGGACUGCAUGAUUGAAUUCAGUGUCAGAAGGUACUGUACAAUAGAGGAACGCCAUGAGCUAUUCUGGUAUCCGGAUACUUAUGAUUUUGCCAGGGGCUUGGCCCUGGAUGGCCAUUCCUCUCCGCCGUCGUCGGCGUCGGAGGCGUAGUCCGGAAGAAGGGUCUUCCCCUUCUUGGACCCUCCGGCCUCCCCAGUUGGGGCAGCCUUCCUUUUCUGUCCUCCCCCCGCUGGAGGGGGAGAGGCUUCUUCUUCCUCCUCCUCGUCUUCGGAGGCGGAGGGCGCUUCGGGGUCGUCGGGCGAUGAAUCCGACACCACCAGGCUCCGGGAACUCUUUCGAAUCCCCGUGGCCUUCUUCUUGGCCUUCUUCUCCGGCACCACGUGAGGUGCCGGGACCAGCAACUUCAUCAAGCGUGCAUCUGCUGGGCCUUCGGGCAAAGGGGCCGGACAGUCAAACUGUUCGGACGUCCUCUUCCAGUCCUAUCAAAGGAGCGGGAGUUUAGAUCCUGCAUAGAGUCAAACUAUGAAAAUCAAGUGUCAUCUAAAGGAUAAAAGCAAGCUUACUUCGGUGGCUUGGCGCUUUGAGCAGAAUCCACGAUCCUCGGUGACGGGAGGGGAAACCUCGGAGCUCUUGAAUAGCACCUUCCAGGUGUCCUCGUGCUUUGUUCGAAGAGCCUGGACAAAGUCUGGUGUUGGGCCGGGUCAAACUCCCACAAGUUGAAAGCCCGUCGUUGACACGGGAGGAUCCGGCGGAAGAGCAUGACCUGGACUACGUUGACAAGUUUAACCUUCUUGUUCACCAGGUCUUGGACGCAGGUUUGGAGUCCGGUCACCUCUUCCGGAUUACCCCACAACAGGCCCGUCUCUUUCCAGGAUGUGAGCUGUGUGGGGAUGCCAAAUUGGAAUUCGGGGGCCGCUGCCCAUUCAGGGUCACACAGCUCGAUGAUGUAGAACCAUCCCGAUUGCCACCCUUUGAUGGUUUCCACGAAGGAGCCCUCGAGCCAUGUGACGUUGGGAAUCUUUCCCACCACGGCGCCUCCGCACUCCGCUUGCCGGCCGCCCAUGACCUUCGGCUUGACACUGAAGAUCUUCAGCCAUAGCCCGAAGUGAGGCUUGAUGCAGAGGAAGGCCUCGCACACAACGAUAAACAUCAAGAUGUUGAGGAUGAAGUUUGGGGCCAGAUCAUGGAAAUCCAGGCCAUAGUAGAACAUGAGCCCCCGGACAAAUGGGUGAAGAGGGAAGCCCAGUCCGCGGAGGAAAUGGGUGAGAAACACCACCCUCUCAUGGGGCCUAGGGGUGGGGAUGAGUUGCCCCUCAUCUGGGAGCCGGUGCGUGAUGUCGUUAGACAAGUAUCUGGCCUUCCUCAACUUUUUGAUGUGCCCCUCCGUGAUGGUGGAGGCCAUCCAUCUACCUCCCGCUCUGGACAUGAUUGGAGAAGGUUGAGGUGGGAAGUGCGGACUUGGGCGCUGGAGCUCGAGUGCGCGGAAAUGGAUAAGCGAAGGAGGAAGAAGGCGUAGAUUGAAAGGGUGGAUUCUUAUCCCCUUAUAUGGGCGGCCGAAACUAUGUGCCCCCACCAGCCUAGUAAAACUCGCUUAUCUCCCAAGCGCCGCGAUUAAUGGCGCGGUUGGGUUACCCACGCCCGUAUUGAUGAGAAUCCCGGAAUAAGGGGACACGAUCUCUGCUUUGACAAGACGUGCCAAGGAAACCGCCUCGCUAAACACGCUGAGGUGGGACAGUAAAAUGAUUCGAAUAAAAGCUUGGCUGUGGCAUGUUGUCACGCUACGGAAUACGUCAGCAGAUUAGAUUUGUGCGAAUAUUAUUCUCUCUACGGUGGUAUGUGGAAACUAUUUUGCAGAGCCGGACACUAUCCUUGUGUUCAACAUCUUCUAUGAAGUAUUCGGAGGAGGAACCCGCCUUGCAAUGCCGAAGACAAUUUGCGCGUCGGACUCGUCAUCAUUGAAGCCUGGUUCAGGGGCUACUGAGGGAGUCCCGGAUUAGGGGGUGUCCGGAUGGCCGGACUAUGACCUUUGGCCGGACUCCCGGACUAUGAAGAUACAAGAUUGAAGACUUCGUCCCGUGUCCGGAUGGGACUUUCCUUGGCAUGGAAGGCAAGCUUGGCGAUACGAUAUGUAGAUCUCCUCCCAUUGUAACCGACUCUGUGUAACCCUAGCCCUCUCCAAUGUCUAUAUAAACCGGAGAGGUUUAGUCCGUAGGACGAACAACAAUCAUACCAUAGGCUAGCUUCUAGGGUUUAGCCUCUCUGAUCUCGUGGUAGAUCAACUCUUGUACUACCCAUAUCAUCAAUAUUAAUCAAGCAGGAGUAGGGUUUUACCUCCAUCGAGAGGGCCCGAACCUGGGUAAAAACAUCGUGUCCCUUGUCUCCUGUUACCAUCCGCCUAGACGCACAGUUCGGGACCCCCUACCCGAGAUCCGCCGGUUUUGACACCGACAAGGACUAUCAGAUUAGUGGAUUCUCUCCGUCACAUCUUAACUUAUAUCUUUCAGUACAACAUUUGCAGUUUGGGCAUUGAGGUGUAAGUCAUGUUCUUAUUGAGAAGUUGGGUAAAGUGGAUCAAUUGAGGCGCAUAGUCAUUCUCAAUGAGUUCAUUAUGCCUGGUCUUAGUUGAAGAAAUGUUCAUGUACGGCCAGAGUACAUAGACCAGAGGGAGUGAACGUGAGAUUUAAAGUUUAUUUUGAAACUUGAAAUCUCUCAAUACAUCACAGCGGAAAUAAAACUCAGCAGAAGCAGAUCAAUGAAAGAAAACAUCUAUGAAAACGUAAUGUGACAAUAUAGAUAGGUUAGAUGAACGACUCUAAUCAAGAGAGGACAAUCUUGCCCGUAUAAGAAUAGAGCACUCUGAGAACAAUGAAUGUCUCAAGAAAUGGAAACAAAACUAUCAACAUCUAAAUGAGGAUUAGCUCUACGAGGAUUAACUAUAACACUAAAGAUGGAAAAGAUACAUGACUAGGAGAUUUUCAUCAGAGCAAGGCUGGGGUGAAUAACCAAGUGGCACCAGAUAUAAUUCAUCUGAAAAAACAAACAUACAAUCUUAAGUACAUCAAAUGCAAAUACACAACACAACAUGGUCGCAACACAGAUAGAUAUGUCUGAGAGAAUAGCAAUUACAAUCUUGAAGAACAAUUGUCGAGAUAUAACUCAACCAAAAUUAAAUUAUGAAAGUGAUUGCAAAGAGAAAUAAAACCCGAUGUGCAGGAGGGAUUAGCAGGAUUGGGCUGGCGGGCUGCGAAACAGUCUUGGGAAAUAUGGCCUUUACCUUUGCAUGUAUGUCAUCUGAUUUUAUUGGGCAAGCAUGUCGAAAGUGUCCCGUCGAAAGGCAGCUAUAGCAGAACAUUUGGCUUUUGUCAAUGGGCCUAGGAGGUCCUGGGAGAGAAAUGGCCUUGGCCUAAGUUUGAACACUCAACAAUCCCGCCUAGACAUUAACUCUGCUUGAAUUGUCAUGAUGAUGAUUACAAUACAAAAAUGAUUCCCCCGUAUGAUCCUCAAGAAUGCAAGGAUUAUGAUCCAAGAACGGACGAUCUAUGAAGUGAAGAAAAAAGUCACGGUAGAUUCUAGGGGAUCUGGCCACUUGAGCGUAUGUUUUAUUGGGGCGGAAGGAAGAUAAGAAUCUAUUCAUCAUCUUUUUCUUUGAGAUAGAGUUCAAACUCCUCCAAAUUAGGGCACCCUUGCGCCAAAGUAAGAAACCCAUACUGAAUUUAGCGGUAGAAAUAUUACCUCCUUCGAGAAUUUUGAAACCCACUUCCUCGACGCCCACAGCGCGGCUUCAAUUCGGUUCCUUUGAGGCGACCCGACACUAGCCCGCCAUUGGGGGGGGGGACCAGGUCGAGAUAGGAGAUCCAGUGGAGCAGGAAUUGUUGUUGUUAUACCAAGUGCACGUGCCUUCUACGAGGGCUAGGGGACAGAUUUCUUCCUCGAUAGGGACUAGGGAAGGAGCCAAAGGUAGGCGGCCUCAACUCUUUCUCCUCCUUCGAGACCAUCUGCAGCAUCAUCGGCAUGACUUAAGGGGGGCUCACCUCCCCUAUCAUGUGGGAUGGACCCCCCCUAUCGCUCACACAAGCAAGGCGGCAAUUUAAAACUAUGUCGCGGAAAGGGCUAAAAAUCGUUUGUAUAGGUCGUCGCUGCACCAGUGAGUCAUCUAUGAAACUCACAUAAUAAGUAUAUCUACCAUCACAGGAGGGAGAAAGUCCCCCAAACAUCAGAAAAGAUAAGUUGCAACUUUUUGGUAGAAACACUAGUAGAAAUUUUAUAGGGUAACUGUGACGCCCCCCGAGUCAAUCGUACACUAAUCAUACACGUAAAUGUGUAUGAUCAAGAUCAGGGACUCGGGAAGAUAUCACAACACAACUCUAGACAUAAAUUAAAGUCAUACCAGCUUUAUAUUGCAAGCCAGGGGCCUCGAGGGAUCGAAUACAUAAGCUCGAUACAAAUGAGUCAGUGGAAGCAACAAUAUUUGUGUACAAACAUAGGUUAAACAAUUCUGCCUUAAGAAGGCUAGCACAAAAGCAACAACGAUCGAAAAGGAAAGGCCUCAUGCCUGGGUGCCUCCUAACUACUCCUGGUUGUCGGCGGUCUCUACGUAGUAGUAGGCUCCGUCGGGGUAGUAGUAGUCGUCGGUGGUGGCAUCUGGAUCUUGGGAUCCGUCAUUUGAUCGCAUCAAUCGGGUAUAGGGGAAAAAGAGGUAGCAAAGCAAUCGUGAGUACUCAUCCAAAGUACUCGCAGGACUUACAUCACAAUAUUAUGAGGCAAAGAAGAAAACCAAACUUUUGCACUAUCCCUCAAAGAGAAAGGAAAUGAUUUUAAUUUCACAAUAUCAUUGUUCACAUCUUUUUUUUCUUUUGCAUAUCACACAAUUAUAUGGAAAUGUUUAGAUGGGAAGCGACAUCCUUAUUAGGAGUACGGGAAAAUUGCACUUUCAUAACAAGAUUCAACAAAGCGACACUAAUAUCAUAGGACUCCGCACUAGUGGCGGGAGGAGCAAUCGGAGUACUAAUAAAAUCAUUAUUAAUAGUAUUUGAAAAAUCACACAAUUUGGUAUUUUCUUGAGACAUCGGGACUACGCAAAAAAGAUCACAUGCAAACAUGUUGUAGUAUGAUAAGUAGCAAGCAUGUUGUAGUAUUAACGCCCAGAGAUCCUUUCUGGACUCCAAGCGAGAAAGCAAUCACGGAGCCAUCAUCUCCAGUAUCCAGUUCUAGUUGUAUAGAUUGGGAUAACUCCAAGUCGUCUUGCUACCGUGGAUACGACUAUUUGAAUAGAUAAACUUCCCUGCAGGGGUGCACCACAUUACCCGAUAUGCUCAAUCAUCUCUGGACGGACACACUUUCUUGGCUAAUGCCCGACCUCAUAAGAUCAACACGUCGUAGUCCUACCUAGGCUCAACAGAGAGGUCAGCAUGCUGGUCUAGAUCCUAAGCACGCAGGGGUCUUGGGCCCAUCGCCCUUUGCAUUCCUGCAUGUUGCAAACGUGGCCGGGAUCAGUCCUGGCUACCUCCUUAUACAAGGCAGGUGCUUACGCGGGCCACCCGGGCAGGCGCUACUAAAUCGCUGCCUCUGGAGAGCUUCGGCUAAUACAUACGACACCGAGUGCCCAUAAAUCAUCCCGCGCGGCGGUUAGUCUGUAUGGGCCAAUGACCAACUCAGAUCAAAUACCCAAUAUCGUUGGAGUCUUGGGAGCGCGCGGUGAUGAUCAGUGCUCCUGUCGCCCCGACUCGAGGACUUACGGCAAGGACAAGGCCUAGCCCACUCCAGGAUGGUCUGCCUGCUGAUUGCUUGUAUCCGCGUUGGUAUUUCCCCGAAGAGGAGAGGAUGAUGCAGCACAACAAAGAUAAGUAUUUCCCUCAGUUAUGAAAGCAAGGUUAUCAAUACAGUAGGACAACCAAGCAACACUAUGUAAACAGUAUCUGCACACAAAUAACAAAUACUUGCAACGCGAAAGUAGGGAUAGCAAUUCUGCCCAUGGGUACGAGUACCCUACCCGAAAACAAUGGGCAUGGGCAAGAUUUGGAAAGAUUUUGUACCCAUAGGUAAUGGGUAUCCAUACCCGCAAAAUAUAUGGGUAGGGUAUGGGUAUGAAAUUUUGUCCAUGGGUAACCCAAUGGAUACCCAGAAAAGAUUAAUUAAUGGAAAUAACUCCUAUGACCCACCUUAAAUAUUGUAUUCCUUAUACCAACCAUAACUCAUAGGCCUGUAAUCACCUUUCCACCACUCCUACGUCCUAUGUGACUCCUCAAAAAGAUUAAAUCUCGACUCUUCACUACAAGACUCAUGUUCAACUCAAGAUCCAGCGACCGCCCAUUCCCACAAGUGCCUCCCACUGCGAUGGGCUUCCACCAACUGUUGAUCAUACUCCCUGGAUGCCUCCAAGAGGUCACCCACCAAAGUAGUUCGCGUUAGUGCUAUGUUGCUCGCCAAUCAUCACUUAAAUUUUAGACUCAUUUCUCUAUCUUUAAAAAAACUAAAUGUUAUAUAUUGUACCCAGUGGUACCCAUUGGGUAUAGGAUACCCGAUGCGUGUGAGCAUGGGUACCAAUUUAUGCCCAUGGGCAUUGAAGUGGGUGGGUAUAGAAAUUUUCUAUGGGUAUGGGUUUGGGAAGAAGAAGGUUGUACCCGCCCAUACCCUACCCAUUGCCAUCCCUACGCAUAAGAGGGGCUGCCAAUCCCUCCUCGGUACUGAGUAGAUAAAAUUGUAUGAGAUUUGAUUGAUAGAUCUGACAAAAGCAUCAAAUAAAAUGAAGAAGGAAAAAGUGCAGCAAGGUAUUUUUGGGUUUUCGGAAUAAUAGAUCUGAAAACAAUAUGAUAGGAAAUGGACUCGGGGGCCGUAGAUUUCACUAGUGGCUUCUCUCGAGAAAAUAGCAUACGGUGGAUAAACAAAGUACUGUUGGGAAAUUGAUAGAAGAGCAAAUAAUUAUGACGAUAUCCAAGGCAAUGAUCAUGUAUAUAGGCAUCACGUCAAGAUUAGUAGACCGACUCCUGCCUGGAUCUACUACUAUUACUCCACACAUCGACCGCUAUCCAACAUGCAUCUAGUGUAUUGAGUUCAUGUAUAAACGGUGUAAUGCAACAAGAAUGAUGACAUGAUGUAGAAAAUAACUAUUCAUGUAGCAAUAGACACCAUUUUUAUCCUUAAUGGCAACGAUACAUGUGUGUCACUUCUCCUUCUAUCACUGAGAUUGAGCACCGCAAGAUCGAACCCAUCACAAAGCACCUCUUCCCAUUGCAAGAAAAAUCAAUCUAGUUGGCCAAACCAAAUCAAAGUUUCAAAGAAGAAAUAUGAUGCUAUAAUAAUCUUUCAUAUAAGAGAUCAAAGAAGACAAAAAUAAUAUUCAUAGAUAGAUCUGAUCAUGAACUCGCAAUUCAUCGAAUCCCAACAAACACACCACAAAAAGUCAUUACAUCAAAUAGAUCUCCAACAACAUCGAUGAGAACAUUGUAUUGAGAAUCAAAAAGAGAGAAGAAGCCAUCUAGCUACAGCCUAUGUACCCGUAGGUCUGUUGUAAACUACUCACACAUCAUCGAAGGAGCACCAAUGAGGAUGAUGAACCCCUCCGAGAUCGUGUUCCCCUCCGGCAAGGUGACAUAAUAGGGCUCUAGAUUAGAUCUCGCGGUUCUGGAAUUUGCGGCAGCUGGAAUUGUUUUUCGUCAACUCCUCUAGGGUUUCUAGAAUAUUUUGGUAUUUAUAGAGCAGAGAGAUGGUGGAAAGGACUCCUAUGGGCCCCACUUCCCACCAGGGUGUGCCCUUGUUACUUGUGGGUCCCAUGGGCCUCUCCUCCUGCACUUCCUCGGCUCCCAAGUUGUCUUCUGGGCAGAAAAAAUCUCCAAAAAGUUUCGUUGUGUUUGGACUCCGUUUGAUAUGGAUAUUUUUUGAAGUAAAAAACAAGAAAAAACAGCAACUGGCAUUAGGCACUGUAUCAAUAGGUUAGUCCCAAAAAAUGAUAUAAAGUUGCUAUAAAAUUAAUAUAAACAUCCAGGAAUGAUAAUAUAACAACAUGGAACAAUCAAAAAAUUUAGAUACAUUGGAGCCGUAUCACCCGCCCGGCCAUGCCUCGUAAUUAUCUUGCGGGUAUCCUCCAGAUCAACCCGACUACACAUCAACUCGCGAGUACCCUCACGAUCAACCCGACUCGCAAGAGACUGUCGGAAACUUAGGUCUACCUCUACCGGGGUGGUACCGCCUAUCCCUCUAGUCCCACAGAAACAAUAACUCUCGCGGGUACCCCUCGGGGCCGACCCGUCUUUAAUAUGGUUAUGUGGUAAAGUCAAAGUAACUGUGUGUCCAUAACACCAAAAGGGAAUCUGAGGAAUCACCAUCGAUGGAUUCCAUUUGGUGUAACCAUCAAGGUGAACUAAGGAGGAAUCACCCUCGAUGGUUCACACUUGAUGGGUUGCACGACAGAGUCAUUAUCGGGAGUGGUGAAGGAGGAAUCACCCUCGAAGACCACAACCGGUUAGCUACGCUACAGAGUUUUCAUCAGGAGUGCAUUACGAGGUAUCACCCUUGACACUUGAUAGUAACUAUGCAGAGUCGUACAAUUAAAGGGGGGAAUGAUGUGUUGGGUUCAGGACAUCGAUCAUGUUGGUCGAGUCAUCUGGAAAUCCAGCGGCGACAACAGGGAUAAGGUGAGGGGUCACUGAUGGAUCACUAACCAACCUAUACUAAGCAUAUAGGAUAAGCAGGUAAGGUACAAGAGCAGGUUACAAAAGCAGACUAUGCAUCAGAAUAGGAGCAAUCAUUUAUAGAAGCAAAAUCUAAUGCAAGUAUGAGAGAGAAUGGAAUGGGCGAUAUCGAAAUGAACAAGGGGGUUUGCUUGCCAGGAAGCUCUGUAGAUAGAUCCGGACCCUCGAUGGUGAAAUAGUUGAUCAUUGGUUCAACCGCAGUCUAGGGGUCUACCAGAAAGAAGUAACAAAGGGGGGAACACAAUAAAUAACAGAGCAUUCAAAAGCAUCACAAAGCAUAACAUGGAAAUACACGAUGCUAGGGGUGACCUAAUGCAGUGCCACACGUUACAAACAGAGCAGGAAAAUAUAUGUGGAUAUUUCUCUAACUUUGGACAUUUACCGGACAAAUAGUCCGAAGGGGAAGGUUCUAUGUUCAUCAUGUUAGAAACAUGUGACAGAUGAAUGGAUUGCAUAUUCGUAUUCGUCACAUUUUUCUAAGAAACUUCCAUAUAUAAAUUAUUUUCAUUGGAGCUACGGUUGAAUUUAUAUGAUUUUUUUUCAAAUUUUUAUCACUAUUCCAGAUUUGUAUUAAAAAUGCCCGAAUAACUUUUUAACACAACAGUGAACGAGCCCAUUAUUAUGACAGUGGGGUACAGGGGUCCAGUUAGCAGGUCAGUCAAAUAGUUGACCAGUCAAAGUUUGACUGGUCAACAACAUGGGUCCACAUACCAUAGGCUAAUAUUUUAACAGAUUUAUGUAUUUAGUUUAAUUUAGCAGAGGACCCAUGUGUAAGUGUAACCUUUGUUGAAAAUAUUUUAAUCAAGCAGUUUACUCAGCAGGGCCACAUUUCAUAGGGCUACCUAACUAAACACAAACUAAUAAAUAACUUAACAAGGGGGCUAUGUUGGAACACACGGGACACUACGCUAGUGCUAAAUUAAAAAAUUCUACCAUGCACCCAAGAUCAUGCUGCUGGAAAUAGAUUAUGAGAUCAGGUUUACCACUAGACGCAUAGUAACCACAGCGGAAGUAGAGUUGGUGAUGCAUGUAGUCGAUCUCCCUGGCCGUCUUCUCCUCGUGUUAUCGAUCUCCCGCGAACAGCAAAGACGCGAACAGUGACCUCCCGUGGAUGGUACUUUGCGGAUCUAUCGAACAGUUUGUCCGAGCACCGCAAGUGCGAUGCCUCCAAGGUAUCCACACGUGCGAGGUGCAGCGUCGGGCGGCAGACUGCUAGGUCCGGUCACACGGCAUGGUCGUGCGGAGUGGCGGGGGCCGUCUAGGAUGGAAAAAGACCAACCCUUAGUGGUGCGCCCACUCCCCUUUACAUAGACCUUCGAGGUGGGAUCAACGCUUGAGCCCACUAGGAGUCCACUUCCAUUUUCAACUCGGAUCCAAUCCUAAUGGGUUGCAGCCUUUUAAAUGUGUGACCCUAUAGGUUCACGUACACAUGGACACGACCAAGUCGAUAGUUGGUAGCGGCUCCUAGCAGAAUGUGCCAACUCCCAUGCGUGUGUAAACUCAUUUGACAAACUUCGACAAUGUGUCAUAUGCAACAUUCCUUUUGCCUCACGAUAUAUGUUGUCGAGUUCAAGGCGAGUACCUGUCACCCUUGUGGUAGCUCGACCUCUCUUGUCGAAAGCGUGAUACAGAUUCCCGAACUGGGUUAACACUUAACCCAAGUCGCAUGGCCAUGCUUUCCAAAUCUGAUCAUCCGAGAGGGUCUAGAGAAUAUCUCUUCAUAAAGAAGGGGCAAAUCCCAUCUUGGCCAGCCAUGUCUCGCGGCAUGUCUUACGACUCAUCUGAAAGCUACUUUUAUAACUACCCAGUUACAGAGUAGCAUUUGAUAGACCCUAAGUGAGUUGAUCCUCAUCCUGAGAACAUGCGAGGACCUCAGGUCUAGGUCAUGGCAUAGACAUUGUACUCCCUCCAGUCCUUUUUAGUCUGCAUAUAAGUUUUGUCUCAACUCAAAGUAUCUCUACUUUGACUAAACUUAUAGAAAAAAGUAUCAAUAGUCACAAUUUCAAAUCAAUAUUGUUAGAUUCAUUAUGAAAUGUAGUUUCAUAGAAUAUAUAUUUGGUAUUGUAGAUGUCCAUAUUUUUUAAUAUAUAAUUUGGUCAAACUUUACAAAGUUUGACUUGACACAAAUCUAAUAUGCAAAGUAAAAAAGGACCAGAGGUAGUACUUGAGACUAACAGAUGACUAUCUCGCUGUGUCUCAAAGUGGGUCUAUCUGACUUGGUGAUCUCCAUCCCCGAGUACUAUCAGUUUAGCAUCUCCAGGCAUACGACUUGUGAAACAUAGUCAUCAACCGAGUCAUAUACAUAGGGAGGAGCAGCUCACUUCGAUGUCAAUGGUGAGGUCAGGGAGGCUGGGGGUGGACUGGAGAGACGACAGUGAUGGCGAGAUUGCGGCGGCCGGACGAAGAAGACGAUGGCGAUGUCUACGCAGCUCCCCUCCUUGCCUCAAUGCCCAGAACGGAAAAAGCCGAGCACGAUGAACCUCUUGGACGUGUCCCCUCAUGGUGGCGAUGACGGUGGCCGCGAUAAUGACGGCGAGGCAGCGCUGACCAUGAGUUUUCCGAGCUCGAUUUCGAGCCACGGAGGAAGGCGGCGAAGGAGGGUCAAGAAGGGGUUGAGCGAGAUGGGGGCUAGGGUUUCUGUGGACAUACUUAUAGGAUGUGGGGGGCGCGUGGAGACCAUCCAUGGCCAUGGCCGUCAUGGAUGUGUGCCAUGCACAUCCUCUGCCUCCUGUAGCGGGAGGUAGGGAAAGGUCAGUGGUGAGCUGGGCCAUGUGCAUUGUGGCCACUUAUGGCCCAUUAGCACAGUAGGUCUUUAGUAUUUUUCUUUUUCUUUUUUUGUCAUCUAUUUUAUCUCUGCUUUGUAUUUCUUUUUAGUGCCAAAUGAAUUCUGUUAAAGGUGGAACUUGUUGCAAAAAUACUUUACAAUAUUAAUGGGCUAUCCACAAAGUUUUGGGUCAUCUUGAACUCAUCUAAAUUAUAUUUGCAUUUAAAUGGUGUGGUUAAAGGUUGUUGUUCCACUAAAAUAAUUGACGCGGCCAAAUUGGACAUCCAAAUAUAGUUGAAAUUAUUUUUACCAACACUUUGCGAUUUCAUGACAUAUCGUGAACAUUUUUGUUUCACCGUUUGAAGAAGUAAUAAUUUGCCUUGCAAUUUAAAUUGUAAUUUUACUUUGAUUUUUUGGGCAAGUGGCAAUUAGCCUAGUAAUCAUGAUGACAUGGCCACCAUUAGGGGAAGAUUAUUGUAGCAUGAUUCCCGGGGUGUUAUAGUAAUUGAUAAAUUUUAGCUCUUUGACAUAAAUGACAAAUUAUUUCAACAUCAUGCUCUCUAACACAUGAGGGCUUAUUUUUCUUAAGCACUCAUUCAACUAAAGAAAAGUUGCAUGUCCUAGUAAAUCAUGCCACUAUGUCGAGUAUAAUUUGGUGGCACCAAAAGGUUGUUUAUUGAAUCUUCUAAUCUUCAGAAUCAAUAGGUAAAGCCCGUGAACACAGCUACCUCUCCAUAGGACUUUCUUUGUUACGUGGUCCUUGGUAAAAAAUAGAAAGGGCGAAACUCAAGAAAGACAUGAUUAUCAAUGGCAAUAUAGUGAAUGGAAAGAAGAUUUUGUGGCACUAGGUACAUGCAGGAUUUUUCUAACAUGAAUUUUUCGACGAUGGUUUUUACAAUUGAGUGACCAAGGUGAUGAAUCUCCAUACCUUCUCCACCAGAAGUGUGGAUGUGGUCUUGGUCGUGGUAUUUUUAUCGCAUGGUCACCUUAUCGAGCAUGUCGGUGAUGUGUUUUGUAGCACCACUAUGAACGUAUUAGUUUGUGUCCACUCCAUAUGAUCCUUCAGCUGCUCUGACCACCUUCUCAUCUUGAGGCGGAUCAUCAUCAUCAUCAAAUCUGUACCAACAAUCCCUAGCCGAGUGGCCAAGUUUGUCAUAGAUCUGACACUUUAUGGCAUCGGGGUGUGAUUUUGUGGAGGUGAGGCAGCCCUUGUUGUUGUAGGAGGGACAGCCACCGCCGCCAUUAUUGCCGCGAGGGUUGAUGUUGCUGUUGUUGUUCCGGUCAGUGUUGUUCCGCGAUAGUCCAUGGUGGUGACAUCCACCACCACGACCAUGCAUGGCCUCAUUAGAAGAAUACUUGAAGCCGCCAUCAAAGUGUGCUCCUUAGAAGAGGGCCACCCUCUGAUCGAAGUUGCUCAUCUGAGAAAAAAAUCAUGGAGGGAGACCAUUUCGGUGCAUGCGUUGAGCGCGAAGACGAGGGGCUGAUACUCCAUGUCGAGGCUGGCGAUGAUGUACGGGAUUAGCUCAUCUCCGGGGAGUGGCUUGCCUGCUGCAGCAAGCUCGUCAGCGAGGAAGAGCAUGUGCACGAAGAAGGCCACCACAGGUUGUGUCCCCUUCUAUGCAUUGGUUAGUGUAAUGCGGAUGUUGUUGAUGCGGGACAACAAGUGUGAAGAGAACAUGAGCUCAUGCGCGUGGGUGAUCAAUGUCACCUGCACAAGCACCUCCUUGGAAAGAUUAUUCAGGAGAUAUCGUAGUACCCGCAGAUCUUCUCUAAUCCAGAUUGGAUGAACAUGAUUUGGUGUCAUGUCCUCAUUCACGUCUUCGUCCUUGGUCGUGAGACCUUGGCUUCUUCCUACAUGGUGCCUCCAAUGUAGCCAAAGAAGCCCGCACCUUUAAUUUUUGGCAUGAUCUGUGUUCGCCAUAGGAUGUAUUGUUGCAGGUCAAUCUCUCUAUGACUUGGUCUGAGAGGCCGAUGAGGAAGGCGCUAGUGGAGGCCAUGGCAUGAGCAAAGCGGUGGAGAAGAUGCGGCUAGAUGCAAUGGAGGAUAAUGGUUCUGAUUACAAUGUGAAACUAGAUGGAGGCGUUGUACCUAUCCUUGGGUGACGGUAGCAUGUUUAUAUGACAAGGUCAUAUCCCCGGAUAAGGGCAUCUCCAACUCCAACCCUAAAACCUCCCGCAUUUCCCUUAGUGAGAACCAUGGUUUUCGAACCAAUAGGAGAAUCACGCAAAGCCUUCUGAACAACACCUGCACACAGAAAAGCAAAUACUUGUACCCCAACGUGGGCAAGAGGGUUGUUAAUCCCCUUGAACUCGUGAAUUUCAAGGAUCAAAUCUCAUAGUCGUAGACAGAUAAAUUGCUAAACAAAAUAAAAAAAUAAAAUUGCAACAAAGGUAUUUUGAUUUUUUUUAUAUAUCAUUAAAGUAGACCUGGGGGCCAUAACUUUCACUAGAGGCUUCUCUCUCGAACACAUAUCAUACAGUGGGUGAACAAAUUACUGUUGGGCAGUAUAUACAAAAGCGCAUAAUUAUGAUGAUAUCCAAGGCAAUGAUCAUGUAUAUAGGCAUCACGUCCGAGACACGUAGACCGACUCAUGCCUGCAUCUACUACUAUUACUCCACCCAUCGAUCGUUAUCCAUCAUGCAUCUAGGGUAUUAAGUUUAAGUUAAUAAAAACAGAGUAACACCAUAAGCAAGAUGACAUGAUGUAGAUAAAAUAAACUCAACUAAUAUGAAUAAACCCCAUUGUUUCACCCUGAAGGCAACAAUACAAAUACGUGUCUUGUCCAUUUCUAUCACUCGGAUAGAGCACCACGAAAUUGAACCCAUUACAAAGCACCUCUUCCAAUGAAGAUAAAUCAGUCUAGUUGGCCAAACUGAACGGAUAGAUCAGAGAGAAAUACAAAGCUAUGAAAAUCAUGCAUAAUAAAUUUCAUAAAAGACUCAAUUACUUCUCAUGAAUAUUCAGAUCAUAAACCCACAAUUCAUCGGAUCCCAACAACACACCGCAAAAGAAGAUUACAUCGGAUAGAACUCCAAGAACAUCAAGGAUAACAUGGUAUUGAAGAUCAAAGAGAGAGAAGACACCAUCUAGCUACCACCUAUGGACCCGUAGGUCUGUGGUAAACUACUCACACAUCGACGGAAGGUCAACAAGGAUGAUGUAUAAGCCCUCCAUGAUCAAUUUCCCCUCCGACAGAUUACUGGAAAAGUACUAAAAUGGGAUCGCGAAAGAAUAGAAGCUUGCACCGGCAGAAAAAGUGUUUCGGGUAGCUCCCUGUUGAUUUGGAAAUUGAUAGGUCCGGAAUUAGAUUAAACGGAGCUACGUGCGGCCCACAAGCUCAGGGCGCACGCCUACCCCCUUGGGGCGUGUCCCUCGAGCUUGUGGCUCUCUCGUAUCUCAUCUGGUCUCCUCUCAAAGCUUCUAGGGUCCCUUCUGUUCUAAAAAAUAAUCCAAAUAUUUUUCUGUUUGGACUUCAUUUGGUAUUGAUUUUGUGAAAAGCCAAAAACAAGCAAAAAAACAGGAACUGGCACUGGGCACUAGGUUAAUAGGUUAGCCCAAAAAAUGAUGUAAAAUAGCAUAUAAUUGCAUAUAAAACAUCCAAUAUUGAUACUAUAAUAGAAUGGAACAAUAAAAAAUUAUAGAUGCGUUGGAGAUGUAUUAGCAUCCCCAAGCUUAAUUCUUGCUUGUCCUCGAGUAGGUAAAUGAUAAAAAUAGAAUUUUUGAUGUGGAAUGCUACUUAACAUGUUUAUCACGUAAUCUCUUUUAUGGUAUGAAUAUUAAGAUACAAGUGAUUCAAGGCAAUGGUCUAUAAUUUGAUAUAAAGACACCAAUACUCAAGCAUACCAACAAACAAUCAUGUCUUUCAAAAUAAAAAUGCUAAAGAAUGUUAUCCCUACAAAAUCAUAUAUCCCGUCAUUCUUAGUCUUACUAACACAAAAUAUUGAUCACGAACUACCCCGACGACAAGCCAGACAAUUGGAUCAUACUUUUUAACGAGCUUCAGCUUUUUCAACCCCACGCAAUACAUGAGUGUGAGCCAUGGAUAUAGCACUAUGAGUGGAAUAGAAUGCACUGAUAGAGAUUAAUAUGGGGAGUUCAGAAAGGAAGAUAGUCUCGCAUCGACACAGCUAAUGAACAGGCUAUGGAGAACGAGGAUGUGCAAUGAUCUAGCGUAACAUAUAUAAAAAUGAUCUAGCGUACCGAUGGUUUGCAGACAAACGAGGGAUGCCAUCCGAGGCAAUGAUCUAGUGUACCAGGAUGUGCAAUGAUCUAGUGUACCAGGAUGUGCAAUGAUCUAGCGUAACAUAUAUAAAAAUGAUGAACGGUGGGUGAGCCACAAUACUAUGUCAGCUAUAUGAUCAUGCAAAACAAUAUGACAAUGAAUAUGUAUGUCAUAAAAAUGGAACGGUGGAAGUUGCAUGGCAAUAUAUCUUAGAAUGGUUAUGGAAAUGCCAUGAUAGGUAGGUAUGGUGGCUGUUUUGAGGAAGAUAUAAGGAGGAUUAUGUGUGAUAGAGUGCAUCGUAUCAUGGGGUUUGGAUUCAUUGGCUACGUUUGCACCAACUAUCAAGGUGAGAAGGGCAAUGUACGGUACCGAAGAGGCUAGCAAAUUGCGGAAAGGUAAGAGUGCUUAUAAUCCAUGGACUCAGAUUAGUCAUGAAGAACUCACAUACUUAUUGUGAAAGUCUAUUAGCCCUCGAAGGAAAGUGGUACCGUGCAUGCCCCUAGGGCGGUAGAUUGGUAGGAAAAGACCAUCACUCGUCCCCGACCGCCACUCAUAAGGUAGACACUCAAUAAUAAAUCAUGCUCCAACUUCAUCGUAUAACUAGAGACUAUAUGUGCAUUCUUCGGGAAUCACAAACCUUAACAUCAAUAUUCUUACUAAACCACAAUCAUUCACUAGUACAUCGACAUAUCACCAUAUUAAUAUUGCAAAACUAUUGCAAGGAACGAAACAUAUCAUAUUCAGUGAUCUACAUGAAAGUUUUAUUAUAUCCCUCUUGAAUACCUAUCAUAUCAGGACAAAUUUCAUAACAUGUCCAUAUUGCCAUUACUAUUUGUUAGAUUCUCGAGAAGAUUUAAGCGAAGCAUGAGAGUGCAAAAGAUAUAAGUUAAGCACCUAGAGUAUUCUAACAAAUCACAAAUAAUGUGUCCCUCUCAAAAGGUGUGUCCAGUAAAUGAUGAUUGUGGAAGGCCAAAAAGAAAACAAAGCAAAAUAUAUUAUGGCACAAGAUGCUCCAAGCAAAACUCAUAUCAUGUGAUGAAUAAAAAUAUAACUCCAAGUAAUAUACCGAUGGUUUGCAGGCAAACGAGGGAUGCCAUCCGAGGCAUCCCCAAGCUUAGACUCUUGGUUCUUCCUUGAAUAUUACCUUGGGGUGCCUUUGGCAUCCCCAAUCUUAGGGUCUUUCCGCUCCUUAUUCCUUCAUCCAUCGUGAUCUCACCCAAAACAUGAAAACUUCAGCACACAAAACUCAACAGAAACCUUGUGAGAUCCCUUAGUAUAACAAGCAUAAAUUUUAGGUACUGUUGUGAAACCAUUCAUAUUUUAUUAUUGCAUAAUACCUAUUGUAUGCUUACUUAUCCAUGACUUAUACCCCGUGAUAUAAUCCAUAGCAUCAUUAAAAAAAGCAAACUAUGCAACGAAAACAGAAUCUGUCUAAAACAGAACAGUCUCUCAUGAUCUGAACAAAUUAGAUACUUCUCUAACUCUAAAAAUUCUGAAAAAAGUAAAACAUGGGUAGUUUGUAUAUCAAUCAUGUGUGAAAAAUUCAGAUCAAGAGCAUGUUCCAGUGAUUUUUAAUAAUUUCUGGAGUUAGGGCAAAAAUUUCUAUUUUUUCACAGAAUCAAAUCAACUAUCAACCAAAUCAAAAUAUGUAUGAUGACUUAAUUUUCUUUCUAGGGAUGUGUUUCAUCCCUUUAUUUAAUGAAAAUUGGAACCUUAUAUCUCCUUCUUUCAUAUCAAUAAUAGCACCUGUGGUUCUUAGGAAAGGCCUACCAAGUAUGAUAGGAGAAGAAGGAUUGCAAUCAAUAUCAAGCACAAUAUAGUCCACGAGCACAUAAUUUCUAUUAGCAAGAAUAAGCACAUCAUUUAUUCUACCCAAUGGUUUUUGAAUAGUGGAAUCAGCUAAAUAGAAAUUAAGGGAACAUUCAUCCAUGUUGGUAAGGCCUAGCACAUCACAUAAAGACUUUGGUAUAGUGGAAAUGCUAGCACCCAAAUCACAUAGAUUCAUAAUCUUUAUUUUUUACUUUAAUAGUAGGUUCCUAUUCAGCAUGCAAUUUUAUAGGUAUUGAAACCUCCAACUCUAACUUUUCUUCAUGAGCUUUCAUCAUAGCUUCUACAAUAUGUUUACUAAAAGCUUUAUUUUGUUCAUAAGCACUGGGUGAAUUUAUCAUGGAUUGCAACAAGAAAAUACAUUUAACUAAAGAGCAACUAUCAUAAUUAAAGUCCUUGUAAUCCAAAGUAGUGGGUAUAUCACUAUUUAAAGUUUUGUCCUUUCCAAACCCACUUUAAUCAUUUUUAUCAUUAUGAUCAUCACCCUCCGAAAAAUUGGGACGCCUUCUAGAUAAAGUUGACUCAUUCCAGUCCCCUUUUGAUCAUGUUUCAUAUUACUAAAUAAAGAUUCAAUAGGUGAGAUACAAAUCGUUUUAAUAUCUUCAUCAUGAUUACGAUAAAAACCGGGUGGAAUAGUUUUUUCUAAGAAUUCUCGCUUAGCCCUCAACCUAGAGAUCCAUUCUUUACUUUCAUUAAUAGAGACAUGAAUAGCUUUAAUGGACUCAUUAAUAUCAUGCUUAGGUGGAUUUUUUUUAAUUUUAAGGGUAUCCACAUCAUGAGCAAUUCUAUGCAUGUUUCUAGCCAUAUCAUUAACUUUAUUCAAUUUUUCUUCUACCAUGGCAUUAAAAAUCUUCUGAGAACUAAUGAAUUCUUUAAUAUUGUUCUGAAGAUCAGUAGGUAUCCUAUUGUUAUUAUAUGAAUUACCAUAGGAAUUACCAUAGUUAUUAGAGGAAUUUCCAGGAUGCGGUCUAGGAUUGAAAUUGCCCCUAUAGGCAUUGUUAUUGAAAUUAUUCCAAGAGAAAAGAUUCACAACAAUAGCCUCAUUAUUUUUCUUAAUCAAACUAGAUAAUGGGACAUUAUUAGGAUCAACUUGAUCAUUUUUACUAGCAACCAUUUUCAUAAGAGCAUCCAUUUUAUCACUCAAAUUAUUAAUUUCUUCAACAUAAUUUACCUUCUUACCAGUUGGAGCUCUUUCGGUGUGUGUCGUGGUUUUGUCAUGGCAGAUAUCCUAAUGGAAGGACUUAGGUGCGAGGCCAUCGUGAUGGUGAUUAACCUGUUAGGGUUGAGCAGGACGAGAGACACGAGUUUACCCAUGUUAGGCCCCUCACGGUGGAGGUAAAAGCCUACUCCUGCUCUUGUUGCUUAUUGCUUGAGUAUUGAUUACAAGGGAGCAAAUUCGCUUGACCUUGCUAUCGAUUGAUUGUAACUUGUCUAUUCUAUGCCGAGGACUCGCCUUUAUAUACAGGUCGAGGCCACCGGCUUACAAGAGUCCGGGCCUGGUCAAGAUGACCGAUGCUAACUCUAAGUCUCCUUGCCUUCUGUAACAAGUCACCAUAGGGCGACUUACACCUCCAGGCCACGUGCCAUCUUCUGGCCUUGGGGUUUAAGUCGUCCACCUUGUGAGUCGUCCCUCCAGGCCUGUGCCUUGGUCACUUGGGCAUGUCUGAUUCAUUAACUUCGUGAGUCGCCAAUAGUCUAACCCGACCCUUUCUGGGUGGGUUAUAUCAUGGGGUCAUAUCCCCAACAUUGGGCCCCAGAUUGAUUUGAACUUGUUCAUGUCAAUCUUAAACCUUUCCGUCUAGCGAGUCUUCCUUUCAUUUCUCUUAAUCGCAGCCUUGAAAAUUUUCAUAACCCGCCAUAAUAAAAAGAUGAUGUCACCUCCGUGAUUUUGAGAAACCCUUCAUUACGUCAUAACGAAUCUUUGUAUAAAUCCGUCAUUCCAAGAAUCGAGGCAUCCCUUAGCUGUAAAAUUUACUGUGCCUCCUCAAUUUUCGCGUCGGCCUUGCACUGUUCCCCUAUUUCCUUAUAAAUAGGCACACGGUCCUUCUUUUUACCUUUUACCUCGUCUCCUCCACUUCUUCUUUCUCACCAGACCCUUCGUUGUCCUACGGCAGUCAUCUUGUUCGUGUCCACAGUGCUGUCCCGCCUUCACCAGAAUAGAGUGGAGCUCCGCCGCUUAUCACUGCUGCCAUUAGGUACCCCUUUUCUUCCUCCUCGGACUACAUUAGGUUACCUGAGUUCAUGGUGUUCAUCGGUGUUCAUCCCUUUUUAAUUCCCCAUAGCCUGAGUAGAACACUUGCUUUUGGUCUGAAAAUGUCAUGGCAACACUGCGGUUGUAGGUUGGACAUCCAUCUUGCAUCUUGAACAAACUGUGUUCUUUCCCGAAUCCAAUGGUAUCCCAUUAGCACUUUCAUCACCACUAUUUAGGUUUAGCAAUUAUUUUUCUUUUUUGAACCGCCCACAGAUCUGUAAUUAUAGACGUUCCUGUUUGAAACUUGUUUGCCUCACACUUAGCGAAAAUUUAACAACCCUGAACCUUAGAUAACUCGCCUCUGUAUCUUGGGCAGCUUAUCAAUAUAUACAUAACCCACCAGCAUUCUAGAGACUGCCUUUUUUACAUAACUCGCCUCUAUUAGGGCGACCUAUGUUUAUACCGCUUUACUCAUAUGAUAGUGAUGGUGAGUCAUUACUUCUUUUAACUUACCCACCAUACUCUGAUUCUGCAGUUUCCUUCAUCCUUAGGCGACUCAAUAUGACAAAAACUACCCUCUCUAACUGGGGCCGCCCUUCCCUAGUUACUGAAGAAAUCCUUAAGUAUUAUGUGGGUCAGGGUCUCUUCACGACUAAGGAAGAGAUUGGCUGGCAAGUUAGUCAAGGAUAAAAUGCCCCCAAUCCUGGCGAAGGAGAAGUGAUAGUUUUUACUAACCAUAUUCUCAGAGGCUUUACACUGCCUGGGUCGAAAUUUUUUCGGGAUGUCUUGCACUAUUUCAAUCUUCAUCCUCAAGAUAUAGGCCCAAACUCGGUGUCAAACAAUUGACACUUUCAAAACCUCUGUGAAGUUUAUCUGCAAGCAUAGCCCACUAUUGCUCUUUUCAAAGAAUUCUUCUACAUAAACCGCCAGACUGAAUGUACAAAUGGUCUGAGUCAACAAUUGGGCGGAGUCUCAAUCCAGAGAUGCGGAGACGGCGGCUUUCCUACAACCACCUUACCAAGCCACCCCAAAGGAUGGAUAAUAACUUGCUUUUAUUACAAGAACACUACCCCAGCUAAUGAGAACCCUCUACCGGGAUAUAGGGUUGACUGCCUUCCUAUCAAUUUUGAACCGCCAAGCAAGCUACUACCAGACAAACAUACUAAAGCACCCCAAUACUAUCCAAAAGUAAAAGCUUUCUUAGCCAAUGGGUUAAUUGGAGUUGACUUAGCCCAUUGCUGGGUCUCGUGGAGAAUUCUUCCCUUAACUCGUCGACCCGGCUUAAUGUGUGAAUAUUCAGGCGAGUCAGAUGACCCUCAGCAGUAUAGCUCUCAUAACUUUACCGUUGAGGAGAUCUUUCAAAUUGUGAACUCUUUGCUUGGGGAGUCUCGAGAAAACUGUAAUAAGAUAGAACUUUACCAUUCUUCAAACUCAACUUGGCCCAGUUGUAAGUACUAUUUUAUACCUGUCUUAAAUAUCUUUGACUUUAUUUUGUGUCUCACUUGUCAAACCUUCUUCAUUACACAACUCGGCUCCACUUUCUGGAACAGGAAGAUAAAGAGUGUUGUAGCCAAAGUCAGGACUUGCCCAAAGUCAAAGAAGAACAAGCCAACUAUAGUAGUUGAGCCGGCUGUUGUGGGUGAGUCAGCUAAUGCUGAUGAUCAAUCAGAGGUAGAACUCGAUUCUCUUGGCUGACUCUUCGUUGAAUUAUCUGAUGCCUCUUGUUCUCAGGAUGAGGUUGCCACAAGCUGGACUGACAACAUUGAGGUAAUUCCAAUCUCUUCCCGCUCAGACUCUGCACCUCCAGAGAAAAUAUGGAGGGUUGUCCAGAAAGUAAAGUUUUCUCAUCCAGAUGCUUACUUAGAUCCACACUUUAUUUUGAAGAAAACUCACCAUAAGCUAAGACGGCAGACUUGCAGUGGCGGCUCAGGCGAUUUAAUGGCUGGGUUAACUCAUGAACCUUCUGCCCGUAGGCGGCCUGCUGAGGUUCCACACAGUCCAACUUCUUCUUUACCCAAAGCUGGUCUUAUGAGACAUCCUCUUAACCCUUCUGACUCCAAUUACCAGGAGUCGCCACCGUCUUCAGGCGGCUCAUCUCAAACCAAAUUGCAUGUCUUCAUUGUAAACCAAGGGUGAGUACUUGCAUUUAUUUAUAUCUUAAAACUCAUUGUCAUAUAUGUCUUAAUACUCCAAUGUAAUCACAGUUUCAAAGCUAAGGAUAAGAAAAAGAAGGUUGACAACACUUCUAAGGCCCCUAAUGUCCCUGAGUCGGGGGAACAGGUGCUGGUAACCCCUAAGGCCAACACCGAAAACCCUGAAGAGCAUCACCACAACAAGAUGACCCACCUCCACAGACAGAUGCCACGACCUCUAAGGCCAUGGAUAUUGAAGCUAACCCAGUAGAUAACCGUGACCUGCCAAGUCCAAUUCCUUCUUCAACUCAUGUCAACUCAACUGAAGAAGCCCCUCUUGCAGAGAAUACUGACGAUAUUGCCAUUAUUGGGGUGCGUCAGAAAACACGCAAGACCUCCACUGUGCUGGCUAAGCACUCAGCGAAAGAAGAGUCGCCCUUGCUGGAAAAGGGCAAAACAAAACUUGAACUGCCAAAUUGUGAGACACUUAGCGCAUAAGAGGUGUACACACGCUAUUUGAGCCGCUUAACUACAAGCUGGGACAUGGAGGCCAGCUUGGUACAUAUAAUGAAGAAGUAUGAGGUAUGCUUAAUUUUUUCUCCUAUUAUGUCCCUGUAUGUAGCCCCCAAGUAUUGACCAUAUGAAAAUCUUUGAGUACGGUGAAGACUUGAAGAAAGAUUUGUGGAUUCCAAAUUGUAGCCCCCAAGGGUCGGGUUAUCAUGCAAAUGAUAAGCCGGUUCUUUCAAGUAUAACUACUUUGAAUAAACACAUGUAUCCCCCAAGGGUCGGGUUAUCAUGUCAAUGAUAAGACGGUUCUAUCAAGCCUAACUACUUUGAAUAAUCACCUAUAGCCCCCAAGGGCCAGCUUAUCUUCAUGAGAUGAGCUGGGUCUUCUUUAAUAUAAGUGAAAAAGAACGUCGUACAUUAGCCCCCAAGUGCCAAGGAUAUUUCUUGCAAUGUGCUUUGGGACUUAAAUAAUCUUGCCCUAUCAUCUGUCUCAAAAGUCGUCUUGAUCAAACCAGCAAACUUAUAGUGUUCUCUUUGAAUGAUAACCCUCUGUUUAACUUUUACAGGAAGCGUUAAGCCUGGGCGAGUCAAAUCUGGCUAACUUUAAAAAGAACUUAGAGGUUGAACAAGCGGAACGCGCCAAAGAUGGAUCAAGCUUGAAAUCUUUGUUGGAAGAUUUAGACAAGGUGAAGGCCAAUUUUGACACUGAAAGGUUUGCCUUGGAGACUGAAAUGGUCGCCUUAGUGAAGCACGUAGAAAACGCUGAGAACAAACUUAAGCCGAUGGCUGCAGAAUUGGCCGGCUUAAAACAUCACGUAUCUCAAAUGAUUACAGAGAAAUUAUAUGCCAGAAGCAUUCGUACUCUUGUGGUUGUAUCCAAUGGCAAAAAUCCGCCAUAACUCAUGAAAGAUGUGUUGGACCAAUUUUCCAUAAAGUCGAAGAAAAUUGAAGAGUUGAAGCUGUUAGCUGCUCGUGCAGGGGCACUCACUGUGCUAAGCCAGGCUAAGGCUUAUCAAUCAGAGCCGGACCCAAUAGAAAUGGCUGGUGGGUGUCCAGAGUAUAACGAUGAUGGGUCUAUCUUCAGCAAAACCGACUUCGCCAGAUGUAUCAAGGAAAUGCGGCCUUUGGCAUGUCAACUUGCACAAGAGCUGGAUCUGAAGAAGUACCAUCCGGCUUAUGAUAGUGAUAACACCCGAAUCAAGGCGCCCUCUUUUGAUGUUGUUUACUUGCCUCCCCAAAGUCGUAAGCAUAUUUUUGCCUCUGAUAUUGACCCUUCUCCUGUCAUGAAUGAUGAAGAAAUCUUCAAAGCUUUAACUGGUAUCGACUAGACAUCGGAUAAGCUUCAGAUUGCAAGUGAUGAAAAGUCAGCACAGGAUAACCCAAAAACUUCCAUUGCAAGACGCUAGGAUGACGUUGAAGGAAAUAUGCCCUAGAGGCAAUAAUAAAGUUGUUAUUUAUAUUCCCUUAUAUCAUGAUAAAUAUUUAUUAUUCAUGCUAGAAUUGUAUUAACCGGAAACUUAGUACAUGUGUGAAUACAUAGAUAAUACAUAGUGUCCCUAGUAUGCCUCUACUUGACUAGCUCGUUAAUCAAAGAUGGUUAUGUUUCCUAACCAUAGACAUGUGUUGUCAUUUUAUGAACGGGAUCACAUCAUUAGGAGAAUGAUGUGAUGGACAAGACCCAUCUGUUAGCUUAGCAUUAUGAUCAUUACAGUUUCAUUGCUACUGCUUACUUAAUGACUUAUACAUGUUCCUCAGACUAUGAGAUUAUGCAACUCCCAAAAACCGAACAAACACCUUGUGUGCUAUCAAACGUCACAACGUAACUGGGUGAUUAUAAAGAUCCUCUAUAGGUGUCUCCAAAGGUGUUUGUUGGGUUGGCAUAGAUCGAGAUUAGCAUUUGUCACUUCGUGUAUUGGAGAGGUAUCUCUGGGCCCUCUCGGUAAUGCUCAUCACUAUAAGCCUUGCAAGCAAUGUGACUAAUGAGUUAGUUACGGGAUGAAUAAUUAUGGAACGAGUAAAGAGACUUGCCGGUAAAGAGAUUGAACUAGGUAUGAUGAUACCGACGAUCGAAUCUCGAGCAAGUAACAUACCGAUGACAAAGGGAACAACGUAUGUUGUUAUGCGGUUUGACCGAUAAAGAUCUUCGUAGAAUAUGUAGGAGCCAAUAUGAGCAUCCAGGUUCCGCUAUUAAUUAUUGAUCGGAGAUGUGUAUCGAUCAUGUCUACAUAGUUCUCGAACCCAUAGGGUGCGCACGCUUAACGUUCAGUGAUGAUUUGUAUUAUGGGUUAUGUGUUUUGGGGACCGAAGUCUGUUUAGAGUCCCGGAUGAGAUCAUGGACAUGACGAGGAGUCUCAAAAUGGUCAAGAGAUAAAGAUUAAUAUAUUGGAAAGCUAUAUUCGGACAUCGGAAUGGUUCUGGAGAAGUUUGGUUAUUUUCCGAAGUACCGGGAGGUUAUCGGAACCCCCUGAGAAGUUGAUGGGCCUUAGUGGGCCUCAGUGGGAAGGAGAGGCAGCGGCCAGGAGGUGGAGCCCCCCUUCAAGCCCAGUCCAAAUUGGAAAAGGGGUUGGGGCACGGACCCCCUUCUCUCUUCUUUCCCCCUUCUCCUUGCACUACUAGGGAAAACCCUAGUAGUAGCGUGGGUUUUGAGGCUAGCAGCAGCGCGGGUGCACGCGCUACUAAUAAGGCGCUACAGCUAACUCAUAGUAGUAGCGCGGCCCUUACCCGCGCUACUACUGUUUACGAUAUCAGCAGCGCUUUUUAGGAACGCGCUACUAUUACCUAGCUGUAGCGAUUUCGCCAUCCCUCGCUACUGCUAUAUCUUUCAUCAUUUUCCCAUUACCCCUUUCCCUUUCAGUUUCCCUUUCAGAUACUAGAUACUAGGUACUGCUAGUAGAUAUCAAAAUCAUAAACCAUUACUAGGUAGUACUCCCUUCGUUCCAAAUUACUUGUCAUGGUUUUAGUUCAAACCACGACGAGUAAUUUGGAAUGAAGGGAGUACUAGAUAACAAUUUCAUGCAUAGUCAACAUGCAUCCUCAAGCAGUACAAGGUCAUAUCAACGGCCAUCAUCAUAUGUAGUUCUAGAUGAUAUUGACGACGAUCAUCAUAUGUAGUUCUAGAUGAUAUAGCCACACACACAUAUGUAGUUCUAGAUGAUAUAGCCACACACACACAUAUAUAUACUUCUAGAUGAUAUCGAAGACAAUCAUCAUCCUUAAGCCUGGGCGGUUGGUGUUCCAGAUAGUAAUUAGGAUGGCCUGUCCAACACGAAGAUUCUUGCCAUCGAGGAAUUUCUUCCACCCAACCGAGUUAAGUGUGUGCGACCGUCCGUGUCCACGCGGUAAGUACAGGUUGUGACGGAGCCCCUUGCAGUAAGGCGUAGUCCAGCCGAGCCUUCUUCAUCAGGCUCGAUACCAUAACUCACAGAUAUGCUCUUUGCCAAUUUCUGAAUAAGAAAAACAUAUCAAUUAAUAAAUAGCCUCGCAAAUAAGUACAUAUGGAUUAUCUACACUAUUAAUAGUUCCGUUAGAUUCUACACUAAUAAGCAUGUGAUCGAACUCUACACUAAAACAUAUCAUCGACUAGAUUCCACACAACAUACCAUAUCAUUGGAUUGUACACUAAGUAAUUCAUCGGAUAAUUUGCAUUUGUAAGUAUAACAUACCAUAUCAUGUCGAUCAACCAUGGUAUUUGUCAAGCGAGUCACGAAUGGCACACCGACAAAGUCAGCACGUGGCAGAAUUAUGUCCCACAGGUUGGACACCUCCUCCUCACUCAGCCUUGUUCUUUGAGCUACGAUGGCUUCAGGAAGUGGGUCCUCAUUAUCUUCACCAUCUUCAUCAUCUUCAUCAUCUUCCACCAGGUUGAGAUAAAUGACAGCUAGCUUGGGUCUUUCUGCUCGGAAGGAGAAGAUGAUCAACUCACCACCAGUAAGACGCAUGCGAGCGAUGAAACGGGCCCAUCCAUCUCCUCCAAUCUGCGACAUAUUGCAUCCUUUCUCGACCUCCAUAGUGUACGGCCACCCAGGAGCCUCAAAUGUCAUAGUUUCUCGUAUCAGCUUGUUGAAUUUCAACCUCCCAUUGCAUGGGACGAUCUGUGUAAAAUAAGCAAAAUGACACAAUGCAGUAAUGCCAACACUAAAAACAAAAUAGUUAUUACAUUUCAUCUAAUUUCUUACCGCCGCAUGACGAAAACUCGGCUGGAAGUAGAUGCCGAACAGCUUGCCAGUUGCAAGGCUGCUGGCGCAUCUUGACUUGCACAGUCGACAUAGUGGACCAACGAUCAACUAAAUCAAAAUGUUCUAAGUCAACUAAAUCAACUAGCCUACUAAAUCAACUAAAUCAAAAUGUUCUAAAUCAACUAAAUCAACUAGCCUACUAAAUCAACUAAAUCAAAAUGUUCUAAGUCAACUAAUUAAAUGAACUACCCUACUAAAUCAACUAAAUCAAAAUGUUCUAAGUCAACUAAAUCAACUAAAUGAACUAGCCUAUUAAAUCAACUAAAUCAAAAUGUUCUAAGUCAACUAAAUCAACUAGCCUACUAAAUCAACUAAAUCAUAUCAACUAAAUCAAAAUGUUGCAUAUGAACUAGCCUAGCUACUAAAUCAAAAUGUAGCGGGCAGGAGGGAGAAGGAGGGGCGACUCGAGGAGGGAGAAGAGAGUAGGAUGGAGGAGGAAGGCGGAGUGAGGAGGGGCCGGCCGGCGCGGCCAGUGGAGGGAGGAUGGAGGAGGAGGGCGGAGCGAGGAGGGGCCGGCCAGCGGCGAGUGGAGAGGGAGGACGGAGGAGGAGGCCGGUACCGAGUCCAGCAAGGAGGAGGAGGUGACGGCGGCACAGACGGAGGAGGGGCAACGGGGGUGGACUGGCGCGGGGGAUUGAGAGGGGAUCCAGUGAGCUAGUGUGUGACUGUGUGAGUGGAUCGGAUAGAGGAGAUGGGGCUAAACUUUUGUAGUAAAUUUAGUAGUAGCGCUUAUUGCAGAAAUGCGCUGCUACUAUGCUACGUAGCAGUAGCACCCGUCGUUAUAACACAUUGCUGCUAUAACUAGCCUUGUGGCGGCCUCGUGGGAAUUAUAGCAGUAGCGCUUCUUUGAGCGGGCGCGCUACUGCUAUAUUGGUUUUAGCAGCGAGUUACUCCCGAGCACGCUACUGCUAAUUAGCAGCAGCGCCUUAUUUUAAAGCGCGUUACUGAUAAGAUUCUGUGUAUAGGCUUUUCCCUAGUAGUGUUGAGGUGGAAUCCUACUAGGACUUGGAGUCCUAGUAGGACUCCCCUCUCCCGGCGCGCCUCACAAGGGCCGGCUGACCUCCCCUCCCUCCUUUAUAUACGAUGCAGGAGGGUACCCUAGGACACACCAAGUUUUUCCUUAGCCGUGUGCGGUGCCCCCCUCCACUGUAGUGCUUAGGCGAAGCCCUGCGCCGGUAACAUCAUCAUCACUGUCGCCACGCUGUCAUGCUAACGGAACUCACCCUCGUCCUCAACUAGAUCAAGAGCACGAGGGACGUCAUCGAGCUGAACGUGUGCUGAACGUGGAGGUGUCGUACGUUCGGUACUUGGAUCGGUUGGAUCGCGAAGACGUUUGACUACAUCAACCUCGUUACUAAACGCUUCCGCUUUUGGUCUACGAGGGUACGUGGACACAUUCUCCCCUCUCGUUUCUAUGCAUCUCCUAGAUAGAUCUUGCGUGAUCGUAGGAAUUUUUUUGAAAUUACCACGUUCCCCAACAGUGGUAUCCGACCCAGGUCUAUGUGUAGAUGUUAUAUGCACGAGUAGAACACAAUGAGUUGUGGGAGAUAAUAGUCAUAUUGCUUACAACCAACGUCUUACUUUGAUUCGGCGGUAUUAUUGGAUGAAGCGGCCCGGACUGUCAUUACAUGACCGCGUUCAUGAGACUGGUUCUACCGAUGUGCUUUGCACAUAGGUGGCUGGCGGGUGUCUGUUUCUCCAACUUUAGUUGAAUCGAGUUUGACUACGCCGGUCCAUGAUGAAGGUUAAAACAACACACUUGACGAAAAAUUGUUGUGGUUUUGAUGCGUAGGUAAGACCGGUUCUUGCUAGAAGCCCGUAGCAGCCACAUAAAACUUGCAACAACAAAGUAGAGGACGUCUAACUUGUUUUUGCAGGGCUUGUGGUGAUGUGAUAUGGUCAAGACAUGAUGUGACAUAAAUUGUUGUAUGAGAUGAUCAUGUUUUGUAAUAGAGUUGUCGGCAACUGGCAGGAGCUAUCUGGUUGUCGCUUUAUUGUAUGAAAUGCAAUUGCCAUGUAAUUGCUUCACUUUAUCACUAAGCGGUAGCGAUAGUCAUAGUAGCAAUAGUUGGCGAGACGACAACGAUGCUACGAUGGAGAUCAAGGUGUCAAGCCGGUGAUGAUGGAGAUCAUGACGAUGCUUCAGUGAUGGAGAUCAUGAGCACAAGAUGAUGAUGGCCAUAUCAUGUCACAUAUUUUGAUUGCAUGUGAUGUUUAUCUUUUAUGCAUCUUAUUUUGCUUAGUACGGCGGUAGCAUUAUAAGAUGAUCCCUUACUAAAUUUUCAAGGUAUAAGUGUUCUCCCUGAGUAUGCACCAUUGCUACAGUUCACCAUGCUGAGACACCACGUGAUGAUCGGGUGUGAUAAGCUCUACAUUCACAUACAAUGGGUGCAAGCCAGUUUUGCACAUGCAGAAUACUCGGGUUAAACUUGACGAGCCUAGCAUAUGCAGAUAUGGCCUCAGAACACUGAGGCCGAAAGGUCAAACGUGAAUCAUAUAGUAGAUAUGAUCAACAUAGAGAUGUUCACCAUUGAAAACUACUCCAUCUCACGUGAUGAUCGGACGUGGUUUAGUUGGUAUGGAUUGCGUGAUCAUUUAGACGACUAGAGGGAUGUCUAUCUAAGUGGGAGUUCUUAAGUAAUAUGAUUAAUUGAACUUUAAUUUAUCAUGAACUUAGUCCUGAUAGUAUUUGCAAAGUAUGUUGUAGAUCAAUUGCUCGCGUUGUAGCUUCCCUAUGUUUUGAAUAUGUUCCUAGAGAAAACUAAGUUGAAAGAUGAUAGUAGCAAUGAUGCGGACUGGAUCCGUGAUCUGAGGUUUAUCCUCAUUCCUACACAGAAGAAUUAUGUCCUUGAUGCACCGCAAGGUGACAAAACUAUUGCAGGAGCAUAUGCAAACGUUAUAAACGUUUGGCUAGCUCAUUAUGAUAACUACUUGAUAGUUUAGUGCACCAUGCUUUACGGCUUAGAAUCAGGACUUUGAAGACGUUUUGAACGCCAUAGACCAUAUGAGAUGUUCCAGGAGUUGAAGUUAAUAUUUCAAGUAAAUACCUGAGUUGAGAGAUGUGAAGUCUCCAACAAGUUCUAUAGCUAAAAGAUGGAGGAGAAUAGCUCAAGCAGUGAGCAUGUGCUCAGAUUGUCUGGGUACUACAAUCGCUUGAAUCAAGUGGGAGUUAAUCUUCCAAAUAAGAUAAUGAUUGACAGAGUUCUCUAGUCACCACCACCAAGUUACUGGAACUUCAUGAUGAACUGUAAUAUGCAAGGGACGACGAAAGCGAUUCCCAAGCUCUUCGUGAUGCUGAAAUCGAUGAAGGUAGAAAUCAAGAAAAAGCAUCAAGUGUUGAUGAUUAAACAAGACCACUGGUUUCAUGUAAAGGGCAAAGGGAAAUAAAGGGAACUUCAAGAAGAAUGGCAAGCAAGUUUUCACUCCCGUGAAGAAGCCCAAAAUUAGACCUGAGCCUGAAACUUAGUGCUUCUACUACAAAGGAAAUGGUCACUGGAAGCGGAAGUACCCCAAAUAUAUGGGAUGGAAAGUGAACAAAGGUAUAUUUGAUAUACAGGUUAUUGAUGUGUACCUUACUAGUGUUCAUAGUAUUCCCUGGGUAUUUGAUACUUAUUCGGUUACUAAGAUUAGUAACUCAAAUUAGGAGUUAUAGAAUAAACAGAGACUAGUUGAGGGUGAAGUGACGAUGUGUAUGUUGGAAGUGGUUCCAAGAUUGAUAUGAUCAUGAUCGCACAACCCCUAUACUUUUGGGAUUAGAGUUGAACCUAAAUAAAUGUUAUUUGGUGUUUGCGUUAAAGCAUGAAUAUGAUUAGAUCAUGUUUUUUGCAAUACGGUUAUUCAUUGAGACAGAGAAUAAUUGCUAUUCUAUUUACAUGAAUAAAACCUUCUAUGGUCAUACAUCCAAUGUUGAUGGUUUAUUGAAUCUCAAUCGUAGUGAUACACAUGUUCAUAAUAUUGAUGCCAAAAGAUAUAAAGUUGAUAAUGAUAGUGCAACAUACUUGUGACACUGUCAUUUAGGUCAUAUUGGUGUAAAGCGUAUGAAGAAACUCCGUGCUGAUGGGCUUUUGGAAUCACUUGAUUAUGAAUCAUUUGAUACUUGCGAACUGUGCCUUAUGGGCAAGAUGACUAAAACUCCAUUCUCCGGAACAAGCUAAUGACUUAUUGGAAAUAAUACAUACCGAUGUAUGCGGUACGAUGAGUGUUGAGGCUCGUGGCAAGUAUCAUUAUUUUCUAACUUUCACAGAUGAUUUGAGCAGAUAUGGGUAUAUCUACUUAAUGAAACACAAGUCUGAAACAUUUGGAAAGUUCAAAGAAUUUUAGAGUGAAGUAGAGAAUCAUUGUAACAAGAAAAUAAAGUUUCUAAGAUCUGAUCAUGGAGGUGAAUUUUUUGAGUUAUGAGUUUGGCCUCAUUUAAAACAAGUGGAAUGGUUUCACAGCUCACGCCACCUGGGACACCACAGCGUAAUGGUGUGUCUGAACAUCGAAACCACACUUAAUUACAUAUGGUGCGAUCUAUGAUGUCUCUUACCGAUUUACCACUAUCAUUUUGGGAUUAUGCAUUAGAGACAACUACAUUCACGUUAAACAGGGCACUAUCAAAAUCCGUUGAGACAACACCGUAUGAAAUAUGGUUUGGCAACAAACCUAAGUUGUCGUUUCUUAAAGUUUGGGGCUGCGAUGCUUAUGUGAAAAAACUUCAACCUGGUAAGCUCGAGCCCAAAUCGGAGAAAUGUGUCUUCAUAGGAUACCCAAAGGAAACUACACCUUCUAUCACAGAUUCGAAGGCAAGAUAUUCGUUGCUAAGAAUGGAUCCUUUCUAGAGAAGGAGUUUCUCUCGAAAGAAGUAAGUGGGAGGAAAGUAGAACUUGAUGAGGUAAUUGUACCUUCUCCCGAAUUGGAAAGUACUUCAUCACAGAAAUCAGUUCUGGUGAUUCCUACACCAAUUAGUGAGGAAGCUAAUGAUGAUGAUCAUGAAACUUCAGAUCAAGUUACUACCGAACCUCGUAGGUCUUCUAGAGUACGGUCCACACCAGAGUGGUACGGUAAUCCUAUUCUGGAAGUCAUGUUACUAGACCAUGAUGAACCUAUGAACUACGAGGAAGCGAUGAUGAGCCCAGAUUCUGUGAAAUGGCUUGAGGCCAUGAAAUCUGAGAUGGGAUCCAUGUAUGAGAACAAAGUGUGGAAUUUGGUGGACUUGCCUGAUGAUCGUCAAGCCAUUAAGAAUAAGUGGAUCUUCAAGAGGAAGACGGAUGCUAAUGGCAGUGUUACUAUCUACAAAGCUCGACUAGUCGCAAAAAGGUUUUUCGACAAGUUCAAAGGUGUUGACUACAAUGAAAUUUUCUCAACCGUAGUGAUGCUUAAAGUCCGUCUGAAUCAGGUUAACAAUGUCACAUCCUAGUUAGCCAUGCAUUAGAGUGUUGCAUCAUGUUUACUCUUUCAUCAGAAACUUGAAAUGGGGAUCUGUGAAACCCUCAGAAUCAUUUUGAAAAUGACCCAAAUAAAAAUUUCUCCAAAAGGAUCCAAGAAAAUGCUCAUGUUGCUCUCUGAAAAUAUUGGACAGAGAUAAAAAUCAAACCAAUAUUUUUAGUGGCUCAUGGACAUUUAUUUUGGGCAUUUGGAAUUAAUGCAUAAGUAUUUGCAUUGGAAAUAUAUUAAUUAUAUAUAUUAAUAUAUGCCCAAAUAUUAUGCCAUUUAUAAAAGAGCUCUGGAAUAAUAUAUAUGGCUCCUGCAAAAAUUGGCAUAAGUUAAAUAAAUGAUUUAAUAUAUUUUUUAAAUCAAAACAAAUGUCAGAAAUUAGAAAACAGAAAAAUAUUAACAGGAGAAGCUUACCUGGGCUCCUCCACCGUGCGGCCCAGCCAGCUGGCUGGCCCAGCCAGCAGCCGGCCCAGCCCACCUCCCUCCUCUGUCGUCUUNNNNNNNNNNNNNNNNNNNNNNNNNNNNNNNNNNNNNNNNNNNNNNNNNNNNNNNNNNNNNNNNNNNNNNNNNNNNNNNNNNNNNNNNNNNNNNNNNNNNNNNNNNNNNNNNNNNNNNNNNNNNNNNNNNNNNNNNNNNNNNNNNNNNNNNNNNNNNNNNNNNNNNNNNNNNNNNNNNNNNNNNNNNNNNNNNNNNNNNNNNNNNNNNNNNNNNNNNNNNNNNNNNNNNNNNNNNNNNNNNNNNNNNNNNNNNNNNNNNNNNNNNNNNNNNNNNNNNNNNNNNNNNNNNNNNNNNNNNNNNNNNNNNNNNNNNNNNNNNNNNNNNNNNNNNNNNNNNNNNNNNNNNNNNNNNNNNNNNNNNNNNNNNNNNNNNNNNNNNNNNNNNNNNNNNNNNNNNNNNNNNNNNNNNNNNNNNNNNNNNNNNNNNNNNNNNNNNNNNNNNNNNNNNNNNNNNNNNNNNNNNNNNNNNNNNNNNNNNNNNNNNNNNNNNNNNNNNNNNNNNNNNNNNNNNNNNNNNNNNNNNNNNNNNNNNNNNNNNNNNNNNNNNNNNNNNNNNNNNNNNNNNNNNNNNNNNNNNNNNNNNNNNNNNNNNNNNNNNNNNNNNNNNNNNNNNNNNNNNNNNNNNNNNNNNNNNNNNNNNNNNNNNNNNNNNNNNNNNNNNNNNNNNNNNNNNNNNNNNNNNNNNNNNNNNNNNNNNNNNNNNNNNNNNNNNNNNNNNNNNNNNNNNNNNNNNNNNNNNNNNNNNNNNNNNNNNNNNNNNNNNNNNNNNNNNNNNNNNNNNNNNNNNNNNNNNNNNNNNNNNNNNNNNNNNNNNNNNNNNNNNNNNNNNNNNNNNNNNNNNNNNNNNNNNNNNNNNNNNNNNNNNNNNNNNNNNNNNNNNNNNNNNNNNNNNNNNNNNNNNNNNNNNNNNNNNNNNNNNNNNNNNNNNNNNNNNNNNNNNNNNNNNNNNNNNNNNNNNNNNNNNNNNNNNNNNNNNNNNNNNNNNNNNNNNNNNNNNNNNNNNNNNNNNNNNNNNNNNNNNNNNNNNNNNNNNNNNNNNNNNNNNNNNNNNNNNNNNNNNNNNNNNNNNNNNNNNNNNNNNNNNNNNNNNNNNNNNNNNNNNNNNNNNNNNNNNNNNNNNNNNNNNNNNNNNNNNNNNNNNNNNNNNNNNNNNNNNNNNNNNNNNNNNNNNNNNNNNNNNNNNNNNNNNNNNNNNNNNNNNNNNNNNNNNNNNNNNNNNNNNNNNNNNNNNNNNNNNNNNNNNNNNNNNNNNNNNNNNNNNNNNNNNNNNNNNNNNNNNNNNNNNNNNNNNNNNNNNNNNNNNNNNNNNNNNNNNNNNNNNNNNNNNNNNNNNNNNNNNNNNNNNNNNNNNNNNNNNNNNNNNNNNNNNNNNNNNNNNNNNNNNNNNNNNNNNNNNNNNNNNNNNNNNNNNNNNNNNNNNNNNNNNNNNNNNNNNNNNNNNNNNNNNNNNNNNNNNNNNNNNNNNNNNNNNNNNNNNNNNNNNNNNNNNNNNNNNNNNNNNNNNNNNNNNNNNNNNNNNNNNNNNNNNNNNNNNNNNNNNNNNNNNNNNNNNNNNNNNNNNNNNNNNNNNNNNNNNNNNNNNNNNNNNNNNNNNNNNNNNNNNNNNNNNNNNNNNNNNNNNNNNNNNNNNNNNNNNNNNNNNNNNNNNNNNNNNNNNNNNNNNNNNNNNNNUGUGAUUUAAGAUAUAGCUACUACCAUGCAUUGGGCCCUGAAAUAUGACCCCGCUCGACUUCUUAUUCACCCUAGCUCUCUGUCCAGGAGUUGCAAGUAGUUUCUGGUGUUUGUAGCCUACUGGAGGCCGUGGACAGCGCUGACCGUAGGGGUGGGCUGUGAUGCGGUAGGUACGUGGCACGGUGUACCGAAUACCCGUUAGGUAUCUCGGGAACCCUGUUCACAUCGUUCGGGGCCGUAUGGGAAACCUCGGCCGGACUCCCUGCGGAUGGAACCUGAAUAGGCGAUAAACCUGGACUAGAGGCUUAAGUGUUUAGGUAGGUCGUGGUCUACACCCACGUCGGCUUUCGCUUGAAGUCUGCCGAGCACAUGUCGUGUGCAGACGCUAAGUGGUGGAAACAUGUAUGAAGAAGUACACCCCUGCAGGGUUAACAUGAUCUAUUCAAAUAGCCGCGUCCGCGGUAAAGGACUACUUGGUUGCCUAUACAGUUCAUAGACAAGUAAAUGGAAACGACUAAAAGCCUCAAGAUAAGUGUGAGUGCCGAGGAUGGCUCUUCCGUAGGAAGACGGAGGUGGAUCCUCGGUAGUGUAUUGAAGUGGUGAGUAGUGGACUCGUGUGCGCAAAACCAUUUCAAGUUGGAGUAUCGUAGGAUAGCCUAGCCAAGAGUCAAAGCUGGCUUGCUGCAAUAACUCCACCAACCCUUCUUGAUACUAUGCAUGUAUGUAGGAUCUGAUGUAAGUCUUGCUGAGUACCUUUGUACUCAUGUUGCUAUAAUCUACAUUUUUACAGAAGACGCUGCAACCCCUUCUGAUGGGUUCUAUGUAGACGUUGACAUCAACGAGUAGGCUAAAGACCCAGGUGGUGACCCUAAGCUUGUGAAGGACCACGUAGUAUAGCUAGGCUUUCCAAGCCUCUUUUAUUUUACUAGUUGUCUGUACUCAGACAAGUUACUUCCGCUGCUGGUUUGUAUGACUGUAUGACUUGUAUGUUGGGUCGUGAGACCCGUACCUUUGUGUAUGAUAUGUAUGGCUCCCUGAGCCUUAAAUAAAGUGCUUGUGUCGUAGAGUCAUGUUGUGAUGCUUCGUUGUAUUCGCACAUAUCGAGCAUAUUGUGUGUAUGAUUGAAAUGCUUGGUAUGUGUGGGAUCUGACUAUCUAGUUGUUUAUCUUUAGUAGCCUCUCUUACCGGGAAAUGUCUCCUAGUGUUACCGCUGAGCCAUGGUAGCUUGCUACUGCUCUGGAACACUUAGGCUGGCCGGCAUGUGUCCUGCUUCGUUCCUGUGUCUGUCCCUUCGGGGAAAUGUCACGCUUUGAGUACCGGAGUCCUGUUAGCCCGCUACAGCCCGGUUUACCGGACCCACUUGCUGAUGACCGACACGUUCGAAGCUGGGUCAUGGAUGCCUGUCCCUGUAAGUCUGUGCCACUUUGGAUUUACGACUAGUCAUGUCAGCCCGGGCUCCUUAUCAUAUGGAUGCUAGCGACACUAUCAUAUACGUGAGCCAAAAGGCGCAAACGGUCCCGGGAAAAGGUAAGACGACACCCGUGGGGAUACCGUGCGUGAGGCCGCAAAGUGAUAUGAGGUGUUACCACCUAGAUCGAUGUGACAUCGAGUCGGGGUCCUGACAGCGUUGGUAUCAGAGCCGGACUGCCUGUAGGUUCUCCAAGCCAAACUGGUCGAUGUUGAGUCUAGAAAUUCUUUAGUUAUAUGUAGGGGAAUUGUUUGUGGGUUGGAACGUAAGGCUCUUUUUGCUCCUUUACCUUAUGACUUUCUGAUCUGAGUCAGUCCAUUCUUCCACCGGGGUUAAGGAAUUAGGAUCUAUUCUCUCUAUCAGGAUCACGUGUUACUAAUCAGUAGUACCUUAUAAGUUUGAUGGUUACAAGCCUAGUUCAGUUCUACGACCACAUUAUGUUGCCAGAAUGGUUUCAGAACUUUGAAAUGAUGAUGUUGAGUAUGUACGAAAUCCUUUGUCAAAUGUCUCAAAAUCCUUCUUGAGCAUUUACAGCUGUUAUGCUGCCGAAAUUUUGCUAGAAAUUCUAAUGCCUUUGCAUUAUGAUUGUGCUUUCAGAUGGCCACCCGCGACCUCAAUCAAGUGGUUCGCCUGACUCGAUGCCUAGAUGUACCCGGCCAUACUGCUAAGUUGGUCAGGGUAAUGACUGAGGCUGGAUACCGCUGGUAUCCCGAGUACACGGUCGAAGAGCAAUUCCGAGAUUUUAAUCAAAGCCAGUAUCUCUGCACUGUCAGGAUAUUUCCAUCUUAUCCUGGAUCCACCGAGCCUCUUCACUGCUCCUAUGGACUCGGGGUUACUAUUGAGAUGGCUGUGCAGGACGCCGCCUACUCUAUGAUGACCAUUAUCCGAGUCAGAUCUGGUCUGUUUCGGGACUCUGAUUUCCGGUAUAUGCCAGGAUCACUUCCGGGAGCACAAGGGUAUCUCCAGGCUAUCUAUGCUGACCCCACUCAGGAGGAUUCACGGACUCGCACCACUGCUGAGAUGCUCGAGGAUAAGGACCGUGAAAAUCGGGCCUUAAGGUUAGAGCUCUUCAAUACCCGUGCUGACCACUGGGCCACUUUGACUCGGUUCGCACCGGCGGUGCAAGCUGGAUAUUCAGAUAUGCGCGAUCUCUAUCCUGUGAGAUCUGCUCUGCCGGACGUAAUGGUUUGGCGUGAUGUAGGAGGCAUCACCCCACCUCGCGGUCCCCGCAGGCCACCGUCUGUUGGUCCAAGGCCUCAUCCUAGCCCCUAUGGUCCACAAGCUCCGCGAGAUCGUCUGUUUCCGGAUGAUCAUGUUGAACUUCCAGGCUAUGGAGGCGACUUCUACGAGGACUACUACGGAUCGGUCUGAGUUAGUGGUAGUAUCACUAGUUCGCACUAGCUGUGUCUUCUAUCGUUCCGCGUGACUCGUGGGAUAUGACCUAGUUUGUACUCUUUCCGGAGGAGUAGAAAAAUAAUGUAUAGGAGCUUGGGAUGCCUACGAUGAGAUGUAAUCCUCUUUCACCGUAAUAGUACUUGUUUGGUCUUGUACUAAACCCUGUAUGGUGUGUAUGACGAUGGAAUAAAGAAGUAGUUUCUGUAUCUACCAUGUCAUACGGAUGAUCAUCUUGCAUUCCGAGUUAUUCCUUACAUUAUGUAUCCUAUGUCGGAAUUUUACCAUCCUGACUAAAUCAUUGUCUUGUUUACCUAGGAUGGUCAACACGCGCGCUAACCCUGCUUCCCAAGAGCAGGCCGAAGGCAGUGAAGCCAGGGAUGCAAAUCUGCCUCAUCCUCCUUCACUAGCCGAGGUUAUGAUGGAAGCUGAGAGAAACAAGCGGGAGACCAACCGUUUGUUGGAGCGUAUUGAACAGAAUACAGCACACCAUCAGAGGGCUAACGUGGUGUCACUCAGUGAUUUUAUCAAAUUGCAUCCACCCACGUUCCACCACUCCGUCGAGCCUCUCGACGCUGAUGACUGGCUUCGCAGUAUCUCUCACAAACUGCGUUCCGCGCUGGUAGCGGAGGCUGACAAGGUCACCUUUGCUGCAUAUCAUCUUGAAGGCCCCGCCAGUCUAUGGUGGGAGAAUUAUGGAGCUAUGCUCCCAGCGGGCCAUGUCACUACUUGGGCUGAAUUCAGCGAGGCUUUCCGUGAACAUCACAUUUCGGAGGGUCUCAUGGACCGUAAACGCGAAGAAUUUUGCAGUUUUACCCAAGGCCGACUUUCUGUGGAUGUCUAUAGCAGGGAGUUUGGUAAUCUCGCCCGAUAUGCAACUGAGGAAGUGUCUACUGACGCCAAGAAGCAAGCAAGGUUCCGUAAGGGCCUUAGUCCUGAGCUUCGCCGUGACCUCCGUCUGCAUGAGUGCACAUCUUUUUCGAAACUUGUCAACAAAGCCAUCAGUGCUGAAACUGGUCAGACUGACUAUGACGCAACACGCAAGCAUGGCCGUGACAUGGGUUCCUCAUCCGGUGCUGGUCCUCAGAAGCGCCGCGUGUGGGUGCCCAACACCGCCCUGCCACCCAGGUUCACACCGAGGCCAUCUUUCCAGGCGCCUCGCCCUGUUCAACAGUCUGCACCGGCCAAGCCCUAUGGGGGUCCUUUACAACAAAGUCAACCGCUUCUCCAUGAGGAAUUUCGGAAGCUUAACCUUCACAUUGUUCCUCAAGGUUUUCUUUCCACCUUGGUGGCAAAACCUACUCUUACGGAUCAAAUCAUCGCUGCCCAAGAGCGAGAUAAGGGAAUAUCUAAAAUCAAAGAGAACAUUGCUAGCGGAGGUGCUAGUUGUUUCUCCACAAAUGAUCAUGGUGUUGUGUACUUUGAGAAUCGUCUAGUGGUUCCCAAGAACCAGCAUCUACGGCAGUUGAUCCUUAAGGAAGCUCAUGAAUCUCCUCUCACCAUUCAUCCCGGUAGCACUAAGAUGUAUCAGGACCUACGCCAGAGGUUCUGGUGGACUAGGAUGAAGAGAGAAAUUGCUCAGUAUAUUGCAAAUUGCGACGUCUGUCGUCGUGUAAAAGCAGAGCAUCAACGGCCUGCUGGCACCCUUCAACCCUUAGCUAUUCCUGAAUGGAAAUGGGAUAAAAUUGGUAUGGAUUUCAUUACCGGGUUUCCCAGGACCAAGAGAGGGAAUAAUGCUAUUUUCGUCGUGGUCGAUCGUAUUUCCAAAGUAGCCCAUUUCUUACCUGUUCGUGAGAGUAUAACCGCUAGUCAACUGGCAGAAUUGUACAUCUCCCGAAUAGUGUCUCUCCAUGGUGUUCCUUUGGAAAUUAACUCGGAUCGAGGAAGUCUUUUCACCUCUCGAUUUUGGGAAAGUUUCCAAAAUGCUAUGGGAACUCGUCUCUCUUUUAGCACCGCUUUCCACCCUCAGUCAAGUGGUCAAGUGGAACGCGUCAAUCAGAUUCUAGAAGACAUGCUUCGAGCCUCUGUUAUCUCAUUCGGAAUGGACUGGGAGAAGUGCCUUCCAUUUGCCGAAUUCGCUUACAACAACAGCUAUCAAUCUAGCUUGGGUAAAGCCCCUUUUGAAGUUCUCUAUGGACGACGGUGUCGAACACCCCUUAACUGGUCAGAGACCGGGGAAAGACAAUUCUUUGGCCCGGAUAUGAUUCAGGAAGUAGAAGAACAAGUUCGUAUCGUUCGUGAAAAGUUGAAAACAGCCCAAUCCCGUCAAAAGAGUCAAUAUGACCGAAAACAUAAGGCUAUGACCUUCGAGGUUGACGAGAAGGCUUAUCUUCGGGUCACCCCUCUGAAGGGAACCCAUCGUUUCGGUAUCAAAGGCAAAUUGGCUCCUCGUUACAUUGGACCUUUUCGCAUUCUUGCCAAACGAGGAGAAGUUGCCUACCAGUUGGAACUACCUCCGCACCUCUCCAGAGUUCACGAUGUCUUCCACGUUUCUCAACUCAGGCGUUGCUUCUCGGAUCCUAUCCGUGGAGUGGACCACGAAACGCUUGAUCUCCAGGAUAAUCUUACAUAUCGAGAGUACCCCAUUCGUAUCCUCGAUCAAGCCGAACGUACCACGCGACGUCAUAAUAUCAAGUUUCUCAAGGUUCAAUGGUCGCACCAUUCUGAGGAUGAAGCAACUUGGGAAAGGGAGGAUCGUCUUCGACUCGAGUAUCCCGCCUUCUUCCCGGAGGAACCCAAAUCUCGGGACGAGAUUCUUUUGAGUGGGGGUGAGUUGUCACAUCCUAGUUAGCCAUGCAUUAGAGUGUUGCAUCAUGUUUACUCUUUCAUCAGAAACUUGAAAUGGGGAUCUGUGAAACCCUCAGAAUCAUUUUGAAAAUGACCCAAAUAAAAAUUUCUCCAAAAGGAUCCAAGAAAAUGCUCAUGUUGCUCUCUGAAAAUAUUGGACAGAGAUAAAAAUCAAACCAAUAUUUUUAGUGGCUCAUGGACAUUUAUUUUGGGCAUUUGGAAUUAAUGCAUAAGUAUUUGCAUUGGAAAUAUAUUAAUUAUAUAUAUUAAUAUAUGCCCAAAUAUUAUGCCAUUUAUAAAAGAGCUCUGGAAUAAUAUAUAUGGCUCCUGCAAAAAUUGGCAUAAGUUAAAUAAAUGAUUUAAUAUAUUUUUUAAAUCAAAACAAAUGUUAGAAAUUAGAAAACAGAAAAAUAUUAACAGGAGAAGCUUACCUGGGCUCCUCCACCGUGCGGCCCAGCCAGCUGGCUGGCCCAGCCAGCAGCCGGCCCAGCCCACCUCCCUCCUCUGUCGUCUUCGUCCCGACAGAGGGAGGGGAGUGUGGCCGGCGCGCGCGCGCGCCACCGCGCCACGCCACCUCUCUCCCUGCCUGCCUGCCCUCCCCUCCUCGCCCCGAUGCCCCGGACCACGCCACGCCUCCCCCCCUGCUCUCUCUCACUCUCCCCCGGCUCUCCCCUCCUCUCCCCCGCUCUCUCUCUCACACGGCCGAACACCACCGUCGCCACCGUUCGCCACAGCAGCCGUCUCCGGCCACCCCNNNNNNNNNNNNNNNNNNNNNNNNNNNNNNNNNNNNNNNNNNNNNNNNNNNNNNNNNNNNNNNNNNNNNNNNNNNNNNNNNNNNNNNNNNNNNNNNNNNNNNNNNNNNNNNNNNNNNNNNNNNNNNNNNNNNNNNNNNNNNNNNNNNNNNNNNNNNNNNNNNNNNNNNNNNNNNNNNNNNNNNNNNNNNNNNNNNNNNNNNNNNNNNNNNNNNNNNNNNNNNNNNNNNNNNNNNNNNNNNNNNNNNNNNNNNNNNNNNNNNNNNNNNNNNNNNNNNNNNNNNNNNNNNNNNNNNNNNNNNNNNNNNCGCCGUCGAAUUCGUCGUCUCCAGCGCGUCCCCGAGCCCGCUAACCAUCCCUGCAGCUCCGCGGUGAGCCCCCGGAUCGUUUCCCCCUUCUCCCCUGGUCUCUUUCGACCUCUAGGCCCUAGCCCCACCUUGGCCGAGAGCUCCACGCCGCCGGCGAUGUCGCCGUCGUGGCCACGGUCACCGUAGCACCCAACCGAGCGCACUAUGGUGCUCCCCACCUCACCAGGAGCACGCAGCGCGCACUAACGCCUCCCCAAACCCCCUGCAACGUCGAUUCCGACCGCACCCGAACUCCGGCAGCCGCAGCCGAGCUCGCCGCCGUCGCCUCCGGCCACCCCAGGGCCAGCCACGGCCACCGUCCGACGCGCCGUCGAGCUAGCUAUCCAACGCACCUAGCCGCACGCCGUUUGGAGCACCACAGAGGAAACCCGAGGCCCCUGCACGCCGCGGACCUCGCCGGCGACUAACCGCCGGCGGGUUUGACCUGUCCGACCUGAGGUUUGACCCCCCCAGGGUCACUGACGCGUGGGCCCUGUCGGACAGGUGGUUAGUUAGUACUAAUUACCGUUAGUCAACCCCCCCUGACACUGACUAGUGGGCCCCAGCGCCACUAAUUAGUAAUUAGGAUUAAACUAACCCUGUUUAACACCCCUGUCACUGACGUGUGGGCCCCACACGUCAGGUUUGACUUCAGCCAGCCGCAGUUGACCACUGACGUCAUGCUGACGUCAUGCUGGCGCAAUAAUUAUAAUUUCUGGAUUUAAUUUAAAUCAGGAAAUUCCAGAAUAUUAUUUAAACUUCAAAAAUUCAUAACUUUUAUUCUGUAACUCCAAAUUGGACAAAUUAUAUAUGAAAAAUGAUCAGAAAAAUCCAAUCUAUCCAUCUGUACUAUUUUCAUGCAUGAUCAAACAAGUUAAAUUGAUGUUUUAAGCAGAACAAGGAAAAGCACUUUUAAAAGGCCAUGUUUGAGUUUGAAAUUUGAAUCUUUGGUUCAAAUUUGUUCAAACCCUUCUGGUUCUAGUUGCAUUAGCCCAACACACUCAUAUUGCCAUGUUUCAUGCAUGCAUCAUAUUGUUGCACAUUGUUUGGUGAUGCUUGUGUAUCGAUGUCCUUUGCGACAGGUUCUGCCUCCGAGGAGUACCGUGAUUACCCUAACGAAGAACCAUAUCAGUGCAUCGAACCAUCAGGCAAGCAACCAACCAUUUGAUCAUAUCGAUACAAUCCCAUGUUCUCGCUCCUGCUCUCUUUUACUGCAUUAAGACAACGCGAUUCAAACUGCUGUGUGCUACGGUAGUUGAACCCAUUUCCUCUGCAUGACCUGUCAUUGCCACAGUAACUAGAUGAAACCCACUAGCAUGUGUAGGAGUUGAUUGAGCCAUAUGUAUGUGUUGUUCCUACCUUGCUAUGCCUGCUAUGCUUAGAGUCGUGUCAGGUCUGGUUCAUCUGGGUGAUGGGCUAGAGUGAAAUGAUUAUGUCGGUAAUGAGAGUGGUGUGGUGAACACGAUUUGGUAAAGGUAUCGAUGAGAGGCCAUGUAGGACUACAUGGUGGGUUGUUUCAUUGAAGCCGACCUUAAGCACUGAGAUCUGUAUGUGUGAUUUAAGAAUCAGCUACUACCAUACAUUGGGCCCUGAAACAUGACCCCGCUCGACUUCUUAUUCACCCUAGCUCUCUGUCCAGGAGUUGCAAGUAGUUUCUGGUGUUUGUAGCCUACUGGAGGCCGUGGACAGCGCUGACCGUAGGGGUGGGCUGUGAUGCGGUAGGUACGUGGCACGGUGUACCGAAUACCCGUUAGGUAUCUCGGGAACCCUGUUCACAUCGUUCGGGGCCGUAUGGGAAACCUCGGCCGGACUCCCUGCGGAUGGAACCUGAAUAGGCGAUAAACCUGGACUAGAGGCUUAAGUGUUUAGGUAGGUCGUGGUCUACACCCACGUCGGCUUUCGCUUGAAGUCUGCCGAGCACAUGUCGUGUGCAGACGCUAAGUGGUGGAAACAUGUAUGAAGAAGUACACCCCUGCAGGGUUAACAUGAUCUAUUCGAAUAGCCGCGUCCGCGGUAAAGGACUACUUGGUUGCCUAUACAGUUCAUAGACAAGUAAAUGGAAACGACUAAAAGCCUCAAGAUAAGUGUGAGUGCCGAGGAUGGCUCUUCCGUAGGAAGACGGAGGUGGAUCCUCGGUAGUGUAUUGAAGUGGUGAGUAGUGGACUCGUGUGCGCAAAACCAUUUCAAGUUGGAGUAUCGUAGGAUAGCCUAGCCAAGAGUCAAAGCUGGCUUGCUGCAAUAACUCCACCAACCCUUCUUGAUACUAUGCAUGUAUGUAGGAUCUGAUGUAAGUCUUGCUGAGUACCUUUGUACUCAUGUUGCUAUAAUCUACAUUUUUACAGAAGACGCUGCAACCCCUUCUGAUGGGUUCUAUGUAGACGUUGACAUCAACGAGUAGGCUAAAGACCCAGGUGGUGACCCUGAGCUUGUGAAGGACCACAUAGUAUAGCUAGGCUUUCCAAGCCUCUUUUAUUUUACUAGUUGUCUGUACUCAGACAAGUUACUUCCGCUGCUGGUUUGUAUGACUGUAUGACUUUUAUGUUGGGUCGUGAGACCCGUACCUUUGUGUAUGAUAUGUAUGGCUCCCUGAGCCUUAAAUAAAGUGCUUGUGUCGUAGAGUCAUGUUGUGAUGCUUCGUUGUAUUCGCACAUAUCGAGCAUAUUGUGUGUAUGAUUGAAAUGCUUGGUAUGUGUGGGAUCUGACUAUCUAGUUGUUUAUCUUUAGUAGCCUCUCUUACCGGGAAAUGUCUCCUAGUGUUACCGCUGAGCCAUGGUAGCUUGCUACUGCUCUUGAACACUUAGGCUGGCCGGCAUGUGUCCUUCUUCGUUCCUGUGUCUGUCCCUUCGGGGAAAUGUCACGCUUUGAGUACCGGAGUCCUGUUAGCCCGCUACAGCCCGGUUUACCAGAGUCCUGCUAGCCCAGUGCUACAGCCCGGACCCACUUGCUGAUGACCGACACGUUCGAAGCUGGGUCAUGGAUGCCUGUCCCUGUAAGUCUGUGCCACUUUGGAUUUACGACUAGUCAUGUCAGCCCGGGCUCCUUAUCAUAUGGAUGCUAGCGACACUAUCAUAUACGUGAGCCAAAAGGCGCAAAUGGUCCCGGGAAAAGGUAAGACGACACCCGUGGGGAUACCGUGCGUGAGGCCGCAAAGUGAUAUGAGGUGUUACCAGCUAGAUCGAUGUGACAUCGAGUCGGGGUCCUGACAAACAAUUGCCAUAUUUUAUGAAAUCUGGCAAGUGGAUGUCAAAACUGCAUUCCUUAAAUGGAUAUCUCUAAGGAGAGUUGUAUAUGAUGCAACCAGAAGGUUUUGUCAAUCCUAAAGGUGCUAGCAAAAUGUGCGAUCUCCAGCGAUCCAUCUUUGGACUAGUGCAAGCAUCUCAGAGUUGGAAUAUAUGCUUUGAUGAGUUGAUCAAAGCAUAUAGUUUUAUACAGACUUGCGGUGAAGCCUGUAUUUACAAGAAAGUGAGUGGGAGCACUACAGCCUUUCUGGUAAGUACAUGUGAAUGACAUAUUAUUGAUCAGAAAUAAUGUAGAAUUUUCUGGAAAGCAUAAAGGAGAGUUUGAAAGGAGAUUUUCAAAGAAAGACCUCGGUGAAGAUGCUUACAUAUUUGGCAUCAAGAUCUAUAGAGAUGGAUCAAGACACUUGAUAAGAUUUUUCAAUGAGUACAUACCUUGACAAGAUUAUGAAAGAGUUCAAAAUGGAUCAUUCAAAGAAGGAGUUCUUGCCUGUAUUACAAGGUGUAAAGUUUAGUAAGACUCAAAGCCUGACCACGGCAGAAGAUAGAAAGAGAAUGAAAGUCAUUCCCUAAGCCUCAGUCAUAGGUUCUAUAAAGUAUACCAUGCUAUGUACCAAACCAGUCGUGUGCCUUACUAUGAGUUUGGCAAGGGGGUACGAUAGUGAUCCAGGAGUGGAUCACUGUAUAGCGGUCAAAGUUAUUAUUAGUUACCUAAGAGGACUAAGGAAGUAUUUCUCGGUUAUGGAGGUGAUAAAGAGUUCAUCGUAAAGAGUUACAUCGAUGUAAGCUUUACACCAAUCCAUAUGACUCUGAGUCUCAAUCUGGAUACAUAUUGAAAGAAGGAGUAAUUAGCUAGAGUAGCUCCAUGUAGAGCAUUGUACAACAACAACAACAACAACAACAACAAAGCCUUUAGUCCCAAACAAGUUGGGGUAGGCUAGAGGUGAAACCCAUAAGAUCUCGCAACCAACUCAUGGCUCUGGCACAUGGAUAGCAAGCUUCCACGCACCCCUGUCCAUAGCUAGCUCUUUGUCGAUACUCCAAUCCUUCAGGUCUCUCUUAACGGACUCCUCCCAUGUCAAAAUCGGUCGACCCCACCCUCUCUUGACAUUCUCCGCACGCUUUAGCCGUCCGCUAUGCACUGGAGCUUCUGGAGGCCUGCACUGGAUAUGCCCAAACCAUCUCAAACGAUGUUGGACAAGCUUCUCCUCAAUUGGUGCUACCCCAACUCUAUCUCGUAUAUCAUCAUUCCGGACUCGAUCCUUCCUCGUGUGGCCACACAUCCAUCUCAACAUACGCAUCUCCGCCACACCUAACUGUUGAACAUGUCGCCUUUUAGUCAGCCAACACUCCGCGCCAUACAACAUUGCGGGUCGAACCGCCAUCCUGUAGAACUUGCCUUUUAGCUUUUGUGGCACUCUCUUGUCACAGAGAAUGCCAGAAGCUUGGCACCACUUCAUCCAUCCGGCUUUGAUUCGAUGGUUCACAUCUUCAUCAAUACCCCCAUCCUCCUGCAACAUUGACCCCAAAUACCGAAAGGUGUCCUUCCGAGGUACCACCUGGCCAUCAAGGCUAACCUCCUCCUCCUCACAGCUAGUAGUACUGAAACCGCACAUCAUGUACUCGGUUUUAGUUCUACUAAGCCUAAACCCUUUCGAUUCCAAGGUUUGUCUCCAUAACUCUAACUUCCUAUUUACCCCCGUCCGACUAUCGUCAACUAGCACCACAUCAUCCGCAAAGAGCAUACACCAUGGGAUAUCUCCUUGUAUACCCCUUGUGACCUCAUCCAUCACCAAUGCAAAAAGAUAAGGGCUCAAAGCUGACCCCUGAUGCAGUGCUAUCUUAAUCGGGAAGUCAUCGGUGUCGACAUCACUUGUUCGAACACUUGUCACAACAUUAUUGUACAUGUCCUUGAUGAGGGUAAUGUACUUUGCUGGGACUUUGUGUUUCUCCAAGGCCCACCACAUGACAUUCCGCGGUAUCUUAUCAUAGGCCUUCUCCAAGUCAAUGAACACCAUAUGCAAGUCCUUCUUAUGCUCCCUAUAUCUCUCCAUAAGUUGUCGUACCAAGAAAAUGGCUUCCAUGGUCGACCUCCCAGGCAUGAAACCAAACUGAUUUUUGGUCACGCUUGUCAUUCUUCUUAAGCAGUGCUCAAUGACUCUCUCCCAUAGCUUCAUUGUAUGGCUCAUCAGCUUAAUUCCAUGGUAAUUAGUACAACUCUGAACAUCCCCCUUGUUCUUGAAGAUUGGUACUAAUAUACUCCGUCUCCAUUCUUCUGGCAUCUUGUUUGCCCGAAAAAUGAGGUUGAAAAGCUUGGUUAGCCAUACUAUUGCUAUGUCCCCGAGACCUUUCCACACCUUAAUGGGGAUACAAUCAGGGCCCAUCGCCUUGCCUCCUUUCAUCCUUUUUAAAGCCUCCUUCACCUCAGACUCCUGGAUGCGCCGCACAAAACGCAUGCUGGUCUCAUCAAAGGAGUCAUUCAGUUCAAUGGUAGAACUCUCAUUCUCCCCAUUGAACAGCUUGUCGAAGUACUCUAGCCAUCUAUGCUUAAUCUCUUCGUCCUUCACCAAGAGUUGGCCUGCUCCGUCCUUGAUGCAUUUGACUUGGCCAAUAUCCCUCGUCUUCCUCUCCCGGAUCUUAGCCAUCUUAUAGAUGUCCCUUUCACCUUCCUUCGUGCCUAACCGUUGGUAGAGGUCCUCAUAUGCCCGACCCCUUGCUUCACCAACAGCUCGCUUUGCAGCCUUCUUGUAGACAUAGAAAAUUUGCAAAAUACAUACAGCUCUGAAUUUAGCACACUCGUUGACUGAACUUCUCUCACAAGCAAAACAUGAUCACACCUUAGUACUCUUUGGGUGUUAAUCACAUAGCGAUGUGAACUAUAUUAUUGACUCUAGUAAACCCUUUGGUUAUAUGUCACAUGGCGAUGUGAACUAUGGGUGUUAAUCACAUACAGAUGUGAACUAUUGGUGUUAAAUCACAUGGCGAUGUGAACUAGAUUAUUGACUCUAGUGCAAGUGGGAGAUUGAAGGGAAUAUACCCUAGAGGAAAUAAUGAAGUUGUUAUUUAUAUUUCCUUAUAUCAUGAUAAAUGUUUAUUAUUCAUGCUAGAAUUGUAUUAAUCGGAAACUUAGUACAUGUGUGAAUACAUAGACAAUACAUAGUGCCCCUAGUAUGCCUCUACUUGACUAGCUCGUUAAUCAAAGAUGGCUAUGUUUCCUAACCAUAGACAUGUGUUGUCAUUUGAUGAACGGGAUCACAUCAUUAGGAGAAUGAUGUGAUGGACAAGACCCAUCCGUUAGCUUAGCAUUAUGAUUGUUACAGUUUCAUUGCUACUGCUUUCUUCAUGACUUAUACAUGUUCCUCAAACUAUGAGAUUAUGAAACUCCUGAAUACCGGAGGAACACCUUGUGUGCUAUCAAACGUCAAAAUGUAACUGGGUGAUUAUAAAGAUGCUCUACAGGUGUCUCCAAAGGUGUUUCUUGGGUUGGCAUAGAUCGAGAUUAGGAUUUGUCACUCUGUGUAUCGGAGAGGUAUCUCUGGGCCCUCUCGGUAAUGCUCAUCACUAUAAGACUUGCAAGCAAUGUGACUAAUGAGUUAGCUAUGGGAUGAAUCAUUACGGAACUAGUAAAGAGACUAGCCGAUAACGAGAUUGAACUAGGUAUGAUGAUACCGACGAUCGAAUCUCGGGCAAGUAACAUACCAAUGACAAAGGGAACAACGUAUGUUGUGUUGGAAAUAUGCCCUAGAGGCAAUAAUAAAAUGAUUAUCAUUAUAUUUCCUUGUUCAUGAUAAUUGUCUAUUAUUCAUGCUAUAAUUGUGUUAUCCGGAAAUCGUAAUACAUGUGUGAAUACAUAGACCACAACAUGUCCCUAGUGAGCCUCUAGUUGACUAGCUCGUUGAUCAACAGAUAGUCAUGGUUUCCUGACUAUGGACAUUGGAUGUCAUUGAUAACGGGAUCACAUCAUUAGGAGAAUGAUGUGAUGGACAAGACCCAAUCCUAAGCAUAGCACAAGAUCGUGUAGUUCGUUUGCUAGAGCUUUUCCAAUGUCAAAGUAUCAUUUUCCUUAGACCAUGAGAUCGUGUAAAUUCCGGAUACCGUAUGAGUGAUUUGGGUGUACCAAAUGUCACAACGUAACUGGGUGACUAUAAAGGUAUACUACAGGUAUCCCCGAAAGUAUCUGUUGGGUUAACACAGAUCGAGACUGGGAUUUGUCACUCCGUAUGACGGAGAGGUAUCUCUGGGCCCACUCGGUAAUGCAUCAUCAUAAUGAGCUCAAUGUGACCAAGUGGUUGGUCACGGGAUCAUGCAUUAUGGUACGAGUCAAGUGACUUGCCGGUAACGAGAUUGAACGAGGUAUUGGGAUACCGACGAUCGAAUCUCGGGCAAGUAACGUACCGAUUGACAAAGGGAAUUGUAUACGGGAUUACUUGAAUCCUCGACAUCGUGGUUCAUUCGAUGAGAUCAUCGUGGAACAUGUGGGAACCAACAUGGGUAUCUAGAUCCCGCUGUUGGUUAUUGGCCGGAGAGCUGUCUCGGUCAUGUCUGCGUGAUUCCCGAACCCGUAGGGUCUACACACUUAAGGUUCGGUGAUGCUAGGGUUGUAGAGAUAUUAGUAUGCGGUAACCCGAAAGUUGUUCGGAGUCCCAGAUGAGAUCCCGGAUGUCACGAGGAGUUCUGGAAUGGUCCGGAGGUGAAGAUUUGUAUAUAGGAAGUCCAGUUUCAACCACCGGGAAAGUUUCGGGGGUCACCGGUAUUGUACCGGGACCACCAGAAGGGUCCCGGGGGUCCACCAGGUGGGGCCACCUAUCUCGGAGGGCCCCAUUGGCUGAAGUGGGAAGGGAACCAGCCCCUGGUGGGCUGGUGAGCCCCCCUUGGGCCUCCCCCUGCGCCUAGGGUUGGAAACCCUAGGGGUGGGGGGCGCCCCACCUGACUUGGGGGGCAAGCCCCCCCCCCUUGGCCGCCGCCCCCCUUGAUAUUGGAUCUCUAGGGGGUCGGCGCCCCCACCCCAGGGCCNNNNNNNNNNNNNNNNNNNNNNNNNNNNNNNNNNNNNNNNNNNNNNNNNNNNNNNNNNNNNNNNNNNNNNNNNNNNNNNNNNNNNNNNNNNNNNNNNNNNNNNNNNNNNNNNNNNNNNNNNNNNNNNNNNNNNNNNNNNNNNNNNNNNNNNNNNNNNNNNNNNNNNNNNNNNNNNNNNNNNNNNNNNNNNNNNNNNNNNNNNNNNNNNNNNNNNNNNNNNNNNNNNNNNNNNNNNNNNNNNNNNNNNNNNNNNNNNNNNNNNNNNNNNNNNNNNNNNNNNNNNNNNNNNNNNNNNNNNNNNNNNNNNGAAGGAGGAGACGUCUUCCCCAACCGUACGUGUGUUGAACGCGGAGGUGUCGUCCGUUCGGCACUAGGAUCUUCGGUGAUUUGGAUCACGAUGAGGACGACUCCAUCAACCCCAUUCUCUUGAAUGCUUCCGCUCGCGAUCUACAAGGGUAUGUAGAUGCACUCCUCUCUCUCGUUGCUAGAUGACUCCAUAGAUUGAUCUUGGUGAAGCGUAGAAUUUUUUUUAUGUUCUGCAACGUUCCCCAUCAGUGGCAUCAUGAGCUAGGUCUAUGCAUAGUUUCUAUGCACGAGUAGAACACAAUUUUGUUGUGGGCGCAGAUUUUGUCAAUUUACUUGCCACUACUAGUCUUAUCUUGUUUUGGCGGCAUCUUCGGAUGAAGCGGCCCGGACCGACCUUACAUGUACCCUUACGUGAGAUAGGUUCCACCGACUGACAUGCACGAGUUGCAUAAGGUGGCUAGCGGGUGUCUGUCUCUCCCACUUUUGUCGGAUCGGAUUCGAUGAAAAGGGUCCUUAUGAAGGGUAAAUAGAAAUUGGCAUAUCACGUUGUGGUUUUGACGUAGGUAAGAAACGUUCUUGCUAGAAACCUAUUACAGCCACGUAAAAAACAUGCAACAACAAUUAGAGGACGUCUAACUUGUUUUUGCAGCAUAUGCCUUGUGAUGUGAUAUGGCCAAAAGGAUGUGAUGAAUGAUAUAUAUGUGAUGUAUGAGAUUGAUCAUGUUCUUGUAAUAGGAAUCACGACUUGCAUCCCGAUGAGUAUGACAACCGACAGGAGCCAUAGGAGUUGUCUUAAUUAUUGUAUGACCUGCGUGUCAUUGAAUAAAUGCCAUGUAAUUACUUUAUUUUAUUGCUAAACCCUUAGCCAUAGUAGUAGAAGUAAUAGUUGGUGAACAACUUCAUGGAGACACGAUGAUGGAGAUCAUGGUGUCAUGCCGGUGACGAUGAUGAUCAUGGCGCCCCGAAGAUGGAGAUCAAAAGGAGCAAAAUGAUAUUGGCCAUAUCAUGUCACUAUUUGAUUGCAUGUGAUGUUUAUCAUGUUUUUUGCAUCUUAUUUGCUUAGAAUGACGGUAGUAAAUAAGAUGAUCCCUCAUAAUAAUUUCAAGAAAGUGUUCCCCCUAACUGUGCGCCGUUGCGAAAGUUCGUUGUUUCGAAGCACCAUGUGAUGAUCGGGUGUGAUAGAUUCUAAUGUCCACAAACAACGGGUGUAAGACAGAUUUACACAUGCAAAACACUUAGGUUGACUUGACAAGCCUAGCAUGUACAGACAUGGCCUUGGAACACAAGAGACCAAAAGGUCGAACAUGAGUCGUAUAGAAGAUACGAUCAACAUGUUCACCGAUGAUGACUAGUCCGUCUCACGUGAUGAUCGGACACGGUCUAGUUGACUCAGAUCAUGGAUCACUUAGAUGACUAGAGGGAUGUCUAUCUGAGUGGGAGUUCAUUAAAUAAUUUGAUUAGAUGAACUUAAUUAUCAUGAACUUUGUCUAAAAACUUUUGCAAUAUGUCUUGUAGAUCAAAUGGCCCACGCUAAUGUUGCCCUCAACUUCAACGCGUUCCUAGAGAAAACCAAGCCGAAAGACGAUGGCAGCAACUACACGGACUGGGUCCGGAACUUGAGGAUCAUCCUCAUAGCUUCCAAAAGAGCAUAUGUCCUAGAUGCACCGCUAGGUGAAGCACCCGUUUCCCUGCAACUCAAGACGUUAUGAACGCCUGUCAGUCGCGUGUUGAUGACUACUCCCUCGUUCAGUGCGGCAUGCUUUACAGCUUAGAACCGGGGCUCCAAAAGCGUUUUGAGCAACACGGAGCAUAUGAGAUGUUCAAAGAGCUGAAAUGGUUUUCCAAGCUCAUGCCCGGGUCGAGAGAUAUGAAGUCUCCGACAAGUUCUAUAGUUGUAAGAUGGAGGAAAAUAGUUCUGUCAGUGAGCACAUACUCAAAAUGUAUGGGUUGCACAACCGCUUGCCCCAGCUGGACAUUAACCUCCCGGACGAGGCGGUCGUUGACAGAAUCCUUCAUUCACUCCCACCUAGCUAAAAGAGCUUUGUGAUGAACUACAAUAUGCAGGGGAUGGUGAAAACUAUUCCUGAAGUAUUUUCAAUGCUGAAAUCAGCGGAGGUGGAAAUCAAAAAGGAACAUCAAGUGUUGAUGGUCAAUAAAACCACUAGUUUCAAGAAAGGCAAGGGUAAAAAGAACUUCAAGAAGGAUGGCAAGGGAGUUGCCGUGGCCGGUAAGCCAGUUGCCGGGAAGAAGCCAAAGCAUGGACCCAAACCUGAGACUGAGUGUUUUUAUUGCAAGGGAAGCGGGCACUGGAAGCGGAACUACCCCAAGUACUUAGCAGACAAGAAGGCCGAGAACACUAAAGGUAUAUGUGAUAUACAUGUAAUUGAUGUGUACCUUACCAGUACUCAUAGUAGCUCCUGGGCAUUUGAUACCGGUGCGGUUGCUCAUAUUUGUAACUCAAAACAGGAGUUGCGGAAUAAACGGAGACUGGCGAAGGAUGAGGUGACGAUGCGCGUCGGGAAUGGUUCCAAGGUCGAUGUGAUCGCCGUCGGCACGCUACCUCUACAUUUACCUACGGGAUUAGUUUUAAACCUCAAUAAUUGUUAUUUAGUGCCAGCUUUGAGCAUGAACAUUGUAUCUGGAUCUCGUUUAAUACAAGAUGGCUACUCAUUUAAAUCCGAGAAUAAUGGUUGCUCUAUUUAUAUGAGAGAUAUGUUUUAUGGUCAUGCCCCACUGGUCAAUGGUUUAUUCUUAAUGAAUCUCGAACAUGAUGUUACACAUAUUCAUAGUGUGAAUACCAAAAGAUGUAAGAUUAAUAAUGAUAGUCCCACAUAUCUGUGGCACUUCCGCCUUGGUCACAUUGGUGUCAAACGCAUGAAGAAGCUCCAUACAGAUGGACUUUUGGAGUCUCUUGAUUUUGAAUCAUUUGACACGUGCAAACCCUACCUCAUGGGUAAAAUGACCAAGACUCCGUUCUCCAGAACAAUGGAGCGAGCAACCAACUUAUUGGAAAUUAUACAUACUGAUGUGUGCGGUCCAAUGAGCGUUGAGGCUCGCGGUGGCUAUCGUUAUGUUCUCACUCUCACUGAUGACUGAAGUAUAUAUGGGUAUGUCUACUUGAUGAAACACAAGUCUGAGACCUUUGAAAAGUUCAAGGAAUUUCAGAAUGAGGUAGAGAAUCAACAUGACCGAAAAAUAAAGUUCUUACGAUCAGAUCGUGGAGGAGAAUAUUUAAGUCACGAAUUUGGUACGCACUUAAGGAAAUGUGGAAUCAUUUCACAACUCACACCGCCUGGAACACCUCAGCGUAACGGUGUGUCCGAACAUCGUAAUCGCACUCUAUUGGAUAUGGUGCGAUCUGUGAUGUCACUCACCGAUUUACCGCUAUCAUUUUGGGGAUAUGCUCUAGAGACAGCUACAUUCACUCUAAAUAGGGCACCGUCUAAAUCCGUUGAGACAACACCGUAUGAAUUAUGGUUUGGGAAGAAACCUAAGCUGUCGUUUCUAAAAGUUUGGGGAUGUGAUGCUUAUGUCAAGAAACUUCAACCUGAAAAGCUCGAACCCAAGUCCGAAAAAUGCGUCUUCAUAGGAUACCCUAAGGAAAUCAUUGGGUAUACCUUCUACCUUAGAUCCGAAGGCAAGAUCUUUGUUGCCAAGAACGGGUCCUUUCUGGAGAAAGAGUUUCUCUCGAAAGAAAUAAGUGGGAGGAAAGUAGAACUCGAUGAAGUACUGCCUCUUGAACCGGAAAGUAGCGCAGCUCAGGAAGAUGUUCCUGUGGUGCCUGCACCGACUGGAGAGGAAGUUAAUGAUGAUGAUCAAGGUACUUCGGAUCAAGUUGCUACUAAACUUCGUAGGUCCACAAGGACACGUUCCACACCAGAAUGGUAUGGCAACCCUGUCCUAGAAAUCACGUUGUUAGACAACGGUGAACCUUCGAACUAUGAAGAAGCGAUGGCGGGCCUAGAUUCCAACAAAUGGCUUCAAGCCAUGCAAUCCAAGAUAGGAUCCAUGUAUGAAAACAAAGUGUGGACUUUGACAGACUUGCCCGAUGAUCGGCGAGUGAUAUAAAACAAAUGGAUCUUUAAGAAGAAGACGGACGCGGAUGGUAAUGUUACCAUCUAUAAAGCUCGACUUGUCGCUAAGGGUUAUCGGCAAAUUCAGGGGGUUGACUACGAUGAGACUUUCUCUCCCGUAGAGAAGCUGAAGUCCAUCCGAAUCAUGUUAGCAAUUGCCGCAUACUAUGAUUAUGAGAUAUGGAAAAUGGACGUCAAAACGGCAUUCCUUAACGGCUAUCUUAAGGAAGAACUGUAUAUGAUGCAGCCGAAAGGUUUUGUCGAUCCUAAGAAUGCUAACAAGGUAUGCAAGCUCCAGCGAUCCAUUUAUGAGCUGGUGCAAGCAUCUCGGAGUUACAACAUUCGCUUUGAUGUGAUGAUCAAAGCGUUUGGGUUUAUGCAGACUUAUGGAGAAGCCUGCGUUUACAAGAAAGUGAAUGGGAGCUCUGUAGCAUUUCUCAUAUUAUAUGUAGAUGACAUACUUUUGAUGGGAAAUGAUAUAGAACUUUUAGACAACAUUAAGGCCUACUUCAAUAAGUGUUUUUCAAUGAAGGACCUUGGAGAAGCUGUUUACAUAUUAGGCAUCAAGAUCUAUAGAGAUAGAUCGAGACGCCUCAUAGGUCUUUCACAAAGCACAUACCUUGAUAACAUAUUGAAGAAGUUCAAUAUGGAUCAGUCCAAGAAGGGGUUCUUGCUUGUGUUGCAAGGUGUGAAAUUGAGCUCGGCUCAAUGCCUGACCACGGCAGAAGAUAGAGAAAAGAUAAGUGCCAUCCCCUAUGCCUCGGCUAUAGGGUCUAUUAUGUAUGCCAUGCUGUGUACUAGAUCUGAUGUAAACCUUGCCGUAAGUUUGGUAGGAAGGUACCAAAGUAAUCCCAGCAAGGAACACUGGACAGCGGUCAAGAAUAUCAUGAAGUACCUAAAAAGGACUAAGGAUAUGUUUCUCGUUUAUGGAGGUGACAAAGAGCUCGUUGUAAAGGGUUACGUCGACGCUAGCUUCGACACAGAUCUAGAUGACUCUAAGUCACAAACCGGAUACGUGUAUAUUCUGAAUGGUGGGGCAGUAAGCUGGUGUAGUUGCAAGCAAAGCGUCGUGGCGGGAUCUACGUGUGAAGUGGAGUACAUGGCAGCCUCGGAGGCAGCGCAUGAAGCAAUAUGGAUGAAGGAGUUCAUCACCGACCUAGGAGUCAUACCCAAUGCGUCGGGGCCGAUCAGUCUCUUCUGUGACAACACUGGAGCUAUUGCCCUUGCCAAGGAGCCCAGGUUUCACAAGAAGACUAGGCACAUCAAGCGUCGCUCAACUCCAUUCGUGAAAAUGUUGAAGAUGGAGACAUAGAUAUUUGCAAAGUGCAUACGGAUCUGAAUGUCGCAGAUCCAUUGACUAAACCUCUUCCGCGAGCAAAACAUGAUCAACACAAGAACUCUAUGGGUGUUUGAUUCAUCAUAAUGUAACUAGAUUAUUGACUCUAGUGCAAGUGAGAGACUGUUGGAAAUAUGCCCUAGAGGCAAUAAUAAAAUGAUUAUUAUUAUAUUUCCUUGUUCAUGAUAAUUGUCUAUUAUUCAUGCUAUAAUUGUGUUAUCCGGAAAUCGUAAUACAUGUGUGAAUACAUAGACCACAACAUGUCCCUAGUGAGCCUCUAGUUGACUAGCUCGUUGAUCAACAGAUAGUCAUGGUUUCCUAACUAUGGACAUUGGAUGUCAUUGAUAAUGGGGUCACAUCAUUAGGAGAAUGAUGUGAUGGACAAGACCCAAUCCUAAGCAUAGCACAAGAUCGUGUAGUUCGUUUGCUAGAGCUUUUCCAAUGUCAAAGUAUCAUUUCCUUAGACCAUGAGAUCGUGUACCUCCCGGAUACCGUAGGAGUGCUUUGGGUGUACCAAACAUCACAACGUAACUGGAUGACUAUAAAGGUAUACUACAGGUAUCCCCGAAAGUAUCUGUUGGGUUGACACGGAUCGAGACUGGGGUUUGUCACUCUGUAUGACGGAGAGGUAUCUCUGGGCCCACUCGAUAAUGCAUCAUCAUAAUGAGCUCAAUGUGACCAAGUGGUUCGUCACGGGAUCAUGCAUUACGGUACGAGUAAAGUGACUUUCCGGUAACGAGAUUGAACGAGGUAUUGGGAUACCGACGAUCGAAUCUCGGGCAAGUAACAUACCGAUUGACAAAGGGAAUUGUAUACGGGAUUACUUGAAUCCUCGACAUCGUGGUUCAUUCGAUGAGAUCAUCGUGGAACAUGUGGGAACCAACAUGGGUAUCCAGAUCCCGCUGUUGGUUAUUGGUCGGAGAGCUGUCUCGGCCAUGUCUGCGUGAUUCCCGAACCCGUAGGGUCUACACACUUAAGGUUCGGUGACACUAGGGUUGUAGAGCUAUUAGUAUGCGGUAACCCGAAAGUUGUUUGGAGUCCCAGAUGAGAUUCCGAACGUCACGAGGAGUUCCGGAAUGGUCCAGAGGUGAAGAUUUGUAUAUAGGAAGUCCAAUUUCAACCACUGGGAAAGUUUCGGGGGUCACCGGUAUUGUACCAGGACCACUGGAAGGGUCCCGGGGGUCAACCGGGUGGGGCCACCUAUCCCAGAGGGCCCCAUGGGCUGAAGUGGGAAGGGAACCAGCCACUGGUGGGCUGGUGCGCCCCCUUGGGCCUCCCCCUGCGCCUAUGGUUGGAAAUCCUAGGGGUGGGGGGUGCCCCACCUGAUUUGGGGGCAAGUCCCCCCCUUGGCCGCCGCCCCCCUUGAGAUUGGAUCUCUAGGGGGCCGGCGCCCCCCCAGGGCCCCUAUAUAAAGAGGGGGGAGGGAGGGCUGCGCACCCUAGUCCCUGGCGCCUCCCUCUCCCCCUGCAACACCUCUCCCUCUCGCUGAGCUUGGCGAAGCCCUGCCGAGAUUCCCCGCUACUUCCACCACCAUGUCGUCGUGCUGUUGGAUAUCCAUCAACCUCUCCUUCCCCCUUGCUGGAUCAAGAAGGAGGAGACGUCUUCCCCAACCGUACGUGUGUUGAACGCGGAGGUGCCGUCCGUUCGGCACUAGGAUCUUAGGUGAUUUGGAUCACGACGAGUACGACUCCAUCAACCCCGUUCUCUUGAAUGCUUCCGCUCGCGAUCUACAAGGGUAUGUAGAUGCACUCCUCUCUCUCGUUGCUAGAUGACUCCAUAGAUUGAUCUUGGUGAAGCAUAGAAUUUUUUUUAUUUUCUGCAACGUUCCCCAUCAUGUUGUUAUGCGGUUUGACCGAUAAAGAUCUUCGUAGAAUAUGUAGGAGCCAAUAUGAGCAUCCAGGUUCCGCUAUUGGUUAUUGAUUGGAGAUGUGUCUCGAUCAUGUCUACAUAGUUCUUGAACCCGUAGGGUUUGCACGCUUAACGUUUGAUGACAAUUUUUAUUAUGAGUUAUGUGUUUUGAUAACCGAAGUUUGUUCGGAGUCCCGGAUGAGAUCAUGGACGUGACGAGGAGUCUCAAAAUGGUUGAGAGAUAAAGAUUGAUAUAUUGGAUGGCUAUAUUCAGACAUCGGAAUGGUUCCAGAGAAGUUCGGGUAUUUUACGGAGUACCAGGAGGUUACCGGAACCCCCCGGGGAGUAGAUGGGACUUAGUGGGAAGGAGAGGCAGCGGCCAGGAGGUGGCACACCACCCCCCGCAAUCCUUGUCCGAAUUGGACAAGGAGUUGGGGGCGCGGCCCCCCUUCUCCCUUCCUUCCCCCUUCUCCUUGAGGUGGAAUCCUACUAGGACUUGGAGUCCCAGUAGGACUCCCCUCUCCCGGUGCGCCUCACUAGGGCCAGCCAGGCUCCCCCUCCCUCCUUUAUAUACGGGGACAGGGGGGCACCCAAGGACACACCAAGCUUUUCCUUAGCCGUGGGCGGUGCCCCCCUCCACAGUUACACACCUCGAUCAUAUCGCCAUAGUGCUUAGGCGAAGCCCUGCGCCGGUAACAUCAUCAUCAUCGUCGCCAUGCCGUCGUGCUGACAGAACUCACCCUCGUCCUCAACUGGAUCAAGAGCAUGAGGGACGUCAUCGAGCUGAAUGUGUGUUGUAUGUGGAGGUGCCGUACAUUCGGUACUUGGAUCAGUUGGAUCGGGAAGACGUUCGACUACAUCAACUGCGUUACUAAAUGCUUCCCCUUUCGGUCUACGAGGGUACGUGGACACACUCUCCUCUCUCGUUGCUAUGCAUCUCCUAGAUAGAUCUUGCGUGAUCGUAGGAUUUUUUUUGAAAUUACCACGUUCCCCAACAGACGUUAACCCGGCAGGGCAUAACCCAGACGACUCAGAAGACGGCUCAAAGGAGUAAUCUAACUCCUUAAAGACUUGUUUGGAAAACUUCUGGGCUCAACUGUAGCCUUGUAAUAGCCUUAGAAUAAAACAGUUGGUUGCCUUGUCAUGCCUUCCUGCAUGUUUUUUAGCUGAUGAUCAAAACAGCUGUAUGAUGAAGCUUCUUUGCAUGCCUGAUCAAGUUAUAUAUGUAGCUUUGCUUUGCACCAGCUUUGAAUUUAGGCGCUUUCUUGAUAUUUUGACAUAUAAUCUGUAAGGGGUAUGUCAAUUCCUGUAGCGAUGACUUAUAAUCAAAAACCGAGGUGGUUUAAUGACCCAAUGCCUCAUGGUCAUGAAGAAUUAUGAAAGAAUCAUCUGGCGGCUCAUGGCCUCAAUAUGCUUAAUGCUGAUCAAUGUUAACCCGGGCCUUCUUUGAUCCAGGGAUUUAUAGCCUGCACAUAAAUAUGUGUAAAAACAUAAAAUUCCUGGAAAGAUAGAAAUAGAGAAUAUAAACAUGUAUAUCUCAAUGUUGAUAAGUCGGCUUUUAAGGCGCGACGAAAAAAGACUAGCAUCUUAAGGCUCCAAUCUCGCUUCAAAGAAGCUUGUCUUAAUAGCCUUGGUUUAUCCUUGCUUCAGUAAGAUGGGCUCUCACAUGACUUAAGUUGCCGUUUUAACUUUGACAAGUUCAGGGUCUUUUAAAGAUUGACUUGUCAAAUGUAUGGCCGGUCAUCUUGUUCGGAGUAGCAUCAAGCAUAAUCAAUAAGGGUUUUGUAAGCUAAACUCAGUGAGUUGGAAUCCCCCUAGUGCCCUUAUGAUCAAUUAAUAGAGGCUCAUACAUAGUAAAUAUGAGAAGAAACGAUAGAGGCCCUGAAUUUUGUGGACGCCGACUUUAUUAUGUUGAUCAUAAAAAUAUACACAUGAUAUGUAUGUACAAUGAUUGGAGCCAAUGGCUCAAGUAUAGUAAGGCCGAAGAUGAGCAAUGUUACAAGGCCUGUUGGUCUCCUCCUUAAAGGUACAUGAAUUAUCGUGCUCACGUAUGUCGAUGAGAUAAUAGGACCCAUUGUUGAGGUUUUUACUGACCACAGAAGGCCCUUCCCAAGGGGGUGAUAGCUUAUGCAUGCAUGUCUGAUCUUGAAUCAAACGGAGCACUAAGUCGCCCUCCUGGAACGUUCGGCUUCGAACUCUGCGGCUAUGAUAACGACGCAGGUCUUGUUGGUAAAUCACCGAGCGAGCUGCUACGAGGUAAGGUUCUUCAUCUAAGGCAUCAAGAGCGUUUUGACGCGCCGUCUCGUUUUGUGUUACGACGUAAGACGCCACCCUGGGCGAGUCAUGACGAAUAUCACUUGUGAGAACUGCCUCUGCACCAUAAACCAUGAAGAAGGGCGUGUAGCAUGUUGAUCUGUUGGGGUGGUUCUAAUACUCCAAAGAACUGAAGGAAACUCCUCAACUCACCAACCCGGUGUUCUUGGUAGAGGAACCAUAAGCCGGGGCUUGAUCCCUCCCAAGAUCUCCUGGAUAGCACGUUCUGCCUGGCCAUCAGACUGAGGAUGAGACACCGAGGAUACAUCAAGACGGAUGUGCUCCCUUUGACAGAAUUCCUUCAUAGCGCCUUUAGACAAAUUUGUGCAAUUAUCAGUGUUGAUACUAUGACAAUAACCAAAGCGGAAGAUCACCUUUUUAACAAACUGAACUAUAGUUGCUGCUUCACAGUUGUGAAAGGAUCGAGAAGAGGUGUCUAGAGGGGGGUGAUUAGACACUAAGUGCCAAAAGUUGCAGUUUUUAAUUUCUUUAGGUUUAAGUGGAGUUUUGGCACAAGUUUAACAAUCACAAUACAUAUCAAGCAAGCAUGCAAAGAGUAUAUGAGCAGCGGAAAGUAAAGCAUGCAACUUGCAAGAAUGUAAAGGGAAGGGUUUCGAGAAAUCAAACGCAAUUGGAGACACAGAUGUUUUUGUCGUGGUUCUGAUAAGUGGUGCUAUCGUACAUCCACGUUGAUGGAGACUUCAACCCAUGAAGGGUAACGGCUGCACGAGUCCACGGAGGGCUCCACCCAAAAAGGGUCCACGAAGAAACAACCUUGUCUAUCCCACCAUGGUCGUCGCCCACGAAGGACUUGCCUCACUAGCGGUAGAUCUUCAUGAAGUACGUGAUCUCCUUGCCCUUACAAACUCCUUGGUUCAACUCCACAAUCUUGUCGGAGGCUCCCAAGUGACACCUAGCCAAUCUAGGAGACACCACUCUCCAAGAAGUAACAAAUAUUGUGUUGAUGAUGAACUCCUUUCUCUUGUGCUUCAAAUGAUAGUCUCCCCAACACUCAACUCUCUCUCAUAGGAUUUGGAUUUGGUGGAAAGAAGAUUUGAGUGGAAAGCAACUUGGGGAAGGCUAGAGAUCAAGAUUCAUAUGGUAGGAAUGGAAUAUCUUGGUCUCAAUACAUGAGUGGGUGGUUCUCUCUAAGAAAAUGUAAGUUGGAAGUGUAGGUUCGUUCUGAUGGCUCUCUCCACGAAUGAAGAGGAGGUGGAGGGGUAUAUAUAGCCUCCACACAAAAACUAACCGUUACACACAACUUGCCAAUCUCGGUGGGACCGAAUUGAGAAACUCGGUCGGACCGAUUCAGCAAAUCUAGUGACCGUUAGGAUUUUCGGUGGGACCGACAUGCAACUUGGUAGGACCGAUAUGGUUAGGGUUAGUGCAUAACGUAAUCUCGGUGAGACCGAUUACACAAAAUCGGUGGGACUGAUUUUGGUAAUAAGCUAACCAGAGAGUUGGUCAGGUAAACUUGGUGGGACCGGUUCGCACAUUUCGGUGGGACUAAAAUGUUACAAAAGGUAACCACAGAGUUUACAUUGCAAUCUCGGUAGGACCGGUUACACAAACUCGAUGAGACCGAUUUUGGUAAUGGACAUACAGAGAGAUUGCAAUCUCAUCUUGGUGAGACCGAGAUCCCUAUCGGUGAGACUGAUUUGCCUAGGGUUUGUGGCAGUGCCUAUGACAUCUGAACUCGGUGGCACCGGAUAGAAAGAAUUGUUAGGGCCGAGUUUGACUUUUGGUUAGGUCAUAUGUGGAUGUGAGAAAGUAGUUGAGGGUUUUGGAGCAUAUCACUAAGCACUUUGAUCAAGAGCCUCAUUAAGCAACACCUCAUCCCUUCUUGAUAGUAUUGGCUUUUCCUAUAGACUCAAUGUGAUCUUGGAUCACUAAAAUAUAAAAUGUAGAGUCUUGUGCUUGAAGCUUGAGCCAAUCCUUUGUCCUUAGCAUCUUGAAGGGUUUCCACAUCCUUUAGUCCAUGCCACUUCAUUGUUGAACUUAUCUGAAACAUACUAGGUAAAAGUGUUAGUCCAACAAGAAAUAUGUUGACAUUAAUUACCAAAACCACCUAGGGAGCACUUGUGCUUUCAAUCUCCCCCUUUUUGGUAAUUGAUGACAACAUACAUCAAAGCUUUUAGAUAGAGGAUAUAGUGAAUAACAAGUAAAGCUUUGGAAAGACAUGUAACAUGCAUAGGCCCCACCUACAUGUAUGCAGUCAUGUGAAUAUGGAAAAUAGAAGCAUGUGAAUGCAUAAUCAUGAUAGAGUAGGCAAUGUGUUACAUGUAUCUUGGCUAUAUGCAUCAGAGCAAAGAAUUGUGGGAAAUGUACCUUCAUGUUCAUGAUUCCUUCUUGCAAACAGUAUGUACAUCAGCAAGAAUUACUCAUACACAUGACUGUGAUGCAUAUACUUACCUUGUGGUCUUGAGUUGGCUUAGGAUGGACUGAACCUGUGAAAAUAAGGUUAGAUAACACAUAUGCAACUACUAGCCAGAGCAAACAAGAAGAAGCCACAAGAGUACCAAGACUGGGAUGACAUGUAGAGAGUGAGUACCAAGUACCACAUUGGAUAUCGACAUGUCCCCAAAGGUAAAGAUGUGCAAUGAAUUUAAAGAAUUUCUUUCCCUUGAAAGUCUUGCUCCCCCUGAAUCUAGCAUGGGAUACUGGGAGAAGAUAGGGAAUAGAAAGUCAGAGCUCAAAGAGACAAAUGAAUAGAGCUAAUGCAAAUAAGCACAUAUUAACAUGUCUUUCCCCUAUAAGACAUGUAACAUCUCUCCUCUUGAGCACCAAGCAUCUGGGAUCCUUGAAGAUUACUCUCUCUCCCUGAGUAUUCUCUCCCCCUAGAGAUAUGAUUAAGCUUUGAUGUGAUCUCUCUCUCCCCCUUUGACAUCAAUUUUCAAGAAGGGUCUUCUCGAAUUUGUCGUGAGUGAGUUUGGUCCUUGAGUCACAGCACAAAGCGACAAAUUAAAUGUGAUGCUGGUAGAGGACAAGAUUCAUGGAGUGGAGCUGGAUCAAAAGUAAUGCAGGGACAAGUGGCAAAAUGUUUUUCCUGUAGUGAAAUCGGUGGCAGCGAGUUAUAUUCUUUGAUUGCACCGAAAAGAUUUGGUUGGACCGAAAUCAAAGGACCGGUGUGACUGAAUUCUUCACAGAGAAAACACUUGUCACCUCAGCUCACUAGACAAGUAAGAUCUCACAAGGAUUUGCAAGGAAUUAACUGAAAGAUUUGCAAUGAAUUGGAUGCAGGGAAUGCAUAAUAGAAAAUAAAAGAGAAGAAACUUAAAAGAAAUCUAGAUGAAGGUUUUUUUAACAAAUAUGCAUGCGACAAAUGCAAGCGCACAGAAAAUAACACAAGAGAACUUCAUCUAGAAUUGGUCGGUGAUGAAGUCACCUAUGUUAGAGUAUAUUGACUUAGGAGUCAAGUGAGUUCACUUGAUCAUAGGUCAUACUCAUCAUUUAAGCUCAAAAUGGGGUUACCAUUUUUCGUUUAAGCAUCUUGAUGUAUUCACAUCUUGUCAAGUUGCUUUGACUCAUGACUUGGAGUAAAGCUUCUCUAAGAUGGAAUAACAUACCUUGGGUGGUGGUGUUGAUCAUGAUCAUGUAGUUGAACUUGUGUGGGUUGCUCAAGGUUGAUGUAGCUCAUCAAGAGUUGGGAGCACCACUUGGAGUUUGAGUUCAUAUUCCUACAUGGGUUAGUUUUUGCAAGGAAGAGCACUUGUGUAUCCAAAAUGACAAUCAUGAACUUCAACAUAGAAAUUGUCAAAGGAUAUGUUUGAAUGGUUUCGUGCUUCCUUGCCUUCAACCACCAUUACGUAGAGACUUGGUGAUGUAGAGAUUGCUCAAGAUGUGAGUAAGUUGCAAUCUCAUAGAGUUAGAUUCAUCCAAGUACCUACAAGGGUUAGAUAACAUGCAAGGUGCAAAUAUAUCCAAGAUGUAAAAUCAUCAUCAUAAGAGAAAUAUCAAGGAUUAGUUAUAAGCUCAUGUCUUGCAUGUAUCAAAUGGAGUUCCUACUCCAAGUUUGAAGCAUCAAUGAUGUUCAAUUCACCUCUUAACCUGCAAAACACUUUCUCAUCAAGUGGUUUGGUGAAAAUAUCCACUAAUUGUUUUUCGGUGCGAACAUGCUUAAGAUUAAUGUCCCCUUUGGCAACAUGAUCUCGAAUGAAAUGAUGACGAACUUCAAUAUGCUUAGUUUGAGAGUGUUGCACAAGAUUGUGAGCAAUCUUGAUUGCACUCUCAUUGUCACAAAGUAAUGGAACAUGUUUCACAUUUAUCCCAUAAUCUUUAAGAGUUUGGGUCAUCCAAAGUAAUUGAGCACAACAUGAACCAGCGGCAAUGUAUUCCGCUUCGGCGGUGGAUAAGGAUACCGAGUUUUGUUUCUUGGAAUACCAAGACACAAGAAAUCUACCAAGGAAUUGACAAGUACCCGAAGUGGACUUUCUAUCAACCUUGUCAACGGCAUAGUCUGAGUCGGAGUAGCCAACAAGAUCGAAAGAGGCCCUCUUAGGAUACCAAAGGCCAAAAUUUGGUGUAUGAAUUAAGUAUCUCACUAUCCUUUUCACGACCUUAAGAUGACAUUCUUUAGCUGCAGCUUGAUAUCGUGCACACAUGCACACACUUAGCAUAAUAUCGAGACGUGAAGCACAUAGAUACAACAAUGGACCAAUCAUAGAGCGAUAAACCUUUUGAUCGACCGGUUCACCAUCUUUGGUCAAAUCAAGAUGUCCACUAGUAGGUAUGGGUGUAGUCAUACCUUUGCAUUCUUGCAUAUUGAACUUCUUGAAUAAGUCCUUGGUGUACUUUGUUUGAGAGACAAAAGUACCUUCCUUAGUUUGCUUGAUUUGCAUCCCAAGAAAGAAUUUGAUUUCACUCAUCAUCGACAUCUCAAACUUCUUCUACAUUAGCUUUCCAAACUUGUCACUAAAAUGAGGGUUAGUUGAUCCAAAUAUAAUAUCAUUGACAUAAAUUUGGCAUACUAAUAAUUCUCCAUUGACCCUUUUAGUAAAAAGUGUGGAAUCAAUUUUUCCAAUUUCAAAGCCUUUUUCAAUAAGGAACUUGGUUAAGCAUUUAUACCAAAAUCUAGGAGCUUGUUUAAGUCCAUAAAGAGCUUUGUGGAGUUUGUAAACAUGAUUAGGCUUCUUAGGAUUGACAAAACUGGGAGGUUGUUUAACAUAGACUUCCUCCUCUAUUUCACCGUUUAAAAAAGCACUUUUAAUAUCCAUUUGGUACAAGGUGAUAUCAUGGUGAUUAGCAUAGGCAAGUAAGAUGUGAAUGGACUCAAGUGUAGCAACGGGAGCAUAUGUCUCACCAUAGUCCAUACCUUCGACUUGUGUGUAGCCUUGGGUGACGAGACCUGCUUUGUUGCGAACUAUUUGUCCAUCUUCAUCUUGCUUGUUGCGAAACACCCAUUUGGUACCGAUGAUGUUGUGGUUGUUGUCGGGCUUCUCAACUAAUGUCCAAACUUGAUUUCUCUCAAAGUUGUGUAGCUCUUCAUGCAUAGCGUUUAUCUAGUCCGGAUCUUCCAAUGCUUCUUCAACCGUCAUAGGUUCAAUGCUAGAGAUGAAUGAAUAGUGUUCACAAAAGUUAGCUAAACGAGUUUUUGAGCGGGUGAUUCUCCCGGUUUGGAUAUCAUUGUAGAUUUGCUCGACGGGAUUGUCUUUAGCAGUUCUUGCUCGAACUCGUGUAAGCCUUUGCUUGGGUCUUGGUUGAACAUCUUCUUCAUCUUGUUCUUCUUCUUGGCCUUCUUCAUUGUUGGCGUUGGCGUUCUCUUGUCGUGGUGGAGAAGGAGGUUGUUGAUGUUCUUGGUGUACUUCCUCGUUUUCUUUAUCUUGGUGUGUCCCACUUGUGGAUGCUUCCGUGUCAACUCUUCGUUCACCUUGUCAUGAGGUAGAAGCUUCCACUUGGACGGACGAGGUACUCUCCUUCACCUCCGUUGUACGAAUCUUGCCAACAGACAAGUCUUGGAUUGCUUCCGAGGGGUCUUUGUCUCCUACAUCAAUUGGCAAUUGCUCUACUUGCGAGCUAUUAGAUUCAUCAAACUUCACAUCUACCGUUUCUUCAACCUUUCGGGUGAAAUUGUUGUAGACACGGUAAGUGUGAGAGUUUGAGCCAUAACCAAGUAGGAAACCUUCAUGAGACUUAGGAGCAAAUUUAGAACAAUGAUGCUUAUCAAGAAUGUAGCACUUUGAGCCAAAUACCCGAAAGUAUCCAACUUGGGGUUUGUUACUGGUGAGGAGCUCAUAUGCCGUCUUGCCGAGUAGCUUGUGAAGAUACAAGCAAUUUGUUGCAUGACAAGCUGUCUCAACCGCUUCUGCCCAAAAGUGCUUCGGUGUCUUGUACUCAUCAAGCAUCGUUCUUGCCAUUUCGAUGAGCGUCCGGUUCUUCCUCUCAACAACUCCAUUUUGUUGAGGUGUGUACGUAGCCGAGAACUCAUGUGAAAUCCCUUCUUUAUCAAGAAAGGUGUCCACAUUUGCGUUCUUGAACUCCGUUCCGUUGUCGCUGCGAACCUUCUUGAUCUUCACUUCAAAUUGAUUUUGGGCCUUCCUAGCGAAGUUUUUGAAGAUCUUUUGGACCUGUGAUUUGUCAUCGAGAAAGAACACCCACGUAAAUCUUGAAAAAUCAUCAACUAUAACUAGACCAAAAAAAUUUCCACCGAGACUCUUGUAAGCGUUGGGACCAAAGAGAUCCAUGUGAAGUAGCUCGAGUGGCCUCCUUGUGGUCAUGACGUUCUUUACGGGAUGCCUUCCUCCAACUUGUUUACCUGCUUGACAAGCACUGCAAAGUCUAUCCUUGUCAAAUAUGACAUCAUUAACACCAAGGAUAUGAUUUCCUUUAAUAAGCUUGUCAAGAUUUCGCAUGCCAACAUGACCUAAUCGUCUAUGCCAUAACCAACCUUUAGAGGAUUUAGCAAUAAAGCAAGUUCUAGGUUGAGCCUUUUUAGUGAAAUCAACAAUGUAAAGAUCACCUCUACGUAUACCGGUAAAGACCAUUUUAUGAUUAUCUCUAUGAAACACUUGGCAAUCUACUUCAGUAAAUAGGACAUUGAAACCAAAAUCAGCAAGUCUAGAUACUGAAAGUAAGUUGCAGCCAAGAGAUUCAAUGAGCAUAAAAUUUUGAAUGGAGCUAUCAUGUGAGAUGGCCACCUUACCUAGGCCAACCACCUUACCCUUUGAGUUGUCACUGAAAGUGACAUACUUUCGAGGACCAUCGUUUUUCAGCAAGCUCAUGAAACAUGUCUUUAUCUCCGGUCAUGUGAUCGGUACAUCCACUAUCAAGGACCCAUUCCUUUCCUCCUUCCAUAUAUCCCCGAAGAUUUGCCACAAGACCAAAGUGUCUCAUUGCAUCAUCAAGAUCAAAGUCACUAUCAUCAUCCUCAUCAUAGUAUCCAUGUUCAACAUCGUCAUGUUGUGGAUCAAUUCCUUGAGAGGGAGAUUCGUUAGAAUGAGCUUGACAAUGAUCUUCUUUAUGAAUUUUAAUAGCUUCGGAAAUAAUAUCGCUAAUGAUUCCAACAUUUCCUUUGGUAUGCAUAAGAGUUGUAAGUUUGAAUAGACAAUUACCAAACAUAGGAUCAUUGUAAUUCAUCUUACUCAAGGCAAUAGACUUAUGGAGAAUUUCAUCUAGAUUUUUCAAGGAAUAAUCCAGAAAUCGUUCUUCAAGAAAUUUGCAUAUAGUGUAGGCACACUCAAGAGUAGGCAAGUUUCUAAUCAAGUUUCUAGGCAAGCCUCUAGUGAUAAGAUUAACAGUUCUAAGAUUCCUGAUCAUGUCAAUUGACUCAUCAAGGGUAGGAUGCAUAGGAUCAACAUGAGGUGCACAAGGGCUAGCAAUGUACUUGUUCAAAUGAUAUUGAUUGAAAAUCACAAGCAUCUCUUUUUUCCACUCAUGAAAAUACUCUCCAUCAAGUAUAGGCACUCUAUGUCUAAGACUCCCCAAAGUAGACUCAUCCAUCUUCCUCCAAUGGUGAUUAAACCAAAGCAAUGGAGACCAAUGCUAUGAUACCAAUUGAAAGGAUCGAGAAAAGGUGUCUAGAGGGGGGGGUGAUUAGACACUAAGUGCCAAAAGUUACAAUUUUUAAUUUCUUUAUGUUUAAGUGGAGUUUUGGCUCUAGUGUAACAAUCACAAUACAUAUCAAGCAAGCAUGAAAAGAGUAUAUGAGCAGCGGAAACUAAAGCAUGCAACUUGCAAGAAUGUAAAGGGAAGGGUUUGGAGAAAUCAAACGCAAUUGGAGACACGGAUGUUUUUGUCGUGGUUCCGAUAGGUGGUGCUAUCGUACAUCCACGUUGAUGGAGACUUCAACCCACAAAGGGUAACGGCUGCACGAGUCCACGAAGGACUCCACCCAAAAAGGGUCCACGAAGAAACAACCUUGCCUAUCCCACCAUGGCUGUCACCCACGAAGGACUUGCCUCACUAGCGGUAGAUCCUCACGAAGUAGGCGAUCUCCUUGCCCUUACAAACUCCUUGGUUCAACUCCACAAUCUUGUCAGAGGCUGACACCUAGCCAAUCUAAGAGACACCACUCUCCAAGAAGUAACAAAUGGUGUGUUGAUGAUGAACUCCUUGCUCUUGUGCUUAAAAUGAUAGUCUCCCCAACACUCAACUCUCUCUCACAGGAUUUGGAUUUGGUGGAAAGAAGAUUUGAGUGGAAAGCAACUUGGGGAAGGCUAGAGAUCAAGAUUCAUAUGGUAGGAAUGGAAUAUCUUGGUCUCAACACAUGAGUAGGUGGUUCUCUCUUAAAAAAUGUAAGUUGAAAGUGUAGGUUCGUUCUGAUGGCUCUCUCCAUGAAUGAAGAGGAGGUGGAGGGGUAUAUAUAGCCUCCACACAAAAACUAACCAUUACACACAACUUGCCAAUCUCGGUGGGACCGAAUUGAGAAACUCGGUCGGACCGAUUCAGCAAAUCUAGUGACUGUUAGGAUUUUCGGUGGGACCGACAUGCAACUCGGUAGGACCGAUAUGGUUAGGGUUAGGGCAUAAUGUAAUCUCGGUGAGACUGAUUACACAAAAUCGGUGGGACCGAUUUUGGUAAUAAGCUAACUAGAGAGUUGGUCAGGUAAACUCGGUGGGACCGGUUCACACAUUUCGGUGGGACCGAAAUGUUACAAAAGGGAACCAGAGAGUUUACAUUGCAAUCUCGGUAGGACCGGUUACACAAACUCGGUGAGACCGAUUUUGGUAAUGGACAUACAGAGAGAUUGCAAUCCCAUCUCGGUGAGACCCCUAGGGUUUGUGGCAGUGGCUAUGACAUCUGAACUCGGUAGCGCCGGAUAGAAAGAAUCGAUAGGGUCGAGUUUGACUUGUGGUUUAGGUCAUUUGUGGAUGUGAGAAAGUAGUUGAGGGUUUUGGAGCAUAUCAUUAAGCACUUUGAGCAAGAGCCUCAUUAAGCAACACCUCAUCCCUUCUUGAUAGUAUUGGCUUUUCCUAUAGACUCAAUGUAAUCAUGGAUCACUAAAAUAUAAAAUGUAGAGUCUUGUGCUUGAAGCUUGAGCCAAUCCUUUGUCCUUAGCAUAUUGAAGGGUUUCCACAUCCUUUAGUCCAUGCCACUUCAUUGUUGAACUUAUCUGAAACAUACUAGGUAAAAGUGUUAGUCCAACAAGAAAUAUGUUGACAUUAAUUACCAAAACCACCUAGGGAGCACUUGUGCUUUCAAGUUGCUAACUAGCUCUGCCUCAAUCCACUUGGCAAACUUGUCAACUGCGAACAAAAGGUGAGUCUUCUUAUCUUUACACCUCUUCAACGUCCCAACCAUAUCGAUCCCGCUGGUCUAUGUGAUCCACCUGGUAACCCUUAAAGUGACCAGCAAUAUUAUCAACUGCCUAACGAUAAGCCACCAUAAGCGGGGCUUUAGAAUCCCACUCUCCUGAAACUUGUUGUGCCACUAAAUCUGAGUCGCCCAAACAUCUAACCUAGCUCAAGUUCAUCCCUUGGCCAUUCGGAGUCCAUGGACCAAAGCUUUAUACUCAGCUGCAUUGUUAGUACAAGGGAACACGAGCCCUAAGACAUAACAAAAUUUAUCACCUCAUGGAGAUUCCAAGAUAAAUCCAGCCCCCGAACCUUCCAACUUUCUGGACCCAUCAAAGUGUAUGGUCCAAUAUGUAUUGUCAGGCUUCUCGUCAGGUGUUUGCAGCUCUGUCCAAUCAUUUAUGAAAUCCACCAAAGAUUGAGACUUGAUGGCUAUUCUUGGCACAAACUUUAGGUGAUGCCGCCCAAGCUCAAUUGCCCACUUAGCAACCUGGCAUGUAGCCUCUCUGUUCUGAAUUAUAUCACCAAGUGGAGCAGAACUGACCACCGUGAUUGGAUGUCCAAGGAAAUAAUGCUUAAGUUUAUGAUUGGCCAAGAACACCCCAAAUACCAGCUUCUGCCAAUGCGGGUAUCGCUGCUUGGAUUCUGUCAGAACUUCACUGACAUAAUAAGCCGGCCGCUGGACUGGAUACUCUUUACCUGUCUCCUUGCACUCUACGACCACUGCUACACUGAUGUCAUUAUUAGCCGCCAUGUACAGGAGGAAAGGCUCUUUGUCAAUGGGAGCAGCCAGGAUGGGCGGCUCAGCCAACUGCUUCUUGAGCGCCUCAAACGCCUCAUUAGCCGCAUCACUCUAGACGAAGUGAUCGGUCUUUUUCAUCAUCUGAUACGGGGGAAUUGCCUUCUCUCCAAGGUGGCUUAUGAACCGGCUUAGGGCUGCGAUACGACCUGCCAGGCGUUGAACAUCAUUGAUACAUGUCGACUUACAAAGAGAGGUAAUUUCCUACAUCUUCUCCGGGUUAGCCUCAAUGCCCCUCUCUGAAACUAGGAAACCUAGCAAUUUGCCAGCUGGCACACCAAAAACACACUUGGCCGAGUUAAGCAUCAUUUUGUAUACCUUGAGAUUAUCAAAGGUCUCCUUCAGGUCAUCAAGCAAGGUUUCUUUCUUCCUGGAUUUGACCACAAUGGCAUCCACAUAAGCGUGAACGUUUUGACCAAUCUCCUUAUGGAAAAAAUUCUCGACACAACGUCGAUAUGUCGCCUGGGCACUCUUGAGCCCAAAAGGCAUAGACACAUAAUAGAAAGAUCCAAAGGGGGUGAUGAAAGUUGUCUUUUCCUGAUCUUCCACUGCCAUCUUAAUAUGGUGAUAACCAGAGUAUGCAUCCAGGAAGCACAAACUCUCACAACCUGCCGUGGCAUCAAUUAUUUGGUCAAUGCGAGGGAGAGCAAAUGGAUCAGCCGGACACACCUUGUUAAGAUCUGUGUAAUCAACACACAUACGCCAAGUGGCAUUCUUCUUAAGCACAAGCACAGGGUUAGCCAGCCAUUAAGGGUGGAACACCUUAAUUAUGAACCUGGCAGCUAGGAGCCGGGCCACUUCCUCCCCAAUAGCCUUACGCCUCUCCUCAUUAAAACGACGAAGGAACUGACAGGUUUCAUCUUAGGAUCAAUAUUAAGUCGAUGCUCAGCGAACUCUCUCGGUACACCUGACAUGUGAGAAGGCUUCCAUGUGAAUAUGUCCUGAUUCUCACAGAUGAAUUUGAUGAGUGCACUUUCCUAUUUGGGAUCCAUCCAUCCCUGUCCCAAUGGUGAACUGCUGAGAUGAAUCACCAGGGACAAAAUCAAUUUGCUAUGUGUCCUUCGCCAACUUAAAAUUAAGUGGCGGGUCUGUAUUUGUGGUGGGUUUCUUUAGAGGGGUCAUAUCAGUCGGGUCAACAUUAUCCUUAUAGUACUUGAGCUCCUCCUUGGCACAAGCCGACUUUGCAUAAGCAGCUCUCCUUCGUCGCACUCUAAGGCGUGUUUGCGAUUCCAUGGACUGUGAUUAUCCCCUCUGGCCCUAGCAUCUUAAGCUGCAGAUAGACAUAACAAGGGCGAGCCAUGAACUUAGCAUAAGCCAACCGUCCGAAAAGAGCAUGAUAUGGACUCUUGAUCUUAACAACCUCAAACCAUAGUGUCUUUGCUCUAUAAUUGUACUCAUCACCAAAGGCGACCUCUAGUGAUAUCUUCCCAAUAGGGUAAGCCAACUUGCCAGGCACCGCACCAUGAAAUACUAUAGAGGACGGCCGAAGGUCCUUAUCGGUGAGACCCAUCAUCCGAAAAGUAUCAUAAUACAAUAUAUUGAUGCUGCUGCCACCAUCCAUAAGUACCUUUGUAAAUUUAUAACCCCCUACCUAAGGGUCAACCAACAGGGCUAGAUGACCCAGAUCAUCAACUCGGGGCGGGUGAUCCGCCCAGCUCCAAGUGCUUACCUGCGCUAACCACCUUAAAUAUUGAGGCACGACCGGCUCAACCAUAUUGAUUGCCCGCUUAUGGACCUUCUUCUCACGCUUGCACAUGUUCAUAGUAAACACAUGAUACUGGCCACUAUUAAACUGCUUCGGGUUACUCUGAUACCCUGACUAAUUAUUCUGCUACUGAUGACUCUGACCGGAUUGCUGAUUAUGAUUACCAUGGUUACCUUGACUCGGAUAUCCAGCACCUGAGCCGCCACCACCAAAGCCGGAACUGUGAGACCCGGGGCCUGACCCGCCGAGCAGCCCACCGUGAUGCUAUUGAAACGUCUGAUUUCUAAACACCCGCAUGAUAUUACAAUCCUUUCCAGCCGUGACGAGAUGGCUUAUUAGGAUAACUGUGCUUUGGACAAGGACCAUUAAGCAUUUCCUCCAAACUCUGUGAUGGCCUGCCAUUACCAUUACGAUGUUGAUUCUUUGACCCGGCAUUGGUAUUGGCCAGAAAAUCUGACCCGCCAUCAGAAUACUUACACUUUCCUCCAUUGCCUUGGUUAUUUUGACUGUCGUGCUGAGCCGAGGCGUGUUGCUGUUGGCCCUUGCUACCGCCAUUUUUCUUGCCCUUGCCAGAUUUAUCAUCAUCAAAGCUUGGAUCCUUGGUAGUAUUAGAGUCGCCAUACCUGGUAAGUACAUCCAUAAGCUUGCCCAUGUCUAUGCACUUGUGCUUAAGCCGCCCUAGCUUCUGCUUCAGCGGGUCAAAAUGACAAUUUUUUUCUCCAAAAGCAGCACAGCCUAAGCCACACCAAUACUCUCUGAAGAACGUAUGAUGGUCGCAACCCGGCAUGCCCAAUGAUGAGCUGACUCGUCCUCUCGCUACACACAGUGCUUCAAAUCGACAAUUAUCAUUGGUUUCUUACAAGUUCCUUGAAAUUUCUUGAUAAAGUUGUCCUUCAACUCUGCCCAAGUAUUGAUAGAGUUUGGGGGCAGGUUCUCUAACCAUGUAUGAGACGGUCCCUCCAACAUCAUAGUGAAAUAUUUGGCACAGACUGCAUCAUUGACGUCCAACAUCUCCAUGGCUAGCUCGUAACUCUCAAUCCAAGCCUCUGGGGGAGAUCCAUCGUGUAAUUGGGCACCUUGCUAGGGCCCUUAAAAUCUUUGGGCAAGUGUUCAUUUCGCAAAGAAGGCGCUAAACACAACACCCCAAACAGUCCUGGAACUUGACCCGGCUCCUACAGAGGCUAAAGGGGUCACCGGAGGCUGCUGAUAAGCCCCUGGUUAGCUGCCGCCACCACCUCAUGGUGGGUUCUGGCCUCAUCCACAAGUGCUUGAACCCCAGUCCUCGGAUUAAGGGGCAUAUUAUCGUGGGGCGGGUUACGGUGUUGCUCACUGCUAGAGACCGCGCGCGACUCAACAUGUCGGCUAUAACUACGGCUUGGGAGAGGAGUUGAGUGCAUACGAUCACGGUUGUAUGAGUAGGCAGCCUGUUGCACGAUGGAUGUUUGCAGCAGCUCAACCACAUUCUAGGUCUCUGCUACGACUUUCGAAUUGCAAGGGAUAGGAAUUGCUUCAAGCCGGGUCGCUGCCGCUACCAUGUUAUCCACUGGGUUGGAAAAAUGCCCAAGUGGUGUCAGGAAAUGUUGUGGUGGCGUCUGAAUAGGGGGCGGGUUAGUUCUUGGCUCUUCUCUUUGUGUCGGCUCAGGCUGACGAGGUUGAGUCGCGGCUCGGCUUCCUGGUACAUCCAGGUUUGACUGGGGGAUAACCUGUGUUUCCGGUGUGCUCGGCCUCGCUUCAGGUGUGUCAAACAAGUGCGUCGGGUCAUACACCAAUGGUAAACGACUCUCGUACCUUCUCUGGAAUACGUCAUUAGAUGCGGUCUGGUCCAGAUUUAGAUGCCAAGCCUCUGCCUUCAGGUGUUCUGCCUCUGCAUCAACCUGAGCUUUCAAUGAGGCUGUCUGGAUGUUCUCAGCAUUGAUGUCCUCCUGAGUCUUGGUCAUCUGCUCACGAAUUUUUGCAAUCUCUACAUUGUGUUCUUCUUGAUUUGCAGCAGUAACUUCUAUCGCUAGCAAGGUCGUCAAGGUACCCAUGAGGUCGGAUAGUACCUGAGUCGGCUGCCUAGCUGAGCCAGGCGCUGCAGCAGACGAGUCAGAUGUGACAGCUGCAGUUGUUGAAAAAUUGAGAAUUGACGUCAUCCCAGCCAUAAAGAUGGUAGCUCGGCACGACAGCUCGUAGGGGUUCGGAUUCAUGUCACCAUUAGAACAACCCCCAAGCCCGCCGUCUUGAAUCUGAUAGAUUGACUCUGUCUCACCGGUAGAGGACUCGUCACCUAAGUAGAUGAGAGUCUCUCCUCCAGAUGCAGAAUUUUCCACAAGUUCCAACCCUUGCGUGAAGCCCAUGAAAACAUGCCUCUGCCCGGCUUGGGCCCGGGCGGAUUGCGUGAGUCGAGCCGGCUCGAUGAUGUUGGUGUAGAUGUCCGGCUCAGGCUUUGAUCCAUCGAUCUUGCCGAUGAAGACGUGGAUUCCGCCGAAGGGGACCCGGUACCCAUACUCGAUUGAGACGGCCUCAGGGCCCCAGCCAGUAUCAUGGAUGUAGAGCUUGCCGUGGCGACUCUUGGACAUCCUGCCAACGGCGUAUCCCUCGAUCCCUGGGAAAGAGCCCUUCAAGAACUCGAAACCACCGUCCGUUGGCCCAAUGGUGGGCGCAACUGUCGUGGUUUUGUCACGACAGAUGUCCUAGUGAAAGGAGUUAGGUGUGAGGCCAUCGUGAUAGUGAUUAACUUGUUAGGGUUGAGCAGGAUGAGAGACACAAGUUUACCCAGGUUCGGCCCCUCAUGGUGGAGGUAAAAGCCUACCCCUACUCUUGUUGCUUAUUGCUUGAGUAUCGAUUACAAGGGAGAGGAUUCGCUUGACCUAGCUAUCGAUUGAUUGUAACCUAUCUAUUCUAUGCCGGGAACUCGUCUUUAUAUAUAGGUCGAGGCCACCGGCUUACAAGAGUUCGGGUCGGGUCACGAUCCGUGACCAAUCCUAGCUCUAAGUCGCCUUGCCUUCUGUAACAACUCACCGUAGGACGGCUUACACCUCCAGGCCACGCGUCUUCUUCUGGUCUUGGGCUUUAAGUCGUCUGAGGCUUUAACUUCGUGAGUCGCCAACGGUCUAACCCGACCCUUUCUGGGCGGGUUAUAUCGCGGGGUCAUAUCCCCAACAGUGUGCCAUUGAGAAUAAUUUGUCAUAAUAUUAUCAAGGAGUUUUGUAUCUUCUCCCACUGUAAUCUUCUAUUAUAUAUUUAAAACAUAAGUCAAACAAGACACCACGUUCUUCCACAUAUGUUAAAAUUAUAUGCACCGUUGAUCAGUAAUAAUUACGGCUGAGAUUUAAAAAUAUUACGUUACAUGCCUAAAGCAUGGAUUGAACCGACACGUAUAAGGUGUGUUAAUAAGAAGUUGGAAAAAUAGAUGAGUUAUGAAUCUGCAAGUAACUAGCAGGUACGGAUGCUUUCAGUAAUAAUUCGACUGAGAUUUUUUUUUGUGUUUUUUAUGAGAAGUGGGGGAGAUGAAAAUGACAGGAAAAGGCAAAUAAAAAGUAGAGCAAGUAGAUGUUAAUUUGUGCGAAGGUACUUGAUAUGUUAUGAUGAUGUCUCCCCGGCAACGACACCAGAAAUUGGCAAGUUGACGGGAGACUACUUUGGCGUGAAUCCUCCCCGGCAACAGCACCAGAAAUUCUUCCUUCUACUAGUGAGUUGCGUUGGGAUUUUCCCCGAAGAGGAGGAGAGAUGCAAUAUAGUAGAGAUAAGUAUUUCCUUUAGUGAGAACCAAGGUUUUUCGAACCAAUGGGAGAAUCAUGCAAAGCCUCCUGAACAGCACCUGCACACCCAAAGGCAAAUACUUGCAACCAACGCGGGCAAAAGGGUUAUCAAUCCCCUUGAACUCAUUAAUUGCAAGGAUUAUAUAUCGUGGUGGUAGAUAGAUAAAUUGCCAAACAAAGUAAAAGAAAUAAAAUUGCAGCAAAGGUAUUUUGGUUUUUAUAUAUGAUUAAAGGAGACCCGGGGGGCAUAGUUUUGAGUAGAGGCUUCUCUCUCGAAUACAAAGCAUACACUGGGUAUACAAAUUACUGUUGGGAAAUUGAUAGGAAGGCACAUAAGGCGAUAUCCAAGGCAAUGAUCAUGUAUAUAGACAUCACGUCCGAGACAAGUAGACCGCCUCCUGCCUGCAUCUACUACUAUUACUCCGCCCAUCAAACCGCUAUCCAGCAUGCAUUUAGUGUAUUAGGUUAAUAAAAAUAGAGUAAAAUCUUAAGCAAGAUGACAUGAUUUAGACAAAGUAAACUCAAAUAAUAUGAAUAAACACCAUCCUUUUACCCUUAAUGGCAACAAUACAAAUAUGUGCCUUGUCCCUUUCUGUCACUGGGAUAGAGUAUCACAAGAUUGAACCCAAAGCACCUCUCCCACUGAAAAUAAAUCAAUCUAGUUGGCCAAACCAAACAAAGAGAUUAGAGAGAAAAUACAAAGCUAUAAAAUUCAUGCAUAAUAAAGUUCAGAAAAGACUUAAUUACUUCUCAUGAAUAUUUUAUAUCAUGAACCCACAAUUCAUUGGAUCCCAACAAACACACUGCAAAAGAAGAUUACAUCGGAUAGGACUCCAAGAACAUCAAGGAGAACAUGGUAUUGAAGAUCAAAGAGAGAGAAUAACCCAUCUAGCUACUAGCUAUGGACCCAUAGGUCUAUGUUAAACUACUCAUGCAUCAUCGGAAGGGCGGCAAGGAUGAUGUAGAAGCCCUCCGUGAUUGAUUCCCCCUUCGGCAGAGUACUCGAAAAGGCCUUCAAAUGGGAUCGCAGAAGGACAGAAGCUUGCGCUGGCAGAAAAACUGUUUCGGGUGGCUCCUUUGUUUGAGAAUAUUUGGGAAUUUAUAGGCCUGGAAUUAGGUCAAACAGUGCUACAUGGGGCCCACAAGCUCAGGGGGUGCGCCUACCCCCCUAGGGAGCCCCCCUCGAGCUUGUGGCUCUCUUGUAUCUUGUCUGGUCUCCUCCCAAAGCUUCUAGGGUCCCUUAUGGUCCAGAAAACAUUAAUCCAAAGUUUUUUUUCGUUUGGAUUUCGUUUGAUAUUUAUUUUCUGAAAAGCCAAAAACAAGAAAAAAAAACAGAAACUGACAUUGGGCACUAGGUUAAUAGGUUAGUCCCAAAAAAUGAUAUAAAAUAUCAUAUAAUUGCAUGUAAAACAUCCAAGAUUGAUACUAUAAUAGUAAGGAAUAAUAAAAAAAAUUAGAUACGUUGCAGGCCGAGGGUGCCGCCCGCUGCACGUACGGCCAAACACGCCUCCUCGUCGCAUUCAAAUGCCUCCAUUAACCCCACGUGGAAGCUGAGAAACCUACUUCGGCCACACGUCCAUUAUCGAGCGGCCGACAUUAAACGCAACACCGAGCAGGCUCCACCCGUCCGCCCUCUAUAUAAACCAGGCCAGACGCCAGGCAAGAAUCGCACCACUCCUCCUCUCUCCAUCUCCUCAUUCCACCAUUUUCUCCAAUCUUUCAAUGUCAUCCGACGAGCUAGAAGAGCAGUUCUCCGGCAUAAAAGUCGGCAGCUUGCUGCUCCACCUCCCUCGCCCAGUCCGACGGAGCCUCGCCGGCAUGGCGGGGAGCACGGUGGCACGAUCAUCAACACUGACGUCGAUGACGCCGUGUCGUCCCGCACCUCCCGUGUUUGCGACCCCGCCUCCCGUGUCUGUGACCGUGUCUCCCGCGCCUGCGACCGUGCCAUGGAGGCGGAGAUAGAAACCGGGUGCAUGAAGGUCGUCGAGUCGGUGGCCAGCGCGUCUGAGUCCGCCGCCAUCAUCGAGGAGAAGUAGAACAAGGGAGGGCGCCGUUGCUUGGGACCCAUGAAGGCCACUGCCGAGGCACCGCCGGCAUACAGAGACAGUGUCUUGCCCUCUCAUGGGCCACCGUCUACCCAAAACUCAACCCUGGUCCAUGCAGCGUAGGGACCCUUCCCCUCCGACUGAAGCAUCAGGUGGCGGUUCCACUUUGAUGAGCGGUGGGGAAGUGAGCCGUCCUUUGCGUUGAAGCAUAUACGUCUGGGGCUCACCGCUGCCGGUCACGGGGACGAGUUGGAGACCCGCCGCGCCAGCCGUAGACUAACUCUGCUUCGUUUUUAGUUCAAUGUUCAAAAUGUAACAGUUUUCGUCUGGUUAGUAUGAAAUCCGUCAUGUUUAUAUGAAAUUCGGCCGAGUUUGCAUGAAUUUCAUCGGGUUUGUUAAAAAAAAGUUUGUAAUGUAUGCGACUAGCGUUGGAUGGUGAUCUCCCGCAUCCGAGUUCGUGGACUGGGAUGCGGGAGAAAAUUUACGGAUUGCUGUUAAAGAUGCCCUAAGCAUACAUUGUUGAGGUACAUUUUGGAGUACAAGGAAAGGAUGGGAGCGAGAGAUUGCGGCUAACAAGAUAACUUUCGAGUCUACUCUAUCUCUAGGCCGAAAUUUGAAGAUCAUGGAUCGCGUGGAAAUAUUGAUCUGUUACGUAACCAUGCAUUGUGUACUCCCUCCAAUCAUUUUUACUCUCCGUAUUAGAUCUUUGUCAAGUCAAACAUUACAAAGUUUGACUAAAUUUAUAUUAAAAAAUAUCAACAUCUAUAAUACCAAAUAUAUUUUUUUUUAUAUGUUUGGUCAAAUUAGAGACGCUUUGACUUUGAACAAAACCUAUAUGCAAACUAAAAAGGACGAGGGGUACAUCAAUGAUGUUUAACACAUAACAUGCGAAGCGGUACGGAGGAACGGAGAGCGUUGGAUGGACGAUGGACGGUUACCUAAGCUUCGUGCCAAUGAGCCUUUGAUUCAAACUUAACUGAAGUUCUUCAGACAAGCAUGAAGCGGGUCCUGGAUCCUGACACCGGCUGCCGGGGCCGGCGUCCACGACUGCGUCGAGAAGAGCCGCGCCACCUAGUCCCAACCAUACCACGUGCUCGCGAAGAAGUUGAAGCACAGAGCUAUGGCCGCGGUCGAUUCGCGCACGGGAAGGGGGCCACCGGAGUCCGGAGGGGAGGAAGCAGAGGUGGAAGAGAAGGAGGCGCGGGAUUCCUCGCUGCCGCCGCGGGCCGGUAGCCACUGGCAGCGGGAGCGAGGGAGGGCGCGUCAUGGGGUGGCGGCGGAGGGAAAACCUAAUCGUCCCCCGAGCUGCCACCACUAGUUCGCUAUUUGGUCAGGUAAUUCAGGAUCAAGCACUAGGCGCGUUGUGGGUUUGUUUUGUACUGAAAAGUUUCAAAGGAUUGACUGUUGUAUAUCAUUCAGACUUUCAUGGCUAUGAAAUUGGAAGCGGUGCUCCCACAUUUACAUUUGAAAACAAAUGUCUGCUACUUACUACAACAAACAUUAAACAUAGCCGAGCUACGUUCAGUUGGCAAGCUCCAGGAUCAUAUACAAAAUUUUCUAGGAGAUCCAUCGCUCAUGCACAGAGAUACAACAUACUACUACAUCACGGAGAAAAACCAGC
Molecule: long non-coding RNA, 95356 nt
Filed under: Triticum aestivum (bread wheat)
Lineage: Eukaryota; Viridiplantae; Streptophyta; Magnoliopsida; Poales; Poaceae
Description: long non-coding RNA (TAES_LNC022728)
Rfam family: MIR1120/MIR1122 microRNA precursor family (bases 269-386)
Source: RNAcentral